AUAUAUAUAUAUAUUUUUAAAGAUUGAUGUGACGGAAAUUUUGAAAAAAUUUUGGGUAGCCACAGAUAAAGUGGCAAUCAGGCACAACGCGGUCUGCGACGUUCAGACAAGCGCGCGGCACGACGAAGGAAACCCACGCAGGGAGCGAAUUGGGCGCAGCGACGGGUCAAAUCACGUCGACCUGCGAGCCGCACAGGCCCCCAUCUCGGUCAUUACUACGGGGUACUCCUUGCCUGAACGGCUCCAUCCCAGUGACAACAGCUCGGAUCCAAUGCAGGCUUGAACACGGCCAUAAGCCCUGCUUAAAAUCCCAGUACAGAUUUGGUCGCAGAGCAGCAGUAACGGCUGCUGCAGACGUGCAAAUGGAACACAACGUGGUAGGAGUACAGUAUGUGGUGUGUACAGUACUGCGCGGCGCGUGCCACAAAUGUUGUUUUACUGGACGUGACAGCAUGUGUGGUGGGUAGGAGUACUGUGGCCAAAGAUUCGUCUCGUGAUUUACAGGUAAACUGUAUAAUUAGUUAUCUUUUUUAUUAAUAUUUAAUGCUCCAUAUAUGUACCGUAAGAUUCGAUGUGACGAGAAAUCUGGUAAAGUUUUGGGUUUUUGUUGCUAAAAAGAACGGGAAUCAUUCCCGUACAAUGGCAAAGCAAAUUAUGAUUUGAUUUGAACUGUUGGUCUAUCACUCUAUCAGUAAAAAAUCACCGUGCGGCCCCGCGAUAAAACACCGGUCCUACGGGAUGUUUCAUGCCUAGGUUCCCGCGAUCAUCACUUUAACCCAAACAGUAUGGCUUUGGUCGCGUACUGCAGCUAGCAGCGACAGCAUUUACAUUUUGCUACGUGAUGAACGAACGAAUUCAUGGAGUUACCGGUUUGCACGGAUGUACCAAGACUAUUGAACUAUUUUUAGCUCGGUAGGAAAUGGCACGAUGAGAAGAUGAGUGGCGGCAGCUUACUUGGUGCCUGGUUGACGACGUAGGCGGCGCCGGCGAAGUCGCAGGUCCCGAUGGAACGGCCCUUGCGCUGGUAGUAGUCGUUGAAGGCGUAGGAGGCGUGCGCGACCAUGGUGUUGGGCUCGAAGCACGCCGCGCCGGGCUGGAUGGCCUUGCAGUCCGCGCCGCCGGGGCCGCACGCGUAGUCCAGCGCCGCCUGCAGCCGCUGCUCCCCGACGAUCGCAUUCGCCACGCACCACGCCUCCCCGGUCGUGACCUUCACCCCGCUCGGCGGAUUGCCGCUGGUGCUGGUGCUGCCGCUGCCGCUGCUCGGCCCGCCGUUCUCCUGCCACCCGAGGCCAUUGUUGCCCUGGCUGCCGCCGCCUGAAGGGUUGCCGCCGCCACCGAGGACGAAGUCGACGUCGUACACCUUCUGCUGGUUCGGGUAGAAGACUCCGUAAUUGCGUUCAGAGGUGGGCCCGGGCUUCUGGUUCUCGUUGAAGAGCGCGAAGAGGUACACGUCGAUGUCGGCGUCGGGGCGGCGAGGAGUGCCAGCGUUGCCGGAAAGCACGCGGCGCGCCAGGUUGCCGUUGUACGCUGCGGCGUUGGCCGCCGAAGCGCCUGCCUCGUUGGCGUCGCCCUUGGACGGCCACCCGGUCUCGGAGACCACAACGCGUACGGCAUUGUAGUUCCCGAGCUUGCUGACCGCGGCGAACACGGCGUCGAGCUGGGCGUCGAGGAGGCUGUAGUACUUGAGGCCGUUCCCGGCAUCGAGCACGCCGGCGUUGGGGCGGAACAGCGCGUAGUCGAGGGAGAUGUCGCCGGCAUUGCCGGAGUAGGCAAAGAACGGGUAGGCGUUCACCAUGAGGUACGACCCGGUCUGCGCCAGGAAGUCGAGCAUGGGCUUCAUGACGGCCUGCGCGAGGUCCUCCCGGAACGCGCCCGCCGACGACGGGUACGACGACGCGAGCGCGGUGAGCGCGAUGGGCGACGACACCUUGACGGCGUUGUCGAGGCCGAGCCUUGCCAGCGCGGCGUGCACGUUUGUCAUGGCGGGGACCAGCUGCGCCGUGACGUUCUUGGCGGACGCGAACACCUCGUUGCCCACGGCGAUGCCGUGGAUCUGCGUCGCCGGGUAGUAGGCCGCCACGUUGCGGCGCACCCACAGGAGCGCGUACGACGCGCGCGACGCCGCCGCGGCGAGCUGCUCGUUGGGCAGCGCAACCACCACCUUGAUUCCGGUGUUGGCCAGCGCGCGCAGCACGGUGGGGUCGGCGUCGUACAGCUUCACCUGCCCGACGCCCUGCUGCUUCAGCAGCUGCACCACCGCCGCCGGAUUCGGCAGGUUGUUCGCCACGCGGCCGUAGUUCACGCCCACCGUCCCCGCCUCUGCAACCACAACCGGUACACACACACCUAUCAGUCACCAAACUGCCACCUGCAUUGCCGCAUUGUUGUCAUAAAAAAAACCCUUAAUCUUUGCGCAUUCCGGCGGUGUUUACCUGCCGGACAAAGGAAGAGGAGCGGAACCGCCACGGCGAGGAGGACGGCGACGGGGAGGCGGCGUAGGGACGCCAUGCUCUGCUGCGGCGCGGUGAGGCAGAGCAAAGACGGCGCGGGGGUGAGUGGGCGAGUGUGUGGGUGUGGGGCGGAGGGAAAGGGCGGAGGCUGGGGAUUUUUAUGGCCGGCGACCUCGUCACGCUGCCAUCCUGGGCCCACGCUAGCCCGUUCGGGGCGGUAAGGGAAAAGUGGCGUGUAUGGGUGGGGCACGUCGCGGCAGGCUCGGCUCGUGCGCGGGGUGGUGGGGCGACGUGGAGGGAGGCAUGUGGCCGCGUGCUUGGGUGUUGCCUGGUUGGUGGUGCGUGUGCGAUUGGGAUCCAGCAGAACCAGUGGCGAUGGAAAGCGAUGAGGAGCCGGGGAGCGCCGGCAGCCGGGGGCAGGAGGCUGGAGAGCGUGGCCCGCUCGCGGCGACCGUUGUUUCGCUGCGCGACGGGCCCCUAACGUACGGCCGUUUUCGGCUGGGGGCGUCUGGUGGUUAGUGGCUAAUCAAUGUGGACGCUGUGUAGUGCGAUGAAUGAGACUGAUGAUGCCAGUGGCUGCUCUGCUCGUCUCAACGGCUCGAAAAUCUUGUAUGGUCUGUCCUGUUUUGUGCCGUUGAACAAAACCCUUUUCCGUGUGUCGUAUGUAGUGUUUGUGAUGAAUGAAUGAGACUGACGAAAGUGGCAUUAACACAAGUAUUCCUUUAUUUGAGAGGAAUUAACACAGUGAUUCUACUAUACUACGUUCCGAUAAGUACAGUGUCUAGGUGUUCACAAGAACACAAAUUUUUUUUCUUGCGAAACAGAUAUGUGAGUGUUCAAGCAGACCUGAAGUCCAACAGGAGCGACCUUUUUUAUUUGGCAUGGUAACAAGAACAAGAAUAGGAUCAGGCGUGGUAUUUUUGGUUGGCCGCUGAAGUCUGAACCUCUCCGAGGCAAAGGGGAGAUAUCGUUUUGGUUGGUGCAGAUUAACACGAAACAGUUGCUGUCAAACUUUGGCCGCCCACUGUACUGGCUGCAGUACUUGCGUGUUUACAACGGACAAGCUAGGCUGGCAGCCGGGUACUGGGGUAGUCGACAAAGGUCUCCCCGCUACUGCUCCCUGCGACUUAACGCUGACCGUAAUCCAGCUCUCGUCUGCAAAUAAACCCCGGCUGUUUGUUCGGUCCGCCAUCAGCCUAUCAUGGAGAAUCACAGACACUGCCGCGUGACACCGACAGCGCUCGCCCGCCGGGCUCGGCAAGUCGACAGCGACUUGGACGCGUGGUCCUCGGGAGGACGUGCGAUAACAGGAUGCAUCCGCCGACUUAAUUGCGUGCUUAGUGAAGGCAAAGCAAAUCAAAGCAAUGCAAGCGAUUAAGUACAAUUGUACAAACACGCACGACACAUGAGCUAGUGCACCGGCCCGGGCAUGGCAAGUGCAGCUGCCUUCGGUUGCCAUUGCCGACAUCAGCUUUGCCGUCGUUGCACAGCACAGCGGCGACAUGCAUGGACCGGGGAUUUAUUACUGGAGCAGGUAGCCGAAGGUUGUGUUGUGUGUGUGUGUGCAAGUGCAACGGAAAGUUGGUAUGCUGUGGCAAUGGUUGGUUAGGAAAGGCAAUUGGCAAAGUGUGACGGACCAAAUUAAAUAGGGACGCGUCGGUCCAACUUCGGUUACUUGUUUUGCUUGGCCCCAGUCGCGUUGUGUCCCAUGGCAACAAGAGUACACUGUACAUAGCAUGGGGAUCGACCGAGCGACGAGCGUGAACGCGUGAUGCGUUUUGUGAGAAAAGGGAGCGCCUUUUAGGUGAAGCGGUGGAGCAGCGGCUCGUAUAACAACGGGGGCAGGACAGCCGUGCAAGAGUCAGAGAGUGGUUUGGACAGUGCAGAGUGUAGUUUGUAGUGUUGUCAAUGGGCGAGACUAACAACAGGGGAGACGCGGUUCUCAGUGGAGACUGGAGACUACACAUCGCCGAGGGGUCGUUCACAGUCUAAUAAACAACAGAGUUUUGGUUUGUCACAGCUACAUCAUGUACUGUGACACGGCUAGACACACACGAAAAAGUCUCCCCGCGCAGUCCCAUGAUUCAUACACGCUGCGUAGGCGGCUUUGUGGGUUGUUUGGACGUGGCGAGUAACGUAGCUGCUACGGAGCAUCAUGCUCCGGCCGUCCGUCUUGCUUGUUCUCCACUCCUGCUACAUUUCCCAGUCCCAGCUGCAUGCAUUCGAGGUCGAGGUGAUGAGACACAGCCCAAAGCAUGAUUCGCCGUGCAUGCCAUGCCCGUUCCCGUUCAUGGGGAGUCGCGGAAACAAUCAGGCCGCAUGAGACGGCUUCGUGGACAGGUUUGCAGUUUUGCACCUGCGAACUGUACUAAUAAAGGGACUUUUGAGCAGCGGAGCAAUUUCACCGGCUACAGACGCGACGCGCGCGCGUGGCGGGGCCGGGGCUCCGUGCCCGUGCGUGGGCACGAACACGAAACGAAACGAAACGAUGUGGGGGAAAGCAUGCGGGGUGGAAAAGCGCAGGACAGCUUGGCAACGGGAAAGCGGGCUUGUCCUGCACCCGGCCGCGCCAUGUGCGCCGUGACGCCCCGCAGCUCGCCCCGUCCGCGGCGCGAUCACUCGUCGAGACGACGACUCGGUCUAGCGACGAUGCUUGCGCGACUUGCGAGGGAGACGCCCACGCAUCGCUGGCUGGUGGCUGCUAGUGCGCCGGAGCUCAUGUGGGGCGGCAAGUGGUCAGACAAUUAUGGAGGUCCAGAUUGUUCGCACCCUCGAUCGGGGGCGGGCACGUUUGUCCGUCCGAGCCCGUCGUCGUCGUCGUCGGGAGAGGAAGAGGGGUCGACGGCCCACAUCAGAAAUGCUGGAGAGAAGCGCUCGCGCCGGAGCUCGAUCGGUCUGUUCAGAUUUACAGCAUCCUGUAUACUCCUUUGGUCGAUCAUCGUCACAUGAUAGUAGAGCCGCUAUUCAGAGAUCUCACUGUUCCUUUCCUCGCGCUCGCCACAUCAUGCUCUGUGGCAGUUUCGUUCUCCUUUCAAGCAUGUGGACUGUGGCAAUGGCUGGCGGCUUGGCAAGUUGGCAUCAUCCUUCCUUCCACUCACAGUGACGCCAAUAAAAUCGUGGAUAAAAUAAACUCAGGGCUAUGCAUCAUUGCACGGCAUGUGGGAGUGUCACGUUUGAUUACCCAUGAUCUCUCUAUCGUCGUAAGAACAAGCACCGGCAGCUUAGUGCUCCCUGCUCCGGAUGUAAGUACGUGGCACGGGGAUUCUGGUUACAGCUCCCACAUCAUCAGCUGUCAGCGUGACUGUCUCCCAUGUGGAUCUUCAGCAGUUCAUGAUUUCAUUCAUCUCACCGGAGGCAUUUCCUGUUGCCGUGUGAUUGAAGAAUUCACACCCUUGCGCAGCGGCGCGCCAGAAACCGGGUCCGCGAGAGCAAAAUGACGAGCACGCUCCGCCACUCGACGUCACGGCGGCGUCAUCCUGGGACCAGCCUGGUGGAUGAUUGGAGCUUGGAUUAUUACUGUACUACCGCGCCUGCCACCGGAUCCGUCGCAGUGCAGCGACAACCAUGAGAGGUCAAGACUCAAGACUGCAGUGUGCUCAUGUGAACCAAAAGCUCUUCUUUUUGGCGCCGUGGACACCACGUACAGCAACGCUGCAGUGAGUUCUGCCUCUCACUCAUGACCUGCUUGGACUAUGUAGACCAUUACCUCGGCGCUACCUGGGCCUGGUUUAGUUCAUCCUGAAAUUCAAAAAAUUUUCAAGAUUCCCUGUCACAUCGAAUCUUGCGGCACAUGCAUGAAGCAUUAAAUAUAGACAAAAACAAAAACCAAUCACACAGUUUGACUGUAAAUCACGAGACGAAUCUUUUGACUCUAGUUAGUCUAUGAUUGGACAAUAUUUACCACAAACAAACGAAAGUGCUACUUUCAGUUUUCGGAACUAAACAAGGCCCUGGGAAAUGAGAUCACGAAGGCCUUGUUUAGGCCUUGUUUAGUUCGAAAAAUUUUCAAGAUUCCCCGUCACAUCGAAUCUUUGGUCGCAUGUAUGAAGCAUUAAAUAUACAUAAAAAUAAAAACUAAUUGUACAGUUUACCUGUAAUUUGUGAGAUGAAUCUUUUGAGCCUAGUUACUCCAUAAUUGGAUAAUGUUUGUCAAAUAAAACGAAAGUGCUACAGUAGCCAAAAAACAAAGUUUUUGCCAACUAAACAAGGCCUGUUGACCCUGAAAACCAAAAAGUUUUCAAGAUUCCCCGUCACAUCGAAUCUUGUGGCAUAUGCAUGAAACAUUAAAUAUAGACGAAAACAAAAACUAAUUACACAGUUUAGCUGUAAAUCACAAGACGAAUCUUUUGAUCCUAGUUAGUCCAUAAUUGGAUAAUAUUUGUCACAAACAAACGAAAGUGCUACAGUACCGAAAACUUUUCACUUUUGGGAACUAAACAAGGCCUAGCCGUAGAGUCAGCAUAUUGAGGUCUUGUUUAGUUCACCCUGGAAAACCAAAAAGUUUUCAAGAUUCCCCGUCGCAUCGAAUCUUAUAUCACAUGCAUGAAUAUUAAAUAUAGAAGAAAACAAAAACUAAUUACACAAUUUAGCUGUAAAUCACGAUACGAAUCUUUUGAUCCUAGUUAGCCUAUAAUUAGAUAAUAUUUGUCACAAACAAACGAAAGUGCUACCGUGCCGAAAACUUUUCACUUUUUGGAACAUUAGGCCGUGUUUAGUUGGUGGACGAAAAGAUUUCACGACACUGUAGCAUUUUCGUUUGUUUGUGGUAAUUAUUGUCCAAUCAUGGCCUAACUAGGCUUAAAAGAUUCAUCUAGUAAAUUUCGACCAAACUGUGCAAUUAGUUUUUAUUUUUGUCUAUAUUUAAUACUUCAUGCAUGUGUCUAAAGAUUCGAUGUGACAGGGAAUCUUGAAAAUUUUUGAGAUUUUAGGUGGAAGUAAACAAGGCCUCAGACAAAAAAGACGGAAAAAAAAGAUGUAUCACAAUGCUGAGACGUGAGACCCCAUACGUAAAACACUGAUGGUUCAUGCUUCUAACGCCUAGGUUCAGAGGAUGGGAAAUUUGAUGGCAGCAGAUAUAUAUACACGGGAUCCCGUCAGUAAAAUUAACGUGUACUCAGUCAGGGCUCGAUGUCAGGCAGAGGUGAAAUACCGUGUUUCACUAGCUUGUUCGCCGUCAGGCUAGAACGACAUAUACCUACUACUACUACUACUACUACACUAGAUCUGACACUGUUGCACACAUGGAUGCGUCUACCAAACCCAUGUGGACAUGCCCGUGGGUGAUGGAUGUGGCAGCAUCAUGCAGCAUGCACGCAGGCUGCACCUCCUCCUCAUCUGGCUCCAUGUGCAGCUGGGCAAUACAUGACACAGAAGAAGAAUAGACGAUAUCUGGGCAGAGAGAGAGAGAAGAAAUCAAUCUCAAGUUCUCAACCUACAAUGGGAACAUAUGUGGAGAUCAUCUGCAAUAUGCAUUGCAGAUGAGUUUGACAUAGUGACAUACUACCAAAGAGAACAGAAGGGGUUCCUCGGAUAUGCACGCAAGUCUGCUAGAGCAAGGAGUGUAAACACGCGAGCAAAGAGUUACCAAGCGGAACAAUAUGUAAAAGCGCACUGGGUUUAUGCACGUAAGAAUGCCAAUUUCACAUGUAUAGCCCGUUCGUUUGACCUUAUUUACCAAAUCUGCCAACCAUUAAACAAUGUUUCUCUCUCACAAUAAAUUAGCGGAUAAUACUUUCACUUAUAGCUUUUUAGCCAAACGAUCAGGCAGUUAAGAACAUAACUGCUGGAAUGAGGUCCGUAAGACGAAAGAAUGACACUUCUUUGCGCAGAAAACUGAACACUGAAUACUCGAGACAUGCAUUGCAAAACUGCUGUCCAGAGGGAACAUUACAUGCGGAUAUGCACAGGCCUACUAUACAAGCUAACUAUUAUUUUACAAAAAAAAAAACAGCAGCUAGAAGAUCCGCGUAUGUACAGUUGCAGGUUUUGCUUCACUGCUUGCCAGGUACUUGGUACACAAGGAAACUGCUGGUUACUGGUUAGAGCUAUGUAACGGAACUUUCAGCGUCAAUGUACAACUCCACUAGACUCUUCCUUGGUUUUUAUGUUUUCCGAAGGCCCCCAAUCAACUCUUGUUAUUGAUUGUUCAAUCUCCAUAUUUUGUUCGGCUUACAUUGUUUUGUUUCUUGCCAUUUGAGCUGGAUUUGCGCUGAGUUAGCUUGUUAAUUGCUCAGUAACCUGCCAACUGCACUGUUAUCUUGUCUUGGCUUUCCUUCUCUGCAGAAAAACGUACCAGUGGACACUUUCAGAGGAGUGAAAGGAAAGAAAAAGAGAAGGCAACAAAAAAAAUUGAGGGGCAACCCAUGUGUAUAAAUUAAUGUAGAAUGCAGAUGUUAGGAUAACAAACAUCGAAGUAAAUUCCAAGUUCAGAGUAGGAAACUGACUUUAUCACAUAGUUCUCAGUACAUGUCCUCUUCCUAAUAUCAUAUUGUGAUUCAGGAGCAAUUCAAAUUAACUUGAUCCCAGGAAAACAUAAAGUACACUAUAAAAUUCUUUCAAAUUUGCUUCUUCAAAAUGGCAGUAUAGGUUUAAUUACCGAGUAUCUUAGGCUAACAUAACAAAUAUGAACACAAGAGAAAACUUAUUCUUCUAUAAUUUCAUAAGAAUUCUUGAGUUAACACAAGGGCAACAGUCUGCUUAAGUAUUGAAUGCACAAGUACUUACAUGAUGAUUCUGGCUGCUAUACUUCCGAGUCCCAUCACGGUAAGCGGUAUACCGUGCACCAGGUGAGGCAUGAGAUAUGCGCCGGAGAAACACUUGAAUGUGAUUGUAAAUGCUGCAGGAAGCAGUAGUAGUUAACACCUAGCACACUUGAAGUUAUAAUGCAACCUAACUUUGGGAAGAAGACGACAAAAUUCGUUUUGGGCAGUUUGAUGGGGGUUGGAGGGGAUUGAGGGGGUUGACGGGGAUUUUGACUUGUAGAGGAUAAAAUCCCCCUCAAUCCCUUUCAAUCCCCUUGGAUUGGGGAUUAACUAAACAAGCCCUAUUCUGUGUAAGAGAUGCUGAAAAGGUCACUUAAACAGUCAGGGGGAAAUAAAAGCCAUUUUGAAGGAUAAUUUUUGAACUCAACAGUAAACCAAGGUAUCAUUUUGAUUUUUUAUUUAAUGUUCUUCAGAUCUUACAACUGUAGCAUUGCAUAGCAUAGGUGUCUGAAGAAAAAAACAUACCUGAGCCGGUGCCUAUUACAUGUUGAAAAGAAGGCAAUAAAACCAUACAAAAUGCUCCGUAGUGCUCGGAAAAUCUGAAAGAAAAAAAAUUCAAAGUAAGUUUCAUCGAUAGUUCGAUGUAUGCUUCGGCAGUGCCAACGAACUUCUGAUACCUGAUACAGAAGAUCUUUCCAGAGUGAGCCCCAGAUGCUAUUAUCAGAUGUAAGCAAAGGUGAGCUGGGAACAGAUCCAACUUGAUAUAAGGCAGUUAGUGUUGACCAGCUCUCCCUUAGAACACUGACAAUAUCAACAAAAAGGUCCACAGCAAAACUUGAUAGCCCAAUGACUAGUCGGAAAGGUGCAGCUAGUAUCUCUCCAAGUAGCCAAAUGAUUGGGUACAGAAUUGAAUUUACUGGUGACAGAAACAAAAUUAGCAUGGCAUAAGAAUUAAAACAUGGAAAGAAAACGAAAUAGAUGAUGUAAGAGGUUAUAGCAACCAUACCAACGCUAAUCAUAGUACUGAAGACAAACCAAAAUGGCCAGAUAAUCAUCUCCACUGUACCGAUAACUACACUCCAAGACGUCUCCAGUGCUACCAUGACAACUGAACUCAGAUGUCCUGCUGUCUCAGCACAAAGGUUCCACAUUGGCAUGGUAAGUUCCAAAACCUCCACAAUUGGUCCCGCAAUUGGCUUUGUCAAAACACUAAGAACAGACUUAGCAGCACCCACAAUCUUAAGAGACCAUGUAAAAGCCUGCUGAAAGUUAUGCAGGAAAAGCAUAGUUCCAAGAUACUUAAGUCUUGAUAUCAUUUCCCACGUUUCUAUCCAAUCAAAGAAAGGGCCAAAUAAUCUUGAGGCAGUUGCCUUCAACAUGGGCACAUUCUUGUAGAGGUCAUAAAAUCCUAUAAGAACAGUGAUUAAUGACAUCAAGACAUACAAUGCUCUGGCAAGAGGGCACAUCCAUGGGCGAUAUAUCUUGCAAAACACUGGAUAUGACUGAAGAAAUAUAACCCAUGAAGGAAGGCCAUAUUCAAGUAGUGUUAACAGUCUGACAUCAGAUAGUAUGACUUCUUUCAGUCUGAAUGGAAGGUCAUGAUCAUCAAAGCGGAAGCAGAUCAGUACAUCCUUAUAUGUGCUAGGCUCCAAUAGCGGCUUAACAUUCUCAUUAUCACUGUCACACGAUGAACAUGAAGAUGACAAAUGUGUUGGCGAGGCCACAAUUUCUGUGUAUGAUUCUUCAGUCGAACUACUUCCAUCAUCUGAUUUUGUUAUUUUUCUUCUCUUGUAAGGUCCAGAGGAAGGAGGUGCAGUGUAAGAUGAGUCUGUGAAACCUGAUGACUCUCUAAUGAUUUGAACAUGGCUAGAAUCAUCACUGUCACUUGGUAAAUUCUCACUGUCCCAUUCAGGUGUUAAGAAAUCAUUCUGAGCAUCAUAAAAUAUACCACCUGUACAGCAAGCGUAUAAGUGCUCUGUACUACCAGUAAUGAAGAGAAAAGGGAAAGGGUUACUAUCAGUGAUUUUACCAUUAGAAGAGAUGCUGUUCAAAUAGUCCUGUAGUAGCUGACAUUCAGAGGGAUUUCCUGAGAACCAAGAAGUGAUCAAUGUUGAAGCUUGAUUAACACUAUCAAAUUCCCAUCUCUUCAUUAUUUUAGACUCCACAACCAUUGAUGUAUCCGUCUACAAUGAUACUAAAAGAAAUAAGUUUGUCGCUUUGUUCCAUGAAUUAAAAGUCAUCAAUAUGAUCCCUAACAGUAAGACUAUCAACAUUAAUAGACUGUACCUGAAGUUCAUUCAAAUAAUUGAUGCCACGCACAUCAGCCCAAUCUACCUCAAAAAUGAUAAAACCAUAUAAAGUCUGAUGAAGCUCCCUGUUCAGUAUGCGGGCAUCCUUCAACUUAUUUACUUGAAGCUUCUUUUCCCGCAUAGCCUCAUCGAUCAAGGAAUACCACCUGGAAGAUUUAUUCUGUAAAUGGGCAGCAGAUACCGAGCUUGUUGAGAAUACAAGCUUCCCAUCAGUUUCAUCUCUCUUUCUCCUAGUCCUAGAGUUGGCGAAAGGGGAAAACCUUGACUGGAGAAAAAAAAAAGAAUCAGAUUGUUAGCAAUGCAGUGAAACUUAAGCAAGAAAGAGAUACUGCCAUAGGUGUGCAUAAAGCAGCGAGAACAACAGACCUUAGUAACCAUCAAUUGCCAUAGAUGAGCAGGUUUUGUAUCCUGAUCUAGCAACCAUGGGCGGUUGUCAAGCAAUAUAAGGAACUUCUUGGUAUGAGGGCACAGAAAUAUUGUCAGUUCUGCAAGAUACGACUGUAAAUCCCUGCAUUUAAAAUUAAAGAAAACUUUGUUUAGUUCCUUGUUCAUACUAGAUAGGAAUGAAAAUUUACUAUAAUUUACAAACAAUAUCAGUGUAUCAGAUCAAUGUAAAAAUCACGCCCCACCCUAAAAAGCAUAUUCCAUCUUACAUGAGCUAGGACAAAUAGUAACAGAUGACACAUACAUUGAGAUGUCAAGACCCACAAAACUAAAUAGACGCAACCACGGAACUGACAGUGCAAAAUGGUCACCAGCACAGCACUAGUUCUCGUUUGCAGAUACCAGCGCCGGGAAAAACAUAUUAGACAUUCAGCUGUGAACAUAUAUUGAAUUGCUUAUUUUUCAGCUUUUCUUUCAGUUGGUCUGUGGACGCUCAAGUUCAAAUAUGAGUGGAAAACUGAAAACACAGUACUUCAUAAACCAAUAUAUGCACACACGCAACAGAAGCCUGAGCAGUUUUUGCUGGGACCACUGGACAAAUUUUACUACUACUCUACCAGCAGUCGAACACAGUUCAAAGUUGGGGUUUCGCUAUGAAUGGCAAAAAAAUAUAUAAGCCUCGAGUGCACGGCACUGACCACCUGUCGCUUCAACUAGCAAUAUUUCCAACAGUGGGUUUCCUUUCCAUAUGGCGAGUGGCGACCACGCAAGUGUACCUCCCGAAACAUCUAUAGAUGCGAAUAAAACUACCCAUUUCCCGUUUUGUGGCAAUUCCUGUCCGUUUUCCAAAAACAGUAUGUUAGAAUUAUCUUCUGCAGGCGGCACAAGCAAGCAAGUCACUUUUUUCAGGUAAUCGGGUUAAUGCCAGUUUCCCCGCAAGAACUAAUGGUAAAUUGUACUCAAGAAAAAGGGAAAAAAACAAUCUGAAUUGUGCACAUAUAUGCCUCAUCCGGAUAGAAACAACAAAUCAACAUUAAAACCAGACCACAUUGCAAUCUUAACGACCUUAUAAACAGUAAAACAACGAAAUUCGCAACAGGGAGGAAAAAAGAACGCCAAAAGGCAUUCCGCUCCAUUAUUCCAAUGAGCAACAACAGCACGCCGGCAACCGGCGGCCAGCGGUCUUAUUGCGGGCAAACGAGCAACAAUCGCACGACGAAUUCCGAGCACAUUAGAGAAAAUCCCCGCGAAAGACGUACCCGAUUUGCAAGCUGGUGAGCGGGAAGAAAUGCCUCUUCUCGCCGGCCCGCUCCAUCUCGCCGCCCAGCUUCCUCCUUCACCGCUGGGGAACGCGAGGUUCUUGCAUCAAGCGGCAGAUCAGACGCCGGAGACCCCAAAUCCGCAAGCGAGUAUAGCGGAAUCGGAGAGGCUUCCUCCUCAAGUACCUUCCUCGAGGUCAGCUAUGUCCUCCCAUGGCGUCGUGCUUAUCCGCAUGCCAAGGUGGCCAGGUACCAGAGCCCGGAGUUAAUGCCCGCGCGCGGGCGGUAAAGACACCGCCCCUCCCGCCUCCCGUUUCCCCACGCGGUAGCAGAUCGUCAAUGGCUUCCUACUUCCAACACGCCGCCGCACGCCGCCACCGCCGCCGCGCGGCUGCCACGCGGUCUGGAGCUCCGCCCGCGGCAGCGAGGAGGGCGGUGACCAGAUCGCGGCGAGGCGAGGCGAGGCGCGGCGCGGCGCCCCCCGCGGGAGAAGGCAGGCAGGCAGCCAACCAACCAGCGGCGGGCGCGGGGGUCCGGGCCGUGGCAGCCUACCCUUUUGCUUUGGGUAAACUUCUUCUGUUCUGCGUGCGCCCGAGACAGUUCGGAUAUUUAGCAGCUGAUGACAUGUGGGGGCGAUGCUUCCGCGGACCCCACGCGUCAGGCAUCCCCCGGCACUUUGUUUAACGCGGGCGGGCGCGUUCGGCGCGGGGCGAUAGCUGACAGGCACAAAUGUCGACGCACCGGCACCGCGUUACUGCUGGUGGGGCCCGGCCGGCGGUUUGUGUGCUUGCCCCACAAGGCAGCGUGAUGCGCCUCCGCGGCUGUCGUCAUCUCGUUUUAGCACUUCUGCUUGCCGCGCGUCCAAGCAAAGGGAGCUGCCGGUUUCUCCCUGACGCGUGGGUUCUGGGCCCCGUGGGACCACGCGGCAGUGGAAGGGGGGCUAGAGCUGUGAUGCGAGACUUGCGUGUUCAGGCUAGCGGGAUCGUCUGCGUAGUUGUGCUGGAGUCCUUGGUGUGCAGGUUCUCAGGUUUCUGACGUGCGCCGAGGGAUGGGCACGGUCCUCCGAGAUGGCGUUUUGGCGCGAGCCCGUGAGGUGUGCGGUGUUCGGAUAGAUGCACGGAAGCGCGGAAUACCACGGGGGCACGCAAGCAAACGAACGGCGUGCGCGUGACGCCUCGUGGCUCGAGCCGAGCGACGGGAAACGCAAUUGUUGCUUUGCAGGCAAAAUUAAUUAUUGGCAGGCAAUCUAGGCCUUGUUUAGUUGGCAAAAAUUUUUAAGAUUUCCCGUCAUAUUAAAUCUUUGGUCGCAUGUAUAGAACAUUAAAUAUAGACGAAAAUAAAAACUAAUUGCAAGUUUAUCUGUAAUUUGUGAGAUAAAUCUUUUGAGCCUAGUUACUCUAUGAUUGGACAAUGUUUGUCAAAUAAAAACGAAAGUGCUACAGUAGCCAAAACCUAAAAAUUUUGCAAACUAAACAAGGUUCUACUACGGAGGGAGUAGAAUUGAUCAGAAGCUGUAGUAGUCAAUGAUCGUGGGCCUAGGCCUUGUUUAGUCAAAAAAAUAUUUGAAAAUUUUGUUAGAUUUCCAUCAUAUCAAAUAUCAAAUGUUGUAGCUCAUGCAUAAAAUAUGAAAUAUAAAUAAAAGAAAUAAUUAAUGAAGUCUGAAAUAGAGGCUUUGUUUAGUUUAAAAUAUUAGGAUUGUCUGUUAUAUCGAAUCUUUGCAUGUAUAUAGAAAGCAUUAAAUAUAAAUGAAAAUAAAAACUAAUUAUACAGUUUACUUGUAUUUUGUGAGACAAAACUUCUAAACGUAGUUAAUCCAUAAUUAAACAAUAAUUAUCAGAUACAAACGAAAGUGCUAUAGAACCUCAAAAAUUUCGCGAACUAAAACAAGGCCAGAGUCCUAGGCCUUGUUAGUUCAUCCCAUAAUUCAAAAAAAUUUUCAAGAUUUUCCGCCACAUCAAAUCUUGUGGCACAUAUAUGGAGCAGUAAAUAUAGACGAAAACAAAGACUAAUUACACAGUUGAUCUGUAAUUUACAAGACGAAUCUUAGCCUAGUUAGUCUAUAAUUAGAUAAUAAUUAUCAAAUACAAACGAAAAUGCUACAGUGUCAAAGUCUAAAAAAUUUUAUAACUAAAUAAGGCCCUAGUAGUAGAUUUUUGCAACUUCUUGAUGGCAAAGGCCAAUCAAAGUAUCAAACAACAAUGUUUGACAAAAAAAUUGUAGAAAUAUAUAUAGAAGUAUGAAAAUGUUAAACCUACUUUUGGAUAGCCAAUCCAACGAUACUUUUAUUGCUUUAGGCCUUGUUUAGUUCUAUUUUUUUUUAUUUUCGGGACUGUAGCACUUUUGUUUUUAUUUGACAAACAUUGUCUAAUCAUGAAGUAACUAGGCUUAAAAGAUUCAUCUCGCGAUUUACAGGUAAACUGUGCAAUUAGUUUUUAUUUUCAUCUAUAUUUAGUGCUUCAUGCAUGUGCCGCAGGAUUCGAUGUGACGGAGAAUAAGGCAUUAUUUACUUAAUUAACUUUUUUAUGACAACAUUUUUGUUUACUUAGUUAAACACAAACAUUUUUAAAAAUAUAUAGAUAUAAAUAUAUUAGUGAAAGUGAGAAUAAUAUAACUUUAAAUUGUUAAUUGUAUAUAGUGAAUUCUUUGUAUCUAGAAAACCUAAACGAUUUACAAUUAGAACUGAUGGAGUAGUUAAAUUAAAAGACGGAUGAAGUAGAACUAGUUCAUUCCAGCAUGUAGUUGAACAUUCUUAAAAGAAGAAAGAGAAGAAGAGCAACAUGAUUGAAGUAUCCGUGGUGGCACAUAGGAUAAUUGAGCCAUCUACUUGUCUUAAUCAUGCCAGCAAAAAAAAAAAGGAUCAAGUGGCUUAUCAAGGUCCGCACUGACAUGUUAGUGCUGUUUUGGUCUCUGCUACGAAAAGGAGGAACUGAUUGAGCCCCUCUGCAUUCUCCACAUGGCGGAUCCUGGGUCAAGGCCUUGUUUAGUUUCAAAAAAUUUUGCAAAAUUGACACUGUAGCACUUUCGUUUGUAUUUGACAAAAAUUGUCCAAUCAUGGACUAACUAGGCUCAAAAGAUUCGUCUCGUCAAUUUCGACCAAAAUGUGCAAUUAGUUUUUAUUUUUAUCUAUAUUUAAUACUUCAUGCAUGAGUCUAAAGAUUCGAUGUGACGGGGAAUCUGAAAAAUUUUGCAAAAUUUUUUGGGAACUAAACAAGGCCCAAAUCCAAAAGCAUAUCCGGCAAUACCACGCGGAUAUGCCGACACGGCCAGAUCGGGCUGAAAGCGAAGAACAAAGGCCUUGCUGGACCGAUGGGCCAUCGGCCACAUCAUUACUAGCCGGAAGUCGUCGUUACUGUACUACUCCUAGUCAACAACGACUCGCGUCCGAGUCCAAUCCGUUUCCUGCCACGGGCAAGGCGGGCCCAAAGAAAUCACACUACUAGCCCAUUACCGGAGAAAACACAGCCCAUUACUGUACGACUACUUGCAACUUAGAAGUCGGUCCGACGGUUUUCCUGGCUUACAGCCCUUAAAUACCCACUCUCCAGCAAUACUAGCGCCCCUCCGGCACCGCCUCUGCGCACCCAACUUCGCCGAGGCAGCAACUGCAACACAAGCUCUCGAGGAGGAGUCGAGGGUUCUCUCACCGCGCCCAAGCUAAGCCGCCGAGUUUGUCGACCAGCAAGGAGCGCCCGAAACCCUAGUACCGCCGCCGCGGCCGCUGCUAAAAUGCCUCGCCGCAGCCGCGAGGAGGAGGAGGAGGUCGACGACAUGGAAGAGGAAGAGGAGGAGGAGGAGGAAGAGAGGGGCGGGAAGAGAUCGCGAGCCGGGGGCCGCGGGAAGCGGUCGGGCGGAGUAGAGAGCUUCAUCGACGACGCCGCCAGCGAGGACGAGGACGCGGAUGAGGAGGAGGAGGACGACGACGACGAUGAUGAUUACGGGGGCGGCGGCCGUGGGCGUGCCUCUAAGAGGAGGCGGUCGUCGAUCCUGAUCGACGACAUGGCCCAGGUCGACGACGACGACGACAUCGACGACGAUAGUUCGGAUGUCGAGCCCGGUGAGUCGCUGAUUGCCCUAUCGAUCGGGUUCCAGUUCCAACUUCCGACCUUGUGUGUAGAAUCGCUCGGUUGAUCUUACCAUAUCCUAAUCCCUAAUCCGCUGAAUUCACCGUGAAAUUACCCGAUUGUGCACCGUUUGCUUUCAUUUUAUGCCGUGCAUUGGCCAUGGCUGACAAAUGCAUUGUUAGAUGUUAGUUUCUUCUCUGGACUAACAAUGUGGACAUAAGGACAUUGAUUCCAUUUGGGAGCUGUCAGGAAACAAAUGCAGAUUCGUUUACUUGUCGGUUUAUUAUGUUUGAUUUGAUUCUGUGUUUUUAUAAGGCCCGCCAGCUAGGUUUUUAACGAGGUUGUGUUGGUUUAGUCGCAUUAGGUACGUAGUGAUGGUUUCUGCAGAGCUUUUGCAACCCUCAAAGUUUAGAACCGAACUUCAUUUAUUUCGGGGAUUUCAUAUUGAUUUGGAUAUCUUCUCGAAGGAAGCACCUAGUUCCUGCUCCAUAAAUCUUAUCAAUUGUCAACAUUAUGUUUACACCUACCCCUGAAAUACUCGAGGGCUUGUACACCCAGUUAACAGUAUACCAGUGUGGAGAGAAUCGUUUUCCAAGAAAAUAUAGGAUUUCUACAUUAGUUGUAUCUGUUAAUUAUGUUGUUUCUUUUGUCAUUCUUCUGUUUCUAAUGGAUACCGCUCAGUGCCUUAAUUGGACAAUGUGAAUGUUACACUUAAUUGAUUGCUAAAUUGCAAUGACAUUCCUUUGGUGAACCCGGAUGCAGUUUACCAUGACUACUUUUGUGUUGAGUCGCCGUUAGAGAGAAGCACAGGCAAGGAAGCAUCUGUGUCACUGCCAUGACUUGUGCACCAUUUUCCUUUUAUCAGGCUUUAUAGACGAUACUGAUGCUGGGGUUGAAAUUCGUCACAAUGAUGCGGCAAGAAGGUCUAUUCCUCAUUCUAGCUCUAUGUUGGAAGAUGAUGAGGAUAUGCAAGAGAUUGUGAGGCGACUACAAAAUAGAUAUAAAGAAGCAUCCCAUUUUGAUUAUGACGAGGAAGUUACCGAGGUUGAACAGCAGGCUCUCUUACCAUCAGUGAAGGAUCCAAAGCUUUGGAUGGUGAAAUGUGUGGUAGGUUAGCUGCAAGUUCUAGAAGAAUAAGAUCUGCUCUAUCAUUUAUUCUUUGUACAUUUGAACAUCACUAAUAUCUUAUUAUGACUUCAGAUCGGACAUGAGCGGGAAACAGCAGUUUGUCUAAUGCAAAAGUUCAUUGAUAGGUCAGAUCUCCAGAUAAAAUCUGUUGUUGCACUAGAACACCUAAAGAAUUUCAUUUACAUUGAAGCAGAGAAAGAAGCCCAUGUCAAAGAGGUCAGUGGUGCUUCACUUGACAUUUUUAUUCAUUUUGGUACAGUGUUUUAAGUGAACUUAAUUUCAGGCUUGCAAAGGCUUGCGGAACAUUAUUGCUUCAACAAAACCAACUUUAGUUCCUAUAAGAGAAAUGGCUGAUGUCCUCUCUAUUGAGAGCAAGUCUGUUGACCUUUCAAGGGACUCGUGGGUUCGGAUGAAGCUUGGUAUGUAUAAAGGUGAUCUUGCUAAGGUAUAAAGGGUGAUCUUUGCUGCCUCCAGUCCCUUAGAAUACACGCAAGAGCCAUGUAUAAAGUUUUAAGAAGAAACUCAUGUUUUAAGGGGUUUACAAUUGAAGGAUCUACUUCCUGUCCUAACAGGCUUUCUCUGUAUUUUGUUUUGACUACCUUUAGGUUGUUGAUGUUGACAAUGUGGGCCGAAAGGUUACUGUUAAGCUCGUUCCUAGAAUUGAUUUACAAGUGCUGGCAAAUAAACUGGUAAGUUUAUUCUUAUACUAGCAAAAUAUCUGAGUCUAUUGUUCAGCAAAACUUAUGUAAAGAUGUACGGUAUUGCAUCUUCUGUGAACUGGGUAACUUUUUAUAGGUUUUACAUGAUUAUUAUGUUAUUUUAACACACGAUCUCAGGGUUUCCUUUCUCGUGAGAUUCUGAUUAGUUUUCUUGCAAUGAUAUUCAAAAUGUUACUGAGGCCUACAUAUCUAGAGGAUUUUCUAUAUCCCAUCUUAUGGGAAAAAAAGUCAUGCCUUUUCUUUGUCAUGCUCCUUCUUGUACUUGCUCAUCAAAUCGCUUUGCUUGAUGAAUGAAUAUUCUGGUCUUUUCAGGAUGGGCAAGAGGUCCCGAAGAAGUCAUUCAUUCCACCACCUAGGUUCUUUAGUGUCGAUGAGGCGAGGUGCUUUUCAUCCCUCUUAUUAUCAUUGUAAUAGUGUUUUGUAUUUGUAUUUAUUGGCUUUUGCUGUUAUUUGCUAACUCGAAUGAAACAGGGAGUUGCACAUCCGUGUUGGCAGAAGGAGGAAUAGAGAUUCUGGGGAAUACUUUGAUGUUGUUGGUGGUUUGCUGUUCAAAGAUGGUUUCUUGCACAAAACAUUCUCUAUAAAAUCGAUCAGCACGCAUGAUAUUAAGCCAUCAUUUGAUGAAUUAGAGAAAUUCAAAAAACCUGGUGAUGACCUCAAUGAGGAUGUGGCUAGCUUGUCCACUCUGUUUACAAACAGAAAAAAGGGCCACUUCAUGAAAGGUGAUGCUGUAAUUGUUAUUAAGGGUGACCUCAAGAACUUAAAAGGCUCUGUUGAGAAGGUGGAGGAUAGUACCGUGCACAUUCAACCAAAACUAGCUGGGCUUCCGGUAGUUACUCGCAGACUGAGUUACUAUUUUAAGGAUGAUUUUGUUACAGUACUUGAUCAAUAUUUACGUAUGAUACUUUCCUUCAUAAUCACAGAGAACACUUGCCUUCAGUGAGACGGAUCUCUGUAAAUAUUUCAAUCCUGGAGACCAUGUAAAAGUCAUAUCUGGAGUUCAAGAGGGUGCGACAGGCAUGGUUGUUAAAGUGGAAGGUCAUGUUUUGAUCAUUUUAUCAGACACUACCAAAGAACAUGUGAGAGAUUUUGCUUUUCUGAUGUGUUAAUAGCUGCUUAGCGAACACCGUUUUUGGGGGUAUGCUUUGACCUUUUACUGUCUCUGUUAUUAUAGAUCCGUGUGUUUGCAGACCAUGUUGUGGAGAGUUCUGAGGUCACCACAGGGGUUACCAGGCUUGGUGAUUAUGAAUUGCAUGACCUUGUUCUUCUUAAGUAAGUUGUUUUCUUUAGUGAACCGUUAUUGCUCCAGUUUUGUAUUAGCGAAUUAUAUCUUUUGGUAGAUAUGAUUGCUUUCCUUAACUAUAUAUAUCUAUGGUUAGCUAGGAACUUUAGUGACUAUAUAUCUAUAUCUGGAUAUUGUUUCUUACAUGAGGUUCUAUGGCAUUCUUGCUAGGAUCAGUUAAGGAAAGCAAUUAUAUCUACUGAAAAUCAAUCCGGUAACAAUUUAUUCUGAAUGGAUAUGAACUAACUCAUUCCUCUCAACUUUUCAGCAAUUCAUCUUUUGGGAUUAUCAUACGGGUGGAGAGUGAAGCAUUUCAGGCAAGCAGAUUGUAUCUAUCUUGUUUCAUGGAUUUGAUGAUUUAUGUACUAAUAUAUUGACCUUAAUAUAUAACUAGGUUCUGAAAGGUGUGCCUGAUAAACCUGAAUUGGUCCUUGUAAAACUGAGAGAAAUAAAAUGUAAGAUUGAUCGACGCACAUCGGCAAAAGAUCGGUACAAUAACAUUGUGUCAACUAAGGAUGUUGUGAGGAUUGCUGAAGGAGCAUGUAAGGUGUGUCUAACGUCACAUGAUCUUGUACUUUUCAGUUUGUAUCAGAAGAUAUGAUUGUUUUGAGUAUAUUUUAUAUAUCUAUUCUUUUUUCUUGACAGGGAAAGCAAGGUCCUGUGGAACAUAUACACAGAGGCAUACUUUUUAUCUAUGAUCGCCACUACCUUGAGCAUUCAGGAUUUAUCUGUGCAAAAGCACAAUCAUGUUUCCUUGUUGGGGGGUCAACUGGCAGCCACUGUGGGAAUGUAUGUGCUAAUAUAUACUCAAGAGUUGGUCAAUCCUUAAAAACUGCAAACAUCAAUAACUAUUGCAUUAUUUAGUUUGAAAACAUGUAGUAUAUGUGUCUAUUCAAAAUACUUGCAAAAUAUCUUAUAUUUGAAGGAUUUUAAGAAUAUAUUCUUGAAGAAAUUAAUGGUCAAAGAUACACAUCGUAAAAUCGUGCAAAUGUUAAAUAUGUCAAGUAUUUAUGAUGGGCAGGAGUAUUGAUGUACUUUAGAGUUUAGAAUACCGUGCCUGACCAUACCUUUUUGUUAUCUUACGCAGUCCAUGGAUAAAGCAGAUCCACAGUUUCGCGCUUUUGGCUCUCAAGCAAGGAUUUUGCAGUCUCCAGGGAGGCUGCCCCCAAAAGGACCUCACAUGAAUUGUACGAACCUUUUUAAGUUGAAAAAACAUCUGCUGUUAUGGGCUCCAGUAGCCUAUUUAUUUGUCCGUAGCAAAUCGAGUUAGUUCCCUUGUGUUAUACAAUAAUGCAUGCCUCCUAUGUUAUUCAGCUGGUGGAAGGUUUGGAGGUAGAGGCAGUGGUGGUAGAGGGCACGAUACCCUGGUGAACAGAUGUAUCAAAAUUAGAUCUGGGCCAUAUAAGGGAUAUCGAGGCCGUGUUAAAGAAGUAACUGGUGUGCUUGUGCGUGUAGAGCUUGACUCGCUGAUGAAAAUUGUCACAGGUAAGUCUGUUUCAAGUGUACUUGUUUCUCUUAUGUUUAGUUCUAAUAUUUAUUAUGCAAAUAUAUAGUUAAGAGGGAGGAUAUCGGCGACACAGCUGCUGUUGCAACACCAUUUCGGUAACUUUUCAUUUUUGCUCAUCAUCCAUAUUUCUAUAAUUCUAUAUAUGGUUGACUUGUUUAGUUUCAUUUGCUGAUGAGUUGUAUAAGCAGUGAAACUUGUUAUUCAAGGGGUGUUGAAACACCUGUGCAUCCAUCUCGAACGCCACUACAUCCUAUUCAGACUCCGAUGCGGGAUCCUGGAGGUGUGUAUUACAUGCUUUGUUACACUCUAAGAGUAGAUUACUUAAAGUUUACUUAGUAAACAUUUGGCAUUUUGGGAAUGAACAUGAUGGUCCACAGGAUUUGCUUCGACUGUUAAUUUCAUCUUCUCUUAGCAUUUACCAUAUUUGCAAGAGUCACCUUUCCUGGGCUUCCACAUGUAUUGUGUUCCCUAAAAAGUUAGGAAAGCUGGACGAUAUGAUCCCUAGUUUGAUAGGGAAGUACCGUAAUUCUGCUGCACCUACUUUGAUUACUUGAAGAGGAUUUGAGUAUUUGUGGUAUUCGAUCUCUAUGGAGGCAACCAAAAUUGCCUAGUACUUGAACUGAUAUCAACCAACGCAACCGGAUAAAAUGAUGUAUAUGUGUAGUUUCUGCCAUUUUGUUGGAUCAUGCAUUUCUUAAUUUACUUUUCUGGUAACCAUAUUAUAUUAUCUCUACAGCGACCCCAGUUCGAGAUGUAAUGAGAACUCCUAUGCCUAAUCGAGCCUGGGUGCCAUUGAGUCCUCACAGGUCUGUAUGUUCUUUUGCAGAAUACAAAUUAAUAAAAAUUUCCUAGAUGCACAUUGUCUUAUAAGCUGAUAGCUUGAUCUAUGAAUAAAUCAGCUUAAGAACAUCUCGUUUAAAUUUUGGCAAUAGCCUCUAUACUGUUGGUUGCUGACUGUUUCUGUUAUUGACAGGGACAACCGGGAAGAUGGAGAUUCCACUUGGGCAAGCAGUCCAGCCUACCAGGUCUAGUGAGGCCCUUUCUUGUAAUUAUCUUGGAGAUCAUUAAAGUUUUUGCUGGUGACUGAUUGUGUUUCUCCAUCUCUGUUUUUUUCGUUAAAAAAAAUCAGCCAGGAACUCCACGACCUCGACCAUACGAAGCUCCCACUCCUGGGUCAGGGUGGACAAGUUGGGGUGAUGCGUCAGUGAACACCCCAAGCACGAAUGUUCCCUCAACACCUAUUGGUCAACCAAUGACCCCGGAUCCUGCCUCCUAUUUGGUUGGUACUCCUGGUGGCCAGCCGAUGACUCCAGGCUAUGGUGGAAUGGAACUAAUGUCUCCCGUAAUAGGUUCGACCUUGCCCUUCUCUGUACUGUUGCAUUUGCAGUGAAAGACAUUCUACAGUCAGGAUCAUAUUGAGCUGAAUCAAGUCGUCAAUGGAUCAUCAAUCUGGAGGCACUUAAAUGAAUCCUUGUUGUACAAAUGCUUGCAGGUGGCGAGGCUGCGGGAAGCUGGCUGCUGCCAGAUGUUUUGGUGAACGUCUCCAGGGGAGGUGAUGAGGUCAGCAAUGCUGUGGUGAAGGAAGUGCUCCCGGUAUGUGGUUACAUCGGUUAUGAGCGCAUUGUUUCCCCAUUUUUCAUUUGCUUUGCAGUGCUAACGUCUCUGAGAAUCUGAAUUUGCAGGAUGGAUCAUGUCGUGUAUCCCUUGGGCCAUUGGGUGAGGGAGAUGAACUGAUCGUCACUGCAAACGAGCUAGAGGUGGUCAGGCCGAAGAAAAACGAGAAGCUCAAGAUAAUGAAUGGCCCCUUGCGCGGAGCCACAGGAAAACUCAUUGGACUUGAUGGGUCUGAUGGCAUCGUGAAGGUGGAAGGUAGCUUAGACGUGAAAAUAGUGGACAUGGCGAUUCUUGGCAAAUUGGCAGCUUGAAGAAUCUGCACAGUAGAGAUUAUUAGUUCACGAUCGAACUUAGCAUAGUUUAAUUGGUUGCUCAAACUGCCGUUAGCUAUUGGCGUCGUUAGUUUCUGUAUAUGUCGUCCGGUGCUAAGAAGUAAUUUGGAUGUUCAAAAGGUAACUUUCACCGUCGGGUGCUUCUGGAUUUGUUCCUGACUGACAUGAGAUAUGUCGCCGCGCUGUACAGUUCGUGUUUGCUGUGAUAUCGAUAAUAUCAUCCUGUUGUCUCUAUUGAGUUGUUACUCCCUCCAUACCCAAAAAUAAUCUGACGUUUAGAACAUGAUUGUGAUAAUUAAGGAGUGAUUAACUAGGGAUUAGUUCUCUUUCUUUGCCCCUAAUAAAUAGAGUUGUGGUUGCUCUCUAUAAAAAAAAAAGUUAACUAUCUCAACUAGCUAGUGCGUGACAACUUUCAAUGCUAUGACCCAGGUUCGAAUCUUGGCAACCUUACUUUUUCAUUUUGCAUGGGUGCUGCCAUGGGAGGAUGGGCUAGGGACCACGUGAGAGCAUGCAAGAUUGUAUUCGAAUCUUAGCAACCUUACUUUUUCAUUUUGCAUGGGUACUGCCAUGGGAGGAUGGGCUAGAGACCACGUGAGAGCAUGCAAGAUUGUAUGGCAAAGGGUAAAUGAGUUUAAGGACACCUUCAAACCAGUAGAACGUCAAGUUUUGUAAAAACUAUAUGGAAUCCAGAACGUCAGUUUUUUUUUUUUGGCACGAAGAGAGUACUUAUUAUUGGGUGCAACUUUAAUAUGCCAACAUAGAAUCAGACCCGUUAGUCUGUUACAAUAGAAACCACAUAGACCCGCUAUUUAUUCAGUACAUUGACAGAUAUCAAAAAGGAACACUUCUUUUGCGUUGUACUACCACUAUGCUUUAAUGAUAAGAUCCAGAAAACAAGACCUACGAUGUAUAAAUGUUUCAAGAUAGUUUUUAUGUGUACAGUUUACCCUAUGCAUUGAAAUAAAUAAUCCUAGUAAUAUAUACAUGUAUAUCGGUGUACAUGGUAAUGGCAAAGACGAGCAAUUUAAAGCAAGUUCACGUGUACUUUUUAUGAUUGCAGAGAUCAAUAGUUUAGAUGUGGUUUUAGAGGGCUAUUUAUGUUUUUUCACAAUGAUAAAGUUGGUAUUUUCUCUUUAAAAAAUGGAAUAGACCUGGGCCUUGUUUAGUUUCGAAAAGAUUUCGAAUUUUGGUAUUGUAGUAUUUUCGUUUGUUUGUGUUAAAUAUUGUCCAAUUAUAAACUAACUAGGCUCAAAAGAUUCGUCUCGUAAAUUACAGAUAAACUGUGCAAUUAGUUUUAAUUUUCUUCUAUAUUUAGUGCUUCAUGCAUGUGCCACAAGAUUUGAUGUGACGGAGAAUCUUGAAAAAUUUUUAAAUUUCGGGAUGAACUAAACAAGGCCCUGAUCGCUAUUGUUCUUUAUGAGUUCUAAGCAAUCAAAUUGAUGGCGAAAUAUUUCAGAUUAUUAUAAUAAAUUAGUAUUUUAUUCAAUCUAAUGAAUGGUAAACUUUACUGUACUUAAACCAUACAGGCCUUUAUUAAUAUGUGCGUGCAUUGCAGGCCUCCGCUUGAGCCUUUGUGGAGUUAGGGCACUCCUAAUGCUUGAAAGUAUAUGUAGUUUCUAUACAUAUUAAUUUUUAUAAAUAUUAUAUAAAAAAUAUGAUCCCAAUGGAUAGUAAUGAAACUCCAUUAAAACUGGCAUUAUCUAUGCUACCGUUGCCUUCUCAUGCUACAAUUUUAUGCUACCUAGCCCGCACAACCUUUGCGGGUCUCAUGCUAGUAUAUCAUAUGAUUAGUAGUAUCUGUCACCCAAUUCCUCGUCGGGGGUCUCCAUCCUCCGGUUAUCCGCAGGUGACGGGCGUCACAGGUGAGCGAUUUCGGGUGGGCGGUGACGGUCGUCGCAAGUGCGCGACACCCGCACAUGGUGCGCGAUGGCGAAGUGGGACGCUCCUGUCCGCUUGAUUUGGGAGAAUCGAUCCGUCCCGCAUCUGCUGGACGAGCCCAUACCUCUGUGACUCUGAACCCAACCCCGUCCCGUCACAAAUGAAACUCACAUGUGUGCAUAAAUUUCAAUAUUUAACCCUAAAUUCGUGAGCCUCUCAGUAUUUGACAUCCAAUUCGUAAGAUUUUUUAAUAUUUAACCCUGCGUACCUGAAUUAUUUCAAUCUAGGGUAUUUAUAAGAUUUUGUAUCUUUUUUCAUUUUUAAAUAUUUCUUAUUACUGUUUAGCACUUGGAAAAUGACUGAAGUACCCCCUGCCUCUUUAUUAUCCUUUAGUAAGGCCUUGUUUAGUUUCAAAAAAUUUUGCAAAAUAUGAAUAGUACCACUUUCGUUUGUAUUUGACAAAUAUUAUCCAAUUAUGUACUAACUCGACUCAAAAGAUUUGUCUCGUCAAUUCCGACCAAACUGUACAAUUAGUUUUUAUUUUUACUAUAUUUAAUAUUUCAUACAUGCAUCUAAAGAUUUGAUGCGACGGGCCUGACGAAGGCCAUCGUAAUCGUAACUAGCUUCUCGGGUCGCAUUUUUCCGUGGCGAGUCGCAGACAAGCGACACAGUGCGUCUCUUCUCAGCCAGCCUCCCUCCGCUCGCCCAGGCCUCCUCCGCCGGCCGCUGUUCCCUGACUCGACGGCCUAGGGUUUGGGGUGACCGUGCUCCUCGCCGCCGGUGACCCCGCUGGGCGAGCGUCCAUGCCAGUAGAAUAGAGGGAAGGGUAGUGUCGUCAUUUUUCCAUGGCCUAAACAGUGUAAAGAGGUAGCUGAAAAUAAGAAAUGAGAUAAAUUCUUUGUAAUCCUUCGGAUUGAAACAAUUCGCAUGUGCAGGGUUAAAUAUCGAAAGACUUGAAUAUUGAAAUUUCUCCACCUGGUCCUGAAGACGACAGGGAAGCGGUCAUGGCGGCGGCGGAGAACAAGAGGCCCAGGCUCAGCAGUCGAGCAGAGAAGAAGCCAAGUAGGAAGGAGGUCCUUCUCUUUUCUCUCCUCUUCUCGAUUGAGUCCGCAUCACUCAGCUCCUAUGCCUUGCAUCGACUUCCUAGUCUUUCUUUACCUCCAUUGAUUAAUGCAUAGUUGCGCUUGGUAUGCUGUGUGGCCACAGAAAAUCUACUACUGAUGCUUAUGGGUAGUAGAAAAAGGCUCUCCUAGGUUUCUAAUACUUAUUUGAUGUGUUAUACCGAGAGGCCUCUGCAAGAUUUUAUCGGGAUACUAGACAACUCAUUCAGUGUUCGACAACGGGCUGAGGAGUGAGAUAGCUAGAAAUUGCUACAAGUUCUUGGGCUCCUCAGGCUGGGAUACAUUUGCUGCAUAAGAUCAAAUAGUUAAUUACUUGAAAUUUAUGAUGUAGGGACAAUUUUAACGCACCCAUCAACCAGGUUGACAUUGUCCUGCUGAACUUGUGUCAAUCAUCUUCGGUGUUGUUUUCUGCUUGGUGUCUGAAUCUGCUUUUAAACAGAACUAAUUGAGGUGCAUAGAUACAUUGGGGCUCGCACAGAUAAUUCUAUUCUCUUGUGUAGAUUUUGGAAAGGAAGAAGGCGACCGAUGAACUUAUAAGAAAAGCUGUAGCUGUGAAGGACCAUCUAGCUCAAUUCUCAGACUUCCAUAAAUAUCAGAGAAAUGGUAACCAACAUUGACUUUGUACUUGGAGAAAAGAGUUACAGAACUGUUGAAUUUUGAUGUCAUGUUAAGCACCUAAUGUUUUCAAUGAUUUGAAACAAAAUUUAUCUUUAGAACUCAUGGAAGCAAAGUUGAAUGCAUAACUAGUCCUUUGCAGUUGCAGUUCAGCAUAGUGCUUAUUGCUUUUCAGUCUCGUGUGUUCUGUUGUUCUGGAUGCUGAGUGCUUCACAUCAAGCUCAUUUUUUUCUGACAUAUUACAUAUAGGUCUUUCAGUGUACCUAGAGUCUGGACGUGGUCAUCAACUCACAUUACCAAUGAGGAAGUACAUCCAAAAUCUUCUUAAGGUUAGAUGCAUUUUAUUGCACUGCAUCCUGUUGUUAGCACAGCAUAUUGCAAAUGUUCCUUUUACAUGUUCCCGACUUUGUAUGUAAUGCGAGUAGACAAAUUUUAGGUUAACAUGGAGGAAGCCUAUGGAGCAGAAUGGCCUUCACAAGAGAAAGUUAAGCGCCGGGAGAUGGUGGUCCCAGAAGCACGAUAUAUCUUUGUGAAGCAAUAUUCUAAUGGUUUUAUUACUGAAAAAUCCAUGAAGGAAGGCACGGAGGUGGAACAUAUGCAUGCGGCAUGUACUGAAAGCUGCUUGCUUGGUUUUGUACACUAUAGAUUUGUUGUGGAAGAGGAGUUGCCUGUUCUCUAUGUGUAUGAGCUACAAAUGGAGCCUUCUGCCCAGGGUAAGGGGCUGGGGAAGUUCAUGAUGCAGUUGAUUGAACAGAUAGCUUGCAAGGUAAUGUGAUCUGUUCACUAUUCUAACUAUUUGUUACUCAUAUCUUCUGAAUAUUUUUCUUGAUAUGAACUGUUGCUGCACUUUUUUGUUCUUUCCACUUCUUGCGUUUUUAGUUCAAUCAUCACUGUCCUCAUUAAGAAUGACGAUCCAAAGUAUUUAUAUAAGCAUGCAGAACCAAAUGGGAGCUGUGAUGCUAACAGUUCAGAAAGCUAACACUCAAGCAAUUGCUUUCUAUACCAAGUUGAGGUAUGUACACUAGAUGUCUACCUUAUGGUUGCUUAAUCUUUUGGGUACUGCUCUGCUUUGUGUCUAAUUCUUUCACUCUUUCAGAUAUGUGAUAUCUAGUACCUCACCAUCGCGAGUCGAUCCUCAGGUAUUAUUCAACAUUCCAACCAACAGUGCCAUUUAGUUUUUUAUAAGCAUGAGAGUUUUUCAUAUCAUUAUCACGAUUUACAUGGAUACCUUUAUUUUCUCAGAUAGGGCUUGAUAAAAGCUAUGAGAUUUUGUGCAAGACAUUUGACUCUGAAGCUAAGUCAAAACUAGAGGUAUGUAUCAAACUUAUUCGACAUGGCAUAAUUUUGUUGUUGCAUUUGCGUAAGACCAUUGAAUCUCAUAGAAGUUUGUGUUAUCCUAGAACAGGUGCCCAGCUCAUGCUCUUCUUUCUAAACAUCUGCAGGAUGGUGAUUAUUAAGAGUUUAGAAUGUGUGAUGGACCGUGGGCCUUUUAGCCUGAUCUGUAGUUCUGCGACAAGAUCCUUGUCACUGUGAUUUAUUAUUGGCGCGCUUGUCCAACUUCCAUUCUAUUUGUUUGUAGCUUAUUUUGGAAUUGACACAUUUGUUCUAGUGACUAAUGUGCUGGAUGCUUAUAAAACUUAAAAGUUAACAACUCUGCUCCUCUUUUUUUAUGCCUGAAGGCUGGAAGCCCUAUAUUAUAUUUCUAAAAUAAAUGAAAUUGGCCCACAAUAAAAUUACAUGUAAACCUAUCUUUUUCUUCAAAAACCUUUGUACUUUUUCCCUUGUGCUAGACAUGGCCAUAUCACUAAUACCCAAAUAUUCUCUCUUUUUUCUAGUCAUACAAAAUUUCUCCCCUUGGACAGUUGGCAUUCUCAUAUGAAUGGAGAUGUCACAAUGCUUGUAGUGUGAAUGCAGAUACUUUGAUACUCAGUUACCAAUUCUCUUUGACGCUCAAUCUAAUUUUUCAUGAAGGGAGCAAGAGACUGCAUAUGUAACUGUUGUAUUAGAUUGAUGUAAAACUUGGUUGAUUUGUACAAUGUUUUUGUAUAAGAAAAAGAAUCAAAAGAGGGAAAGCAAUGUAUUAGCUGGUAGAACGAAGAGAAGUUUCAAUGCUGAUGCAAACACUGCAAGAGGACAAGAGAAUAUUAGUGGGUAUGUUGAUUCUGGAUAAAAUGGCUGCUUGAGGCCUUGUGCCUUGAACAGUUGAACUCUUGAGGAUGCUGCCCCGCUGCAGAGUCAAGAUUAUUAGGCCAUUCCCAGUCGAGCGUGCAUUUGUCGUUUAUGAGGGUCCUGCGUAAUUAAGAGAAUUUUGAAUUUAUGAAUGAAACACCUCCCUCCAAUACACAGUUCCAUUUUAUUUAAGGAUUUGUCAUCUUAUUUAAUGGGGAUGAAACCUUCAUGAAACUUUUACUGGAGCAGCCUUUACACCUUGUUCGUUUGGCCGAUAAGCCAUUGCGGAAAGUACUGAUUUAUUGUGAGAGAAAAAUAUUGUUGAAUGACUGGCAGAUUCACUUAGCUUAAUUUAAUUGAUGGAAUCUCAAAAUAGAAUUGCAGUCGUUUGUCCUUUUUUUUUGGGUUCGUGGUUUGCAUCAAUACUCUCUACAUAUGCUCUCUAGUGCUAACUAGGAGCAAUUUUUCUAUUUGGGUAUGAAACGUCAACUGUUCACUCUGGGUACAUGGAAUCCCCUGUCGACUUCCUGUCUGAGAUAUUUGUUUGUCAGGUUCGACAAUCCACUGAUUCUUGUUUAGUACUUCAAUCAUUCCAUAGUAGAUACUUGUAUUUUGUUAUUUCCUUCUGUGAGCAAUUUGCAAUUUGUCAACUGUAGAACAUGAAAUCUAGUGAGUCCUUUGUUUCAUUCUUUCUAUCUUGAAACUUUGUACCAGGACUGCCCUUCUUGUUUUAAAUAAGCACUGUAGGGGGCUCCCUCCUCCAGUUUACAUCAAAAAAAUAUCUAGUGAGUCCGUGAUUUCUGACAAAUGUUUAUACUUGUAUAACAGUACACGUGGGCGAUGACUCACAUAGUGACAUGAGUUAUAUAACAGUACACGUGGACGAUGACUCACAUAGUGACACGAGAGGGAAAACUAGUGAAACAGCUCCCUAUACUGUCCAUCUCGAACCAAAAGAGAUGGAACUCAUUACAACUGACAGCAAAACUAACAGUUACACGGAUACAAGUGAGCCUUGUAUGGCUGGCAGAUUCGGCUUAUAAAUUCAAGUGAACAAGGUGUUAAAUAACUGGCAAAUUCGGCUGAGUAGGGCAAUUGCUGGAGUGCUGGUAGUAGUAUGGACAUGCUGUGGAUUGUCUGAUGCUGGCGCUAUGUGAGGUCAGGCCCGUGGCAUGAACAGCGACAGGCAACUGACGAGCCACGCCAGAAACAACCGAGGCAGUGGCACUGGCCUGAAAAGCAUCAGCUGGAGCGCGGGGAUGCGCAGCGGCUGCCCACGGCCAGCGCUGGUUUCGGGGGCGAGCGCCGGCUCUUGCUCUUGCUCUUGCUCCUGCUGUGUCGCGGGGAUGUCCUUGGUGACACUGCUAGCAUCCUUCCAAGCCAUCGCAGUCGUCGCAGCCGUGAGGACAGAUUGCGGCAGCACCAAGCCACCAACACUAACUCAAUUCUGGCCAGAGCAAACGGACGCUUUGUGCCGGCAACACUCAACUCGACCAUGGAUGUUUAUAGAGCUCGGUGUUCACAUUAGACAGUAACCCGUUCGGUUUCCUAUCUGGUGAGCGUAUUCGGCUUGGAUCAUUGGAUGAACCCACCUUCGUCACUGUCUGAACCCAUCCCGUCCCGCUACAAGUUGCAGCCUACAACAACCUUCAAAUCAAACACACCUCUGUCGCCUGCCUUCCUAUCUUGAAGACAACAGGGAGGCGCUCAUGGCAACGGCGGAGAACAAGAGGCCUAGGCUCAGCAGUAGAGCAGAGAAGAAGCCAAGUAGGAAGGAGGUCCCUGCUCUUCUCUCUCUCUUCUCGAUUGGGUGGCCAAUCAUCUUUCAGUGUUGUUUUCUCUGCUUGGUGUCUGAAUACGCUUUUAAACAAAACUAAUGGAGGUUCAUAGGUAUAUUGGGGCUAACACAGAUAAUUCUGUAUUUCGAUUAUGAAUGGUAAGGUAAAAUUUGGCAUAGCCAGAACUAGAGCACAUAUAAGUGCCUUCUUUAGAGCUUGAAAGGAAGCCUCUGUGGCUGAUGUCUAACAAAAAAAUGGUGCCCUUCUUGAGGAGAUUUGUCAAUGGUUUGCUGAUCAUCCCAAAUUGCGGCGCAAACCUUUAAUAGUACCCUACCAUCCCAACAAAACUCCUAAGAUCCUUUACAUUCUCUGGUUGAGGCCAUUCCUCUUGAUUUUGGAGGGAUCAGUGGCAACUCCUUGUUCGCUGACAAUGUGACCUAGAUAACUCAACUGUCUUUUGGCAAAAGAACAUUUGGUAACCUUGACAUGAAAGCCAUGUUGCUGCAAAAGAGUGAGUGCAGCUUUGAUAUGCUCCAAAUGUUCACUCCAAGUCCUACUGUAGAUGAGAAUAUCAUCUAUGAAAACCACUACACAUUUUCUCAACAGUGGGUAUAGUAUUGUGUUCAUAAUUGUUUGGAAAGUUGCAGGUCCUCUUGUAACUCCUUAUGGCAUUACCAUGUACUCAUAGUGGCCACUAUGUGUUUGAAAAGAUGUUUUGAACUCCUCGCCAGCUGCCACAUUCUUAUUUGAUGAAAGCCAGAACACAAGUCAAGAUAUGUGAACCAUGUAGAUCCUUGCAGUUUCUCUAGUAACUCCUCAAUGAUCGCCAGUGGGUACUUAUUCUUAAUCAUCAUAGCAUUCAAACAUCUAUAAUCAACACAUAACCUCCCGUCCCUGGUCUUCUUCCUGACUAGUAGGACAGGUGGAGUAUGGGCUGGUAUUUUCUUGGAUCCACCCUUUUCCCUACAUUUCUUUGAUCUGAGUCUCUAUCUCUGUCUUCUGGACAGGAUUGUACCUAUGAGGUCUAAGGGCCUGUUUGGUACAGCUCACAACAAUUUCAUGAGUUGUUGUGAGCUGGUUUUUUUACCAAACACUUAUUUGCAAAACAGCUUCAUGGGUGAAGCUGUUUUUCCCCUCCUCUCACGAAGACAUAAGCUGGGAUGAAGCUGAAAAAAGUAGCUUAUUGCAGCUUUCUCUCUCAUUUCUCUCUCAACUAUGAAUGAAGUAGUUGGUGAAGCUAUUUUACCAAAACUUUUUUCAAAACAGCUCAGCUUCAUCUAGAAAGUCAAUCAUGAAGUUAUUUUCUAAAAAAAAUAGCUUUACUAGUGAAGUUGAGCUGUGCCAAACAAGCUCUAAGACAAAAAGGUUGAGCACCUUCCAGUAAGGGUAUCUUGUGAUCUCCCAACUCCGCAGGAGGCAGAUCUGUUGGUGGAUCAAAAACUGAUGCAAACUAUUGGAAAAGUUGUUAUAGAUCUUCUGGAAGAUUUUCUCCAUUGUCAUCUCGUAGAGUCUGGAGGUGGUACAAAGCGUAACUAAACAACAUAAAAAAUUGAGUCAUUUCUUGUCAAAAGCUUGAAGCUGUUCCUCCCCGUCAAACAUCACGUUCUAGGCUCUAGCCCAAGAAAAGCUUGUGAAGCUUGCAAAAAAGGCCCAUGAAUAGGACAACAAGCAUUUAUUUUGGGCCUUAGAGCCCAGCAGUUCCGAUGCGAAUGCGACCGUCCCUUCCGUCCCGAGCCCCGUUCCCCAUUGCGGCGGCUCUGCCUGGCCAAGACGGAGAGAGUCACAGCGCGAGGUGGCGAGAAGCGAAGGCAAUGGCAACGGCGCAGAACAAGAGACCGCGGAUCAGCAGCGGCGUGGAGAAGAGGCCGAGUAGGAAGGAGGUCCGUCUCUUUUAUCUCUUCCCUUGCAUCCUAUUCUCGAAUCUCGACUGGGUUGGCAGCACUCCGAUUCCGCUCCCUUUCCCUGCGACCCUGCCCUGGCGCCCUGCCUAGUCGAAUUCCUGGCCAGUGCAUGCUUCAACCCAUUGGCCGUUGUUGUAGGAUUGCGCUUGCUAUCUGGAUGGUUCGCAGCUUCAUUUGUUCCAAAGGGCGUCUCAAAUAGCCUGGUCGUCGUAGGGUUACGGAGGUGGUGCCAAGCUGGGAGUUGCUGAAAGUUCAUGUAUUCUCACGCAGGAUGUAAUGUAACUGCAGCAUAAGAUCGGAUAGUGAAUAAUCUGAAAUAGCUGGUAGAGUCAACGCUUGUGUUGUGUGUGGCAACAUUAUCUUUCGUCACUUUCAGGGUUCCUUUUCUCUUGUACAUACAGUGUACUGACACAGCAAUGAAUAGUUGGUGAGGCAUGGUCCCUGAUUCAUUCUAUUGGAUAGAUAUUGGGGAGAAAGAAGGCGGUCGAGGAAUGUAUAAAGAGAGCUGUAGCUGUGAAGGAUCAUCUAGAGCAGUUUCCAGCAUUUCAUAAGUAUCAGAAAAAUGGUAGCAUACACUUAUCCACUUCUUCUUUGAAAAAAGUUUACUGUAGAACUAGUAGUAAUGUACUGAUGUCACAUGUUUACGGAAUUUAUCUUCAGAAAUCCAGGAAAACAUAAUUGGGUGCCAAAUUAGUCCUUUUCAGCUGCAAUUAAGCAUACUGCUUGUUGAUUUUCUGUGUGCUUGUUCUGAGAUGAAUGUAUCACAGCAAAGCUCAUUUUUCCUGAUAUCUAGGUCUUUCAGUCUACUUGGAGUCCGGACGUGGGGAUCAGCUUACAUUACCAAUGAGGAAGUACAUCCAAAAUCUUCUAAAGGUUGCAUCCAUUUGUUUUCACUUUACUCUGUUCUUUGCAUGCCACAUAGCCAUUUAGCUGUUGCAUGUCACCACUCUGACUGUAAUGCUAGUAAGCAAAUAUAGGUUAACAUGGAGAAACCAUAUGGACCAGAGUGGCCUUCAGAAGAGAAAAUUAAGCGCCGGGAAAUGGUAGCCCCAGAAGCACGAUAUAUCUUGGCUAAGCAAUAUUCAAAUGGGUUUAUUCCUGAAAAUCCCAUGAAGCAAGAUGCAGAGGCGGAACAUAUGCAUGCAGCAUGUACUGAAAGCUGCUUGCUUGGUUUUGUACACUAUAGAUUUGUUGUGGAAGAGGAGCUGCCUGUUGUUUAUGUGUAUGAGCUGCAAAUGGAGCCUUCUGCCCAGGGCAAGGGGCUGGGAAAUUUUAUGAUGCGGUUGGUUGAACAGGUAGCAUGCAAGGUAAUAUGAUCCAUUCAUGAUCCUGUAUACUUAUUAUUACAAUCUCCUGAAUAUUAUGUCAUGGCGUCACUGUUACUACACUAUUUUCUUUUCCACUGGCAUGUGUUAGUUCAGUCACUAUCUUGACAUGCGACCAUAAAUGAUAAUCCAGAAUGACGCAUUGUGAUUGUAUAUGCAUGCAGAACCAAAUGGGAGCUGUGAUGCUAACAGUUCAGAAAGCUAACACACUAGCUAUGGAUUUCUAUACUAAGUUGAGGUACACUAACUAGAUGCUUACCUUCUGGUUACUUAAUCUUAUGACUACUGCUUUGCUUUGAGCUAAUUAUUUUUCUCUUGUAGAUACGUAAUAUCCAGUACCUCACCAUCCCGAGUGGAUCCUCAGGUAUCAUUUGACCGGUAUAAGUAAUUUGCAUACUCUUGUCAUGAUUUACAUUGAUCUCUUCAUUUUUCACAGAUAGGACUUGAAAAAAGCUAUGAGAUUUUGUGCAAGACAUUUGAUUCUGAAGCUAAGUCCAAACUAGAGGUUUGUGGCUGUAUACUUAUUUGUGUGGCAUAAGUUUGUAGCUACUACUGCAUAAGAUUGGCAAAUCUCAUAGAAAAUUAUGUCACUACUAUAAUUGCUGGUAUUUUUGGCAUUGCUUAUACUACUACUAUUUGCAACAUGCUCUAUUAUAUGAAAUUCAUGAAUAAAUAAAGUGGGAGUUUCAGUUAUCUCUAGCACAAGUGCGCUGCUGAUGCUCUUCUUUCUAAAUAUAUGCAGGAUGGCGCCUAUUAAGACUUGAGAGUUUAGAAUGCACCAACCACUUACGCGACCACUUACACAACCACUGAGCAUUAUGUCCAGUUACGCCACAAGAUUCCGCAACAUCUUUCAUGCAGACAAUUGUUACUGUGAUUUAUUAUUAUAGUAGCAUGGUGUGCUUGGCCUAAAUUCACAAUCCUGUUUUCCAGUAGCUUCUUAUGCAAAUGGACACACCCUUCUGCUAAUGGGUACUGCCCAGCUGGAUUUUUAGUAACUUUGCUCGAGUUGCUUUCUCAAAAUAAAAAGUAAAAAAAAAACUAAGAUAAAGGAACAAAAUGUUCCCACAACUAGAUACUAGUGAAAUUACAUAUUCGACACAUGAGUGACGUGGCGUUGCGAUUUUGACUUUUGAGGUUUGACAGUUCAACCCUGCUGUCAUUAUGAUCGAUGAUAGUCUUUGAGUCCACAUAGACCUGUUCGUUUAGCUGAAACUAUUAUUUACUAAUUUAUUUUGAGAGAAAAAUACUGCUGAAUGAUUGAUAGAUUUGGCAAAUAAACUUAAGUAUAAUGCCGACCAAGUAGCAGUGUAGCACGUAUUUUUGUGAUGCUGGGCCUCUUGUAAUAAUCAAAUGAUUGGGUGUUGUUUGGAAAUCAGGCCACCAGAACAGUCUUGUGAUGUUUCCAUUUACUAAAAAGUCAGGCGGCUGCCAUUCGCUUUUUCAAUUAGAGUAUAAUAAUAUCAAACUCAUAGCAGAGUAGACAGUUCUCAACAUCGACACAGAAGACAGAACUGUUCAAAAAGAAAAGUAAUUAUACAAUAACUGACGUCAAAUGAUCUCCAUGAUCCAAAAGGGAAGAAAACAAGUGAGCACUUCAUUUUUUUUUCCUGGUCCACACCAAUAUCCAAAAGGGACUCUAGUACGUACACUAGUAGGACUAGAAGUCGUCGCUUAUUUUAUUUUUCCAAAACAAACAAAAUGGGGGGCCGCUGGCUAAUCUAAACGCAGACGCAGCAGUGCCAUGACACAUCGAGGAAUGAGGCAAAUGGACGGCCCCGGAGAAGACCGGCGCUUCGGUCUCAGGGGACCAGGGGAUCAUCUGCAGCUGCAGGCUACAGCGCGAACAAUGACAGGCACCCGACGAGCCACGCCAGGAACGCGAAAAACAGGCGAGGCAACGGCGCCCGCGCCGGCGCCGGCGCGGCGGCUUCUACGAUUAUGGCCGUUGCCCCCGCGAGCAUCAGAUGGAGCGCGGCGGAUACGCGCAGCAGCUGCUGCCAACGGCCGCCGGCGUCUCGGACCAAGGCGCGAUUUUGCUCUGGCUCCGGACCGCCGGCGUCCACAGCCUCUUUGUUGGCAUUGCCAGCGUCAUCUCGAGCCAUCGGAUGUGCCACGGAAGGUGAGCGCGAUUUGGGACGAGGCAGACUCGGCGAAGGGUGAACAAGCAAAGGGAGCCUGUGUAACUUGAUGUGACUUUGUGAGCCAACCUGAUUGAUGGGUGAUCUUCUUUUUGAUCGGGCCUGAUGGGUGAUCUUGAUUAUAUAGAGCGCGGUGGAACCGUGGAACAUGCGAUGCGUUUAAUUGGGCAACUCAUUUGUUGGUGAAAGCGAUCGGGCUAGUUGUCCUCAAGUGACAUACGUUGUGAGUGGCUUCGCGGAACGCCCCCAGGAAAGCGACCGCCGACCUCUAUAGCAUCGGUACAACACCGGCCGUGUCGAGCGCGACCUGACCAAAACAGAGAUCCAGGGUAGUUGAUGACGGCAAAAAGGACGGUUCUUUUUUUAGAUAAAGGGCAAAGAGGUUUGUAGUGCUCGCUCGGCAUGGCUUUCGUCGAGAACUGUUGAGAUUUGAGAACACAAGACCACCAUGCCGUAUUGCCACCGUCUUGGCCGUGCUACGCACGCUCGAUGCGACGAUGCUUUCAUGGAAAUUUCCUCAGCUCCAUCCACAACUUCCUGCCUUCCUGGCAUGGUGCUACGGCUACGGGGCCGGCUGAUUCUGAUCCCGGUGGGCGAUCGGAAUCUAUCGAAUGUUGGUUGAUUCACAUAGCAGGAGAGGCGAUGUGAAUACGUGAUCGAAGCUGUGAAGGCAGCCCCGGCUCUGCGGCAGUGUCGCACCUUUUGCUAAGCGCACACGGUCCAAAUAGUUCGAUAAAAAGGCCCAUACUUCUCUCAGUAGACAGGUAGUAGUCUUGUGUCUUAAAAGGCCCAAAAUAAAUGUACAUUUCUAUCUUGUGUCUUAAAAGGCCCAUUUACUUUUUUUUUCUUUUUGCAAAUAGAUGUACAUUUAUUUUGGGCUCACUAUAGCACGCAUGUGCAUCCCUCCUCAGCGCUCACACCCCAUCCUGCUCGGCUAAUGUGGUGCUUAAGCCGCCUUAUGCCACCUCCAACGCUAUAUCCAAGCCAAAUCUUCUUCAGGUGAUGUCCUUACCACUUGCACCAUUCAACCUUCGUCUCCCACCAUCCUAGCGGGCGGCAUUCUCAUAUCCCUACCCUACUACCGUCUUCCACCAUCGUCAUUCGUCCAACAUCCUCCUCUCGAUGAUCCCUUCUAAGCCAGGAAGCCGUGGACACCCCUAAACCCACAGAAAACUACAAACCCUAAUCCUCGAAACCUAACGUCAGGCGAACUUUGUUAUCUCUGGUAGUGGCAGCAAGUGAGCUUUGAUUUUUUUUUCUAUUUUUAUCUGCAUUUUUUGCUUUUUUUUCUGUGUGCAUGCCGAGAGUAAAAUCCAUGUGGAAGUAAGCAUUUUUGUACAUUUUUGGUAAUGAAUAAUUAACGUUCCAGCUGGAAUGCUUAGCAAAUAUCCAUAAUCAAAAUAAUACAAAGUUAUAGGGUAAACAAUACACUCAAUGUUUGCCAUCUAAUUAAAGUUGCAAUUAAUCUCCAUACAACCAAAAUUGCAUGUAUGGUGUGAGCUGUGAGCAUAUAUGUUUCUUUUCCUUAUCAAAAGUAAUAUAAUUUACUUUUAUGUGGUCCAGUCAUAACUUUAGUGUAGGGUCCUUUUUCAUGCCACAAAAGGUGUCAUUUUAGUUUCAUCCUAGCCUUCCAAGGUCUAGCUAUAUUAAGUUUGUGUAAAUAAGUAUAACAUUAAUGAUACAAAAUAGGUAUAAUUUAAAAGUAUGCUUCAUGAUGAAUCUAAAUAAAAUUAUUUAACUUCGGAUGAAACUGUAAUAGCACUUUUUGCGAGAUGAAGGUACGUAGAAGAUAUAGUAUGUGAGUAUGCCUUUUUUUUUCUCUCUCCUCAUAAAUUCCUCUAUUUGUUUAGUUUGAAUGUUACAAUGUGGAGUGCAUUACAGUGGGGGAAGGGGAUGGGUCCGCUUCAUGACAAGAUAGCUACGUUCGCAGGUCAGCCGCAGAUGGCGCCGUGGCGGCAAGGAGCCAUCGCCCGUCGGAGAUGAGAAAAGGCUGCACUCACUGUAUGAUAGAGUUGAAAAUAAUUAAUUAUAUAUUAUUUAUGGUAUUUUAUUAAUGUGGCAGUAUAUUUAUUGAAGAAAGAAGUAAAAAAAAUAAGACUCUAAUUUUUAUUUAGACUCUAAGUCCAUACUAUUUAAGGUAAUAAAUAACUUUAUAUCAUUAUACAAAGGUGUCACAACUCAGGAAUUGAAUGAAGAGCUUUGCAUGGUGGGGAGCCAUGGAAGAUUGAGAGAAAAAGAGCGGACAUGAGAUUCAUGAAACGACAUGCAUGGUCCUCGACGUUAGAUUUUUUAUCCAAAGAUCAGAAAACUUCACGUGUCGGAGUCAAAGUAUUAAGGAAAGAGUAACACAUCGAAAUAUUUUUCUCUUUUUAGACAUAUAGUACUAAACAAAUUUCCACGCUGAUGAUUGACACAACUAGCAACAAAAAUUUGAUUAUUAGAAAAAAAAACCAAAAGUGUCGACCAGUUUUCUAGGUGAAAUCGGAUCAAAAUUAAAACCACAAGACAAGAAAACGCUACCCACGCAACUAAAACAGUGCACAACACAUAAGUGCACAAACACAAUGGCACGCCGUGGCUUCCCCGCAUAUCACGCUUAGAGCAUCUCCAACAAUUAUGCAAUUAGACUUUGCAUUUUUGAAAUAUGUUAAAAACCUUAAAAAUUGCUUUUCCAACAGUUUUGCAUUUGACUUAUGCAUUUUGGUAAACUUGGCAUUUGAUGGACCAAACUUGACAUUUUUGCAUAGACACAAUGGCUUGGCAAUUUUGAUAUCCCGAGAAUCUUGGACUCAAUGUCGUACCCGUACUCCCCACGUCGCGGUAGUUUCCCGCGAGACGAGUCCUUCCCCGCACGCGACUCUUUUCUUCCCGCGCGCCGCCUCCUUUCUUCGCGCGCCGCCUUCUUUCUUCGCAUGGAGACGAAGGAGAUCCAUCACCGCCUCCUUUUCUUGCAGCGACGCGAGGCUAGGAGAUCCAUCGCCGCUCCUGUACCACAGCGUCGUCAUCUUGUUGGGGUUCACCGCUGUGAGGAAGACGUCGAAGUCCACGCGCUGCUGCCGCGUCAAGUUGAUCACGGAGAUCGAUCGCAACGAAGGAAUUGCGUGCGACGGGCGAAGGAAUUACGCGCGAAAAAGAAAGCGCAUGCGCGACGCGCGAGAAAAUUUCCCGCGAAGAUGAAAGAUACCCGAACUAAAAUAGUUGGGUCUACUAUUUUGGGAAAUGUCAAGUCAAAAAUACCAAACACUUGGAGAUGAAUUUAUUUUUCCUUUGACAAAAUGUUUAGGGACUUGGCAAACUCCAACAAACAAAUUCCAAUUGCAUAACUGUUGGAGAUGCUCUUAUUCAAACUUCAGAGCUCACACCACGACGCGCGUCUUCUCCUGGCCGCACGCUUCCCCUUUGCCAUCGCGUCGCCGGGAGUCCAAGUCUGCCCCUCUGUCUUGUCUUCGUCCUCGCCGCCGCCGAGGUCCAGCGGCUGGAACUCUCCCAGCCUUCUGAACACGGACCGCUUGCGCGGCGGCAGGUGCUCGUCCCAGAUGCCCGCGUUGGGCCUGCUGCAGCCGUGCUCGCCGCGGUGCAUCCCGCACCUGGCGCAGAUGUGCCGCCUCAGCUUGCAGGGGUACCUGAGCUGCUCGCCCGUGAAGCCGCCACACUCAUCGCCGCCGACGAACGCGCACCGGAGGACUGUACUACUCAGGGGCUUCGUGUCGGCGCCCUGCCUCGGCAUGAUCUCUCGAUCAGAUACCUCACUGUCAUACACUCAUACUACUGCCUGCUGAUCGAUAUAAUCCUGAUGAGUGAUGACAACGCACACGUAUUUAUUUAUAGGUCAGGAGAGCUUGGGAUCAUCUGGGGGAGAUGCGAAAUGAUGUGUAGCAGAAUUGGCAGUGCCGAGCAUGAAGAGAGAGAGAGCCUGAUCACGCACUGGGUGAUGGUGGACGGCGGCGCCGCGACGACAACAGAAGAACCUGUAACGCGCGCACGUUAUUAGCUUUGCUUCAUGCCGGAAUCAUGCGAGUGCCAGCCGAGUGAGGAACCCGACGGCGGGCCACGGGAGAUCGAGGAAACACAACACGUCGUCGCUCGAUCUCAUGGCCCCUUGCACGGUUUGUUGUGAGUGCAUCCAAGAGAAAUAAAGCUAGCCGUGGCUUGCUUUCCUCUGAUAGGCGACGAGUUCAGCCACACGUACGCACGCACGGCACUCGUGGGAGAGGCCUCGCCGUCGUGAGCACCGGAGCAGAUCAUCGAGUGAGAAGCGGUAGAAGAGACGUUUGUCUCUUGUCUGAUUCAUCUUUUCGGUCCUAGCGAUGAUCUUGUGGAUAUACUUGCAAACGUCGCGGCCGGGUCACGCCGCCAGCCUGCUGGGCUACACCGCGCCACGAGCCCGCACCAAGCCUCCAAGGCUCCAACCCGUCACGAGCGAUGCAGCAAAGAGCGCCGCCGCUGCCACCACGGGCGACUCAGCCGCUGGCGUCGCAAUUUCCACGGGCGGCUAGUAUAAGCAAUCUGAUGCCGAACUUGACACCACUAUGUCGUAUACUUGGUAUCCCCAAGUGCCAAACUGCCAAUACAUUAUUUUGACCUCACAUUGAAUCAGCUCUUUCAUCUUGUGAGGGGGAACCAAGCCUUGGCUAGGUAAAUAGCCAUCUCCCUUUAUUUUUUUAUUGGCUUUAGUAAUCAUGUUUUUCUUAAUAAUUGUGCUGAGAGGGUAAUAGUGGAAUAGGUACAAAGGUAUUUUGGGACCAUUUUUUGCAUAAUGGUAGUAACGGGUAAUUUUAAAAACACAUGUGUAUGGGUAUUUCUCCUAAUUAUUGUGGUAAUUUUGAGGUCUUAAUAAUUAAAGUGGAGAUUCCUUUAGUUGGUCACUUCUGCUGUAUUUCAUAUGUUUGAAUUUUAAGUAAUUUCAGGCAAUACUCUUAUAUCACCAACAAGUACAAGUAAAUUGUCACUUUUAUAAUUUGUUAUUUAUCUUUGUGUCAUAGUAUAUUAAUUUUUUGUCAUUGUCUAGCUAUAGAAAUAAUUGUAAAUUGUUAAAUAUAUUUGUGCCAAUAAAAAUAGAUUUUGUCGGAUUUAUAGCUUUAUCUAACGGAUUUUUUAUUCUCGAUGCCAAAAGUUGCAGAUUGCAUCUAGAAAAAAUUGCAAUGGAUGAAAUCUGCAAUUUUAGUAAAAAUCAUAUACUCUUAUAAAGAUAAACCCUACUAGAUGAUUUCUCUUGACAUGCAAACUAUCAAUCCUUCUAUCCAUUUCUCUUACAAUGCAAAGCGUCCACCUCAACAGUCCAUUAUCAUUUGCCAUUAUCAAUUUUUCUUGAUAUACCAGGUAUCUAUCUCAGCAAUCUACUAUCAUUUGCAUUAAAAUUCACUAGCACAAGAAUUAUGAUAUCCACAUCAGCGAAACACAUCAUCCACUAUAGAUACAAUCUCCACGAUUAUGCUAAUAAAAAAGUUAUAUAUUUAUAUUUCUCCUUCGUACCUGCGGCAACGCACGAGAAAAUUCUCCUAGUAUAUGUAAUAAUCAAAGCCUGAAAUGAAACUAAAAAUUUCGACACCUAAAUUUUAACAAGUCCCAACUCCCAAGUCCUAACUUGCCAUCCUUAAUUUUUAGCAAAAUGUGAAAAAAACCCUCUCCAACAGUUUGCCAUACUACUUGCCAAAAUUUCCCAACUUGCUAAAAGUAGCCCUUCUGCGCGUAAAUAUACGCGCGCGCAUCGCCCCUUCGUCACCCGCGGCUUCCUUCUUCGUCGUGCAGUAGUAGCGCGGUAUCUCCACGGCCGAGCGUCGUGCUUGGCACCUGCACGGGCUGUCAUGCUAUCGUGGUCGGGGGCACCCUUUUGUGCGACAGAUUGGAUCGGCCCGCCGGCGUGCGCCAUGCAGCACAGCGUAGGGCCGCGCCAUGCAGGGCAGCGUAGCGCAUCGGCGGUGUGGUGUUGCACGGCCAGGGCCAUCAGCCUGCUGUUGGUACGUACAUGCAUAACCGCUUGGAGAGAAUCUCCUUCGUCAUGCAGUUGCUGCCCUGCCGCCGGCCGGCCGGCCGUCCGGAGCGUUGGUUGUAGCUGGAUCCAUGCCGGAGACAUCCGGAGGCCGAUGAAGAAGGACGUGAAUGCAAUUUUGUUUCUUUUUCAGGGCUCCUAAUGCAAGUUUGUUAGAUUUUGGGGAGUAAAUUAUGCCAAACUGUUGGAGAUGGAUGCUUUUUUUCCUCAUAUUAUUAUUUUGUGAGUUGCCAAAUGAUGUGAUUUGGCAAACUAAAAAUACCAAACUGUUGGAGAUGCUCUAUAAAGAAGGAAGCCCAAGCUAUAUAGUAGCGCUAAAAUUCCUCCGGCCCACGAUGGUCCAAGGCUCCGGGCCUGUUCGCAUAUGCAACCCAAGCCCGUCCCACCCGACCGCAUAUUGUCUUGCAGCCCCACCAACAGCGGCGCUUGCGCGUCCCCCGCUGCGGCUGCCAGUGGGCCACGGCGUCAUGCGUCGACCAUUAUCAGGCGCGGGCCCAUCCUGUGACGGGGUCAACACUCCGCAGUCCCGCAGCAGCCGCAUCUCGACCCGCACACGCGUAGCGGAGGACGGACGGGAGCCGUCCGAUCCCCGUAUCCCUCACCCAACCCAAGCCGAGCGGGAGGGAGAGAGACAGCGCCUGUGUGUUGCACGGCCGCGGAGGAACCGGCGCGCGGGGCCAAGUACGAUGGAUCGAGUCGAGUCGAGUCGGAUCCCGCGCGCGCCCCACGAUCCGGCGAGAGAGUUUUUCUACCGCUACGGCACCCACUCGGCGGCUGUCCUGCUCCCGUCCUCUCCUCCCUCAGGUGCGCGCGGUGACGGCGAGGCGGACCGGAGGCGGCCGUACGCGCGCGCGGCCUUGCGAGUUGCGAGGCCGGGUGACGACGGCGACGCGGAGGCAACCCCGUCCGUAUUCUCCGCCUUGUUGGUGUGGCGCUGGCGCGUACCACCACCAAUGGAGAGGACGACGUGAGGCCAAUGGAUGGGUUUCGUCAUUUAUUUAUGCCUUGCUGUGUUGGGUUCCUUUCCUGCGGUACUGAUGCUGUAUGUCCGCUGCGGUGGCGCGGGGGAACUGAGGGUAGGGAGGAGAGGAGCCCUGGAAAUGAAUUGGAACAACGAAGCGAAUCAUAAUGCAAUCAGUCGUAGACGUCCUUGGCUCUUUGCAUUGGCCGUGACAUACAUGGACAAGAAAAUUAUUGAGCCUCCAUGCGUCAUAUAUCCCCAUGCAUGUGCACCAACGCUCGCGUGUCGCGUUAGCGUCACUACUAGCAAAUCCUUCACGGUCAUCACGCCCCAUGCAUAUUGCAUGCAUAGCCGCGAGCUCGGUUAUUGUUGAUGACGAGAGACAAACAAGCGCGAACGAAUAAUUAUUGUCCGAAAUCAAUUCAAUUAAAAAUAGCUUGACGAACGAUUUUCAUUCAUCGUCAUAUGUAAAAAAGAAGACUGCACACAUCAGAGCGAGAUAUGAUUCGUGAUAAAUACAUCCAUCCACCAAGCACUCGGCCAAAUGAAUUCAAUCGAUAUGGCACAGGAUGUGAGAGCAAGAGAACAUUUAAGAGGGGCUAUGAAUUGGGAGUAAAUGGAAACCAGAAAUAGCUAUUCAAUGUAGAGUAUCUUCCUCACCAGCAACGACUCUCCGUUUUUUUCCCCCUUCCCUGCUGCCCUCUCUUCAGAAGUUUUUAAUACUCUCCUACUUCAUGCAUGCAGCGUGGCAUCAUGUAAACGAAGAAGAUUGUGUAUGAAGGGCCUUGAAGAAAAAGACUGUAGGCUACUGAUGAACUGCUAGCAUAAAAAAAGGGAACCAACACUAGCUAGUUUUCUUGUUUCACAAUCGAUCGACACAUCGCUGCUAGUACCACCAGUAGUACUACAUCUGUUGAAUUCAUGUGUGACACUUGCCAACGAGCACGGUUAAUAAAUUCGGAAUCUAUUUAAAAACUCUUAAAAAAGGCAAUGAGAGGGGCCUAGGAUCGGAGUAUUAAUAAACACUUCACUAGAGUAUUACGCUUUUAUAGGACGUCCCUCUUUUCUGGUAAAAAUGAGCUUUCUCCCACCUGAGACCAGCAGAACAUUUAAAGGGUGGGAACUUUGAUCCAUUCCAGCUUCCAUCUAUCAAUUCAUGAACACCUCCGGAAAUGAAAACUUGAAAAGGACAUUCAAACACUUGAAUACACUCCAUGAAUUUACCUUCCGCACGUAUCAUAUUCAUAUCAAUGCAUGCAUAUGAUUACUCCUUUUUAUUUUGAAAUUAUGCCGUACGUGUAUUUAUUUAUGCAUUCCGCCCGUUCAAAGUCAAUGCACAUCACAUCGGUCUUCACCUCCGAUGUUUCAGUGUCACUGACUAGCAUAAAAGAGGCUGAUUCUACACAACUGCUGGAUUACCACUGGGAGGCGUCGUCAAUCCGGCACGCCUCCCCAUGGGGAGCAAAGCGAGAAGCAAGUGCCUCUGGCAUAGGAAACAGACUCCCAAGAAAGAUGGUCAAGCGACGAACUCGUUUAAACUCAUGUGUUAAGCGCAUCGUGAUCGUGUGCGACACAGUUUUUUAAUAGUCUAGGGCCGAGUUUUCAGAAUCUUAGGGUUGGAACGAAGCACCUGAAUCCUGCAUGCAUGCGUAGUGCACGGGUUGGUGCACUCAAGUUUGGACCUUGAACUGGUGGUUGGCCUGGCUUGACGACGAACUGCAUGAUCUGCCAUGCACGCGUGCAGUGUGCGCCAUGGAAGUGCCAACAUGCCGGUUUGCAUGCAUGGUCUUGUAUGGGAAUGGGAUGGAAUCGGUGGAUGGAUCCAAAGCCCAGCCGGCCGGCCAGCCCAACCCCGGAGAAGGAAGUCUUGAGUUCAGUCUUUUGGUUUUCGAUCCCGAUACCAUUAUCGCAUUUGGGAAUCCCACCAACGAUUUAAUGCCGGUUCGUCUCUUUCCACGGUUGCGUUUGCGGUGCAUGCAGCGCCGGGUCUGGGCGAGGCAGAAGAAUCCGGCCCGUUUGUCAAUCCGCCCAACAUGUUUUUUUUUUAAAAAAAAUUACAUUAAAGAUCUGCUAGAAUAAAUGGUAAUUUCAAAUGAUCCAUGUGAAAGAAAAUCAUGGAUCUCAGUAGGAUUGGGUAUCGUCCAGUUAACAACAAUAAAUUUACUUACUGGAAGUUCAAAUCAGUAAAUUAAUUAUGGCAGUGGGUAUAUACUUCCUGUUUUCAGGGUGUCUUGGAUUUGAUUUUUACUCCAGGGUGUCUUGGAUUUGAUUUUUACUCCAGGUGUUUUUAGUUCUGGUGACACAGGACCCUGGAGCUGUACAUCAGCACUUGUAUAUCAUCAUCAUAUACUGUAGUCCGGUAUAUGAACGCAACACACAGCUGACAGCUGAGGUUGGGCACAGCCUAAAGAGGCGUAGCCAGCACAAAAAUACCACUCCUACCAGUACUGUGGAGCACCAUACGCAAACAGUAGAAGCGGGGUGGAACGGUACUUGCCUGCUCCUGCUCGCGUUGCGGGUGUGGCAGGAAAAGUCAACAUGCCCGACCCGUUUGAGGCCUUUAAAUGGCUCCAGCUGUUCCCACCCAAACCCAAGAAAAGCAGCAGUAGGCCCGGCCUCGAACCGAGGUGGUGGGGCCCUUUUAAAUACUCUCCCGGCUCUUAAUUCGCAUCGGUUAUUACUCCGCCCCGCCUACCGCUCCUCCCUCCUCCCCCUCCGUUCCGUUCCCCUCGUCGUCCCCCACCCCACUUCCGACGCGCAAAGGCAAAAGCGCAGCGCAGCAAGCCAGCAACGCAAACCCAGGGCGCGAGAGCGAGGUCUCCGGUCAUACUCAUACCCUGCUCGGCUCGCUGCCGCCCGGCCUGUCUCAGUCCACUCUCAUCACUCAUCAGCGAGCGAGCGAGAGGGGGGGGAAGGGGAGGGCGCGGGAGUUAAGGGUGGAACGGAAUUAAUGGCGCCAGCCCAGGAGGAACAAGCGGAGGCCUGAAGCCUGAUCGAUACCACUGCACUGCACCACUUCUCUUCAUUUCUUUCUCUUCUUCCUGGCGAGAGAGAGGGGCGCCUCCCCCCUUCGAUCCCCUCCUCCUGAGCUGUAGUGUGCUGCUUCGUCAGGACCAGCGAGAUUACUGCUGCGUACCACCGCUGCUAUUUCCUGCGUAGCAGCGAGGCUAUAUUAGCGCCUCGGAGGAGGAGCUAGCUAUAGCUAGGCCUCGUGGUACUAGUACAGCCGCAGCCGCCCUCUAGCUAGUCCAAAGUCCAAGCAGCCAGCCCUCCCGCUUCCGGCCCGGAUUGCGCUCGAAGCAAGCGGCCGCCCGAGGCGAGGCGAGGCGUGCGCGCGCCGCGACGAUGGACUUCGGCGACGACGUCAUGGACGGCGGCUCCGACGCCCAGCGUCGCAAGAAGAGAUACCACCGCCACACCCCGCGCCAGAUUCAGCAGCUCGAGGCGUACGUGCACCCCGGCUGAUUUUCCCUCCCUCCCUUCCUUAAUUAUCUAGUGAUUGAUUAGCUGUAUCUGUUCGUUUUGGAUGCUUUGCUCAAAUGGCGGCGGCGUUUGUCUGUGCCGUGUGCGCGCGCGCAGGAUGUUCAAGGAGUGCCCGCACCCGGACGAGAACCAGCGGAUGCAGCUGAGCAGGGAGCUGGGGCUGGAGCCCCGGCAGAUCAAGUUCUGGUUCCAGAACCGCCGGACGCAGAUGAAGGUUGUACAGUAGUAGACUCGCCAUUGUUACCGGCCUUCUCUCCGUCCCUUGGCUGCGGCAUCCUUUUCACGUUUCUUCAUAACAUCUCCGUUGGUGUUGGGUGCUCUAUUUGAUUCGCGCUCCUGUUUGAGAUGACGGCCAUUAACUAUGGUGUCGAUUGUUUGUUCGACCGCUGGAUGGUACUGCAGGCACAGCACGAGCGGCAGGACAACUGCUUCCUGCGCGCGGAGAACGACAAGAUCCGGUGCGAGAACAUCGCCAUGCGGGAGGCCCUCCGCACCGUCAUCUGCCACACCUGCGGCGGUCCGCCCGUCACCGACGACUACUUCGACGAGCAGAAGCUGCGCAUGGAGAACGCGCGGCUCAAGGAAGAGGCAAGCCACCUCGCAUUCUCCAGCCAUUUUAUCUACAUUCUCCGGCCGGCCUUCCCCAUUUUAUCCUUCUCUCGUUUUCACACGGCGGCGACGUGGCACGCGUUUCAUGUGAUCGAUGUGCAGCUUGACCGGGUGUCCAGCCUGACGUCCAAGUACCUGGGGCGGCCCAUCACGCAGCUGCCGCCGGUGCAGCCGCUGUCCAUGUCCUCGUCGCUGGACCUGUCCGUCGGCGGGCUCGGCAGCCCGGCGCUGGGCCCGUCGCUGGACCUCGACCUCCUCAGCGGCGGCUCCUCCGGGUACCCUCCGUUCCACCUCCCGAUGACGGUGUCGGAGAUGGAGCGGCCCAUGAUGGCCGAGAUGGCGACGCGCGCCAUGGACGAGCUCAUCAGGAUGGCGCAGGCCGGCGAGCACCUGUGGGUCAAGACGGCGGGCGGCGGCCCUGACGGUCGCGAGGUGCUCAACGUCGACACGUACGACAGCAUCUUCGCCAAGCCCGGGGGCUCGUUCCGCGGCCCCGACGUGCACGUCGAGGGCUCCCGCGACUCGGGCCUCGUCUUCAUGAGCGCCAUCGGCCUCGUCGACAUGUUCAUGGACUCGGUAAAGUUUAUUUUCUGCUCCGGCCGGCUGCCUGUAAUGUACAGUAAUUAAUAGCUGUUGAUAAUCGUUACGUGAUUAAUAAGACAUGUCUAUCUAGCAUUAUUACUGUUCGCACCUACCACGUCGUAAGCGUGACGUGCACGGUCGUCUUUGUUCUCGCAGAGCAAGUUUACGGAGUUCUUCCCUGCCAUCGUGUCCAAGGCGCGCACGAUGGACGUCCUCGUGAACGGCAUGGCCGGGCGGAGCGACUCUUUGGUUCUGGUAGGGCAGUUGAUCCUCCCGAUCCAUCUCUCCCUCUUUUGUCACGUUCGCAUGCACGGGCCGUCUGCCUUGAUGCCACUCACCACUGAUUCUUGCGUGCUUAUUCGUGCGUGUCGCCGCGCAUGCAGAUGUACGAGGAGCUGCACAUGAUGUCGCCGGUCGUCCCGACGCGCGAGUUCUGCUUCCUCCGCUACUGCCGGCAGAUAGAGCACGGGCUAUGGGCGAUCGCGGACAUCUCGGUAGACCUGCAGCAGCGCGACGCAAGGUUCGGUGCGCCGCCAUCGCGCUCGUGCCGCCUCCCGUCGGGAUGCCUCAUUGCUGAUAUGGCCGAUGGCUCCUCCAAGGUACUGUAGUUAAAGUGCAUUUUUGCGUCGCCAUUGCCAUUUCCAUUCAUGUGCGUUGCCGCUGCACGUGUGCGUAUAUCUAUGGUACGGAGUCGUGGCUCGCGUGACAUUUUCGUGCAUCAGGUGACCUGGGUCGAGCACAUGGAGAUCGAGGACAGGGUUCCCAUCCACCUGCUGUACCGCGACCUCAUCCUCAGCGGCGCCGCGUUCGGGGCGCACCGGUGGCUCGCCGCGCUGCAGAGGGCGUGCGAGCGGUGCGCGUGCCUAGCCACGGCCGGCAUGCCGCACCGGGACAUUGCAGCUGCAGGAGGUGUGUUUGUAUUUUUCGGCAUGCAUAUAAUAUAUAUACUCCUAGUGUAAAUCUCAUCGAUCAGAAGCUGCUAAUUAAUAUAUUGCAGUGACGCCGGAAGGGAAGCGGAGCAUGAUGAAGCUGUCGCAGCGGAUGGUGAGCAGCUUCUGCGCGAGCCUGAGCGCGUCGCAGCUCCACCGGUGGACGACGCUGUCGGGGCCCAACGAUGUGGGCGUCCGCGUCAUGGUGCACCGCAGCACGGACCCGGGGCAGCCCAGCGGCGUGGUGCUCAGCGCUGCCACGUCCAUCUGGCUGCCGGUCCCGUGCGACCGGGUGUUCGCCUUCGUCCGCGACGAGCACACGCGCUCCCAGGUCCGCCGCGACGCCACGCCUUCCAUUCGGUCCGUCCGUCCGCACCGCAGGGGCGGCGAGUCGCGUUCUAUCUAGCUAGCGUGCCACCACGCUCACGUCUCCUGCUCGUUUAACUUUGCUUGCAGUGGGACGUGCUGUCGCACGGCAACCCGGUGCAGGAGGUGUCGCGCAUCCCCAACGGCUCCCACCCUGGAAACUGUAUCUCCUUGCUCAGAGUAAGCAUGCAUCGCAUUUGCAUUCGCGCGUGCAUCUCUCAUCUGAUGCCUGACUUUGCUAUUACUAGGGCCUUGUUUACUUCCCAAAAAAUUUUGCAAAAUUUUUCACAUUCUUCGUCACAUCAAAUCUUUAGACGUAUGCAUGGAGUAUUAAGAAAAAACGAAAAUAAAAACUAAUUGUACAGUUUGGUCGGAAUUGACGAGACGAAUCUUUUAAACCUAGUUAUUCCAUAAUUAGACAAUAUUUAUCAAGUACAAACAAAAGUGCUACAGUGUCGAUUUCCCAAAAAUUUUCGGAAGUAAACAAGGCCUAGCUAGUGCCGUGCACUAGUACGUACGUGUCAACGAAUGGCAUCCGCGGAUGCACGUGUUUUAUAUAUGUGGUGUUAGUUACUCCAUUGACCACAAGUAAACUAAUAACGUGUCUGAUGAGAUGCCAUGUGGCGGCAAUGCACAUGUGUGUGUAGGGCCUGAACGCGAGCCAGAACAGCAUGCUGAUCCUGCAGGAGAGCUGCACCGACGCGUCGGGCUCGCUGGUGGUGUACGCGCCGAUCGACAUCCCGGCGGCGAACGUGGUGAUGAGCGGCGAGGACCCGUCGGCGAUCCCGCUCCUGCCGUCCGGCUUCACCAUCCUGCCCGACGGGCGGCCCGGCGCAUCGUCGUCGUCGUCGAGCGCUGCCGGUGGCACGCUGGGCGCGACGGCGGCGGCCGGGUCGCUGGUGACGGUGGCGUUCCAGAUCCUGGUGAGCAGCCUGCCGUCGUCGAAGCUGAACGCCGAGUCGGUGGCGACGGUCAACAGCCUCAUCAGCACCACUGUGGAGCAAAUUAAGGCGGCCUUGAAUUGCGCCAGCCAUUGAUGAAGCCCCGGCCCGGGCGAUGGAUCCAUGGAAUUGAUGCGUGCCUGCCCUGCGUGCAUGCAUGCAUGCCGGCCGCAUGCACGCGUAGGUCUCCUCUCCUCGCCCCCGGCCGGCCGCCUGCCGCUUGCCUGCUGCUGGCUGCUGCGAGGAAUGAAUUCCCUUCAAGGCGUUGGUUCGCGACGGGGUUCUUGGUUGGUUGGGGGGCUUCAAUGCUGCCCAUUCAAGGAGGCGGGGCUGCUGCCAUGGUGUCGCCCGCUUGGGGUUCACCUGCCGCUGUUGCUGCGCCGUCCGAUCACCCCAUGCAUGAUCAUCAUUCAGCUCUCUCGCUCUCUCUCUCUCUCUCUCUCUCUCUCUCUCUCUCUCUCUCUCUCUCUCUCUCUGCCACUCAUGCAUGCAUGAUAACGUUUCCUCUUGCUCUAGGUGUCCGGUCCCUGUUAAGUACAGGAUUUGAAGCUUGCUUGCUGGCGAGGCUUUGCAUGAAACGGAGGAGUCAAGAACGCACCAUGCUCGUCACAUUCCUCUUGCUGCCGUCACUCACGUUCGGUUGUUAAUUAAAUUCAAUUCCAUUCCCUCUUUUGUGUCUCCCCCCCCACAUCUCCAUAGUUUUUGCCACCCAUUUGCAGUCUCCCAUUCUGUAGUUUGUAGCAGUUUGCAGCAGAGGAUGAUGAAUGGUUCGGGUAUUGACUUCUGUCUAAUGGUGUUAAGCCUUCAAUGAUAUCAUUAAUUCUCUCUAUUUUCCUAGUAAAGAUAAUUUAAGGCAAAUAUCACUGUCACAGCUUUGAUUGUUUCUUUUUCUUCUCUCGCUCACUGCUUCAGUUAAGGCCUUCAAUAUUAUUUGGCUCGUGGAAUCUGUCAUGAUUGCGGUUAUAUAUGAGCUAGCUGGUUGUCGAUUUCUGAACAGGCUUUUGUGAUGUGCGCACACUACUGCCAGCGGUCGUUACUCUGCUGGCUGGCUGGGGGUGUCCAUGCACCUAACACCUCAUCAGUAGGAGUAUUAUCUGUCCGCGAUGCAAUGCAAAAUGAGGGUGUACGUGAUGUUCGGGGUGGAGAAUUAAGAGGCUGCCUGCAGGGCGCAGGCUGUAAGUAGGGGCCGCCAUUGAAUUGAAUCGCGACGUUGCGAUGCUCGCGUCGCCUCCUCCCCGUCCCCGGCCCUUGCAAUUGCUCUCUUUUAAUACGGGUGGUUGCCAUUCCCCUGCCAGAAUUAAGCGAGGCUACAGCCUACAGCGGACGGCGACGACGAGAUGAGCCAGCAACCCGUAUUAGUACUAGCUUGGCUAGCGUUCCCCACAGCCACGCACCCCCCGCACCUUGUUGCAGCCCAUCGAUGCACUGGGUUGCUUGCUGCACGCCUCCAUGGCUCUCUACAAGCUACUCAAAAGGACCUAUCAGAUCACAGUGGCUCCCUCCGACGCGCCCUUGGCUUGGAAUUGCUGCUGGGGUCCGUCCGGCAGCGGCAGCCUCUCCCGGCGCCGCGCAUCAGUACGUGGAGCGCGUCGCUCUCGAUCGGCUUCUUCAUUCAGGCGGGCCAUGAACACACCCCUUGAGUUUAUUUGCCAACAUGUGUCGUAAGCACGGCGAUGCUCCGGGUAUUGAAUGGCGCAAUCAAUUUGCCAUGCUGUUGCGACAGCGUCGUCGAUCGAUCGAGCAGAGCGCGCGCGCGCGCCCCUAUCUAAUUUGUCAUUAUCGAUCCCAUUUUUUCGGCGUCCGGGAGCUGGAAUCGUUGUUGGCUUGCUCGUCUUCAUCAAUGCCGGCCGGCCGGGAAUGGCCUGGACUGGCCUGUGUAGUGUGUGCGUGUGUGUUCUCCAUCCCAGGCACCCGCGCGGCUCAUUCAUUUUGCAACAUGCACGCACCCGCCCCGUCGUCCCGCUCGUCUGUCGCCGUAUUCCCCUGGUCCUGCUCCGUGGUGCUAGGUGCAUGCUCUGGCCUCCGUUGACGCCCAAUGAUGUGUCGCAUGCAACGGAAGUGUUGCCUGCCUCGCGCUGCAUGCUUGCUGUUGACAGCCAUGGCACUCCUACUGCUGCUAAGCCCAAGAACAUGAAUGAUACUUUUUUUUUAAUCCAACAUACCUAUAUUGAUAGUUAAGGAUACUUAUAUAAGGACUCGUACAAAUACAGAUACAUUGAAAAAGGAUACAGAAGACAGCUUUUCUGUGGAAAAACCACAAAACACAACCAUGGAGACGAAGACGGUCGGUAGAUUCGCUCGCGCGCGGUUUAAAAAGGAAAAAGUCCACUUUAGGUCCCUCAACUUUCGCAAAAGUCUGUUUUUCAUCCCUGAACUUUAAAACCGGGUAAAAUACAUCCCUCAAUUUUUGAAACCAUACAUAUUACGUCCCUAACAUGAUUAUGAACGGUUUUAAAGGCAGUUUUGUCUUUUUCAUUUUUAUUUAUUUUGGCUGAAUAUUUGUAAAUUAUAGUAAAUCACAUUAAAUUCAUAAAAUAGUAAAUCUGAAUUUGUUGGACUCCAAAUAAGUAGAUCUACACAAUGAACAUAUAAUAUGGUAUGCUUUAGUAGAAAGUUUUUGUUGUAGCUUUAGAUAUGUGUUUUUCUAUAAUUAAUUAGAAUAGUUCAUAGCUAUAGUUUAUAUGGUCCAAUUAUGAUGAAUUUUUUAUGUUGGGCUAAUUAUUAUAUGUUUAAAUUGUGGUAAAAAUUUAAUACUCAUUAGAUCAUGUAUAACCUAGUUAUAGAUUUAUUAAGAUUUAACAAGCAUAAACCUAAAUAAAUCUAUAACUAAGUAAUACAUGUUCCAAUGAGUAUGAAAUUUUUACUACAACUCAAUCAUAGAAUAAUAGCCCACCAUAUAAAUUUCAUCACAAUUGGACCAUAUAAACUGUAGCUAUAAUUAGUCUAAUUAAUUACAGAAAAGCAUAGAUCUAAAGCUGUAUUAAAAAAAUUUAUACUAAAAUAUACUAUAUUAUAUAUUUAAUAUGUAGAUCUACUCAUCAGAAGUUCAACAAAAUUGAGUUUUCUAUUUUAUGAUUUUUAUGUGAUUUACUAUGAUUUUUCAAAAAAAAAAUCAGCUAAAUUAAAUAAAAAGAAAAGGACAAAACCGCUUUCAAAACCAGGCCAAGGAUGUAAUGUGCACGGUUUUAAAAGUUGAGAGAUGUAACUUAUCUGGUUUUAGAGUUCAUGGAUAAAAAUUAGACUUUCGUGAAAGUUAAGGGACCUAAGUGGACUUUUUCCGUUUAAAAACUAGAUACAUGACAUGGGCCUAAAGUUGGGGUUGGGCUGAUCUCCAUGUCAGCCCACAAUACGCUAUCGGGCCCCGGCCCAUUGAAGUCCGAAGGAAGCUAGCUGCUCGAUAGUACAAGUACGUCUUUGCUGUUUGCUCAUUUGAAGUCUGAACGCAACGGUCUGGUGUUAGACAAAAUUUUCAGAAACGGAUUCGUUUACAAAAACGUGCCGAUCACUCAUAGUUUGCCAUUGAUGGCGACAUGGCGUGGAUGAUGGAUGGAUCGCGAUGCUGCUCAUAAAGUGGCGCCGCGCAUUUUUGCCCGAGUAGCCCAAAGGCCACAAUCAGUUGAACGAAAAUGGAGUACCAAAGCCCGGGCUUUCUGCCAACACCUGGGUGGCACGCAGUUUAUUACACACGAAAGCGACUUUUAUAUUCACAAGAAGCUGAUCUCCAGUUGUCGUUUUCGAUAUUUUUCCUGACCCUUCCACUUUUCUUUAUUUAUAUUAAAAAAAGACUUUUCGUCAUUUGUCACGGUUUUAUUAGAAGGAUAUAAAAACAAGAAAAGAAGGAGCAAAAGUAUAACUGGGUUAAUGGAUAUCCUCACAACCCGCCCGCCCACGCACCACCACCACCACCACCACACGACUAUAAAAAAGCUACAUUGAACAGCACAAAAAGACAGCUAGAUAAGCGAUUGCACCAUUGACCUAGAACAUCCAUAUGUAGCGUCAAGUGGUACUGCCAUAUGUUAUACUGGCAAAGAGAUGCUACUUGACAAGGUUGCAACUUAUUUUGCUUGAAGGUUCUCCUGUUUUUCUCUCUUUCCAAAUAUUCAACCGGUAGGCCAGGAGUUAACAAUGAUCCCAUUGAAGGAUUUUUCAGUAUCUUUGUUGAAUUUUGCAUGAUAUUUGUGUUGAUACAAGGAUCAGAUUGACGAUCAUCAAGCCAAACCAACUACAAAUAAAAUGACAAGGUUUGCUUAGUAAAACAACAAUUCUUGCAUAAGUACGUGAGUCGGAGUUUCCAUUUGGAUGCAUCUAUGUUAGCAAAGAUAGUUAGUGGCGAAACCGGGGGGCUAGCAGGGCCGUGCCCCCCCCCCCCCCCACAUAGUGAAAAAAAAAUUAGUAUAUUUGUAAAUAUUUUGCAAAAAUUGUUGAGACAUAUGCUUGAUGUAAAUAUUUACCAUCGUGUUUAUCUAGCCCCUUAAUCAAAAGUCCUGAUUCUGCCACUAAAGAUGGUCACAUCACCCGCAUAAAGCAAAGCAUAUAAGAUUUACUGUUCUUGGAAGGUCUGGUUUAGCCUGGUAAAGAUUCGUGAAGAGGACGUUGCUAGGAUAGAAGAAAUCCAGUCUCUCUACUUCAAGCUAAAAUUAACCCCAAGGCCAGAAAACUUCUAGCUAGGAUAGAAGAUUUCGCCAACUGAUCGUGUCAAACGUUGGCGAAAAAAGCUGAUCGUGUCUAAAGCCUUUAAAAUAUUUAGCUCGAUAAACAAGACUUGUUUGGGGCUGCUCGAGUUCAGAGUUCAGACCAGCUAUGAAUAAUCUGCAGGGCCAUAACACAGCUGCCAUUGCAUGCAGUGUAAUGGCAUGUCCGAACAGUGAAGGCGACAGCUGAGAACUCAUGAUUAAGCCUGCUUCUUUGGAGGGCAAAGGAGGAAAAGAAAAACCAGACAGCCUUUCAGGCUUUCAGCUACCCUUGACAGGAAGCUAGCUAGCUGGUUUGUGGACCCAUCCAACGCAAUCUGCAAGUAAUGAUCAUGCAACAUGCCAAGAAAUGUACAUGCAAGUAUAGUGUACAUGCAACAUGCUGGUCCCAGAUGAUGGACUCAAUCACUCAACAUGGCUGGAUUGCAUCAUACACGUAUACAGCAGCAGACACCAGCAUUAUAUAGGUGCGUACUACAUUUCGGCGUCAAUUAAGCAUUUAAGCUGUGAUCCAGCGGCCAAUAGCCAUGCAAUCCCCCUUAACUCUCCCAGCUAGAUCGACAUGGGCAUGCAGGACAUGGCAGGGCAGCUAGCCGGCUUGCUCGGCCGAUGAGCUGCUGCCGUCCUCCUGCCUGCAUGAGUGCUAAUCUAAUCAGACAGCGAGCUACUCCUCCAGCCUCCAGACGGUCCGGUACUCCAGUCCACAAGGGUAGGACAGGACUGCCUGGUGCCUGCGAGGUCAUGUUGCAGAGAGGACAUGCAGCCUGGUCCAUUCCUCCUCCUCCACGGUUAAUUACUCCAUGAAUCCCUUGAUAGCAAGUAUUAUAGUAGGCUGUAAGCCGGCUAAAUGCUGAGGUGGAGGAGAGAGAGUAAAAGCGGGCUGUAAGCUUACAGCCGGGCUCAGACACAAAAACCAAGAAAGACUGUGAGACAGACAAGUGGGCCAUGUAUUAAUAGUGAUGAGCUAACCAUUAUAUGACUGGGCUGCAAGAAGGCUGUAAAGAAGUCUUACAGCCAGCAGCUGACUGUAUUAUAAUACUUGCUCUGAUAGGGUUUAAGCUUGCUGGAUGUACUGCGACCGCGAUUAUGGCGCUGCGGCGGUCGCAGGCUCCGUGGACUGCAAAGUGAUUCGACGAUGACCGGUGAAUCUCCCUAGCAGGUCGACAAGAUCUCAGCACGGAAAAGGGUAAAAGGUUCCCGUGUCGGAUCGAGAGGAUUCAGGUUUGCUCGGGACGAGGGUCAUUUCCUUUCCCUUUUCAGGCGAUCGGCGACGCGAUCACGCGAGUCAGCGACAGGGAUCAGAUGCCGGCGGGCGCCCGAUCGAGAUAGCUCGGGUUUGCCGGAGAUCGUCCUGGCCCUUCUGUUCUGAAUUUGGAGCGCAUCCAUCUUCAGAAGAAUCAUGUGUAAUUGCCGAUUGCCGUUUCAACUAUUACAUCCAGGUAUCCAACAACCAUCGCCUGCGAGGUACAAUUUGAUUUUCAUAUACAGUAUUACGCGCUAAAAAUGGAGUGUCAUUGCAAUUCACCGGCCGGACAACAGCUGUACUUGACAAAAAGAAAACGCGAAUUCACUUGAAACACGUACAGGAGUUCAGGAUAGAUGCAGCUCCAUGUACCAUACAUAUAAGCUACAUGAACUGAUGUGUAAUUUGAGGCAUUUAAGGCUUCUGUGUGAUGGCUCCAGUCUUGUUAAUUUAAGCCACGUCAUUAUAACUAGCCCCUGCAAGGUCUCAGUUAUGCUCCACAAAAAUGCAGUCUGUUUAAGUUUAAUGAGGGCCGGGGUGAACGCAGAUCCUCAGUACGGACCACAAAUAAUUGUGGAGACAUAUUUGACGUUACUUGCAGAGCAGCUUGGACACCACAUAUUUUCAAUUUCAUUAGCCAAAUAUAAGCAGAGUUAAUAUGAUCUGGCUUGAUAUCCAGAAACAUGUAUGGGAUUCCCAUCAAAUCCAAUAAACUAGACACGAAAAAAAGGAAACGAGGAGAUGUCUUUUGAAGAACUUAUGGUGACACAUUGACCCUGACGUCCAUUGCUCGCCCCCCCCCCUGAGAAUAUCAUUCUUCUGCAACUGAUGCUAAUGUUGACGCUGGUAUUGAUUUGUUGUGAAAAGCAUACUAUUCUGUAGCUGAAAAAAGUACGACUGUUCCUGGCUGAUAAGUUCAUAUCUGAAAAUAAAGUGGGAGAACUUUAGUUCAGCCUUGCUAAUUGAAGUGAAGGUUGCCACGUUCAAAUAUGAAAGCCAUCUCCUUCUUUAUCCAAAUCUGGUGUGGAGAGAGAGAGAGAGAAAGGCUUACUUAUAUUCUCCAUGUCCAAAUCAUACGAAAGCCUUGCUUAUAUAUAUUCCACGUUCAAAUAUGUUCUUGCUUGGCUGAUAAGUUAUGACUGAAUGUACUGUUGGCUGAUUUAUUAUGAGAGAAAAAUAUUGUUGAAUGGUUAGCAGAUUCGGCAGAUAAGCUCAAGCGAACAAAUGGUACUAGAAAUCUGUUUCUUCAGUACUGUUCUGUUUUUUCUUAAAAUUAUUUCUCUCUUUCUCUAUAUACUUCAAAUUCUCAGAUAUUUCCUCCUUUGACCAAAACUUGGAGACCACUGGCCACAUUGCCGCCCAGGAACCAUAGACAGCUGGAUCAGAAAUCAGUUUUGCUCAUCAAUUGGUUGAAUAAUAAGUUGCAGCCUUGCAGGUACAGAAAUGCCAUUUUAGGCCCUCAUCAAUUAGAAAUUCCAGUUUUAGUUAAAAUAUAUAUCAAUUUAUUAGCAUAAAGUUAUUUUGAAAUAUAAGAUAAUAUUAUCUCUCCAUCCCACAAAAUAUGUAUGUCUAAAAAUAUGAAAUUAUGCAUGUACCCCUGCUAUCUUUCUCUCGACACACGCCUCGAACUCAAAAGAACCAAUUACAUGUGUAUCAACCAUCUAGAACCUUCACUGAAAGUGUAGAAACAUGUUUUUUCAAUUGCAUAUGUAUUUUUAUUAAUGGGUCCCACCAUAAAUCUUAUCUCUAAUUUAGAAUUACAUGUUUUCUGAGAUAAAGAUUUAAACUUCAGGAUCAUAUGUUUUUUUUCUAAUCCUAUGUUUUUCGCGACGGACUGCGUUUCGGUGGAAUAUAUAAGCCCCCUUUAGGCCCUCAACACCUCUCUAUCUAUCUAAUUUUGGCCCAGGUUAUUUCACAGCUCAUUGUACGUCUCUCCGCUUUAUCUAAGGUCGGCCCCAUAUAUCUAUGAAGUAAAAAGAAGCCCAUAUAUUUUCCAAAAAAAAAGAAGCCCAUAUACCAAAGGCGUCCGCCCAUAGAGGCCUCAUCGCCGGUCGCUUCGAAGAGGCUUGGAGCCGAGGACCCCAGCGGCAGCGCCCCUCCCGCUCGACAGCUCGAACCCGCCAUGGAGCCCUCGCCGGAGCCUUCGCCGCCGGUCACCACGGCCACCUUCCCCGCUGCCGGCGAAGGACACGAGACGUACCCGCCCACGGUGUCAUCCUCUCUAUUCCCACUUUUCCCCCUCUCUGCCUCCAGCUCCUCCGCUCCCACAGCCGAAUCCCAGUGGCUUUCAAACCCUAGCUUCUCCUUCGAUGCCUCCUCCCUGAACGUCCCGGCUACCACCUCCUCGUCGCUCCCGCCACCGCUAAGCCCCUCGUCCGAUGAGGACACGCCGCUGCAGCGCGCCCCUGCGAAAUACGAGCUGGUGCCUUCGUCGCCGUCCUCCGACGAGGAGAGGGGGUCGCGGAGGAAGGAGAGUGGGAGGAGGAAACGGAGGCGCGAGAAGGAGCGCUAUGAUGGGGCAGCGGCGUCGCGGAAGGCUGUGGUUCGCACCUGGGCUGGGUCGCAGACGAAGCCAGCUAAGGAUUACUAUGUCGACGCGAAGGGCGACCAUGAUAACCUGGCUUUUGGAUCACUUUACAGGUCUGAUCGUGAACUAUUUAAUGCAGCAUACAAAUCUAAUUUCUGUUCUGUAGCAAAUCUAUGGUGUUGAAUUCGUGUUUAGUUUCCUGAAGUUAUUUAUUUGUUACAUGCUGACGUGUUCAGAAAUUUUAGUGUGAGAUCAAAUGUCUCAAUAUCAGUAAUUCAGUAGUAUUUCAAAACGUCGCAGAGACCUGCCCUAGGCUAACCAAGUUGUCUAAAAUCCUAGGCCUAGUUAUUUGUACACGGGAUUCUGAAAUGUUCUCCACUAAACCCAGAAUGAUGACUGCAAUCCCCUGCCAAGUGCAGGGUUGGACUAGCAUUUUGAAUAUACUUUACGCGUUAACCAUGGUUCAUUCUAUGCAACUUUUGCACAUUCCGUACUUGUGUUUGAUACAUCUAGAAUAAUCUAAUAUCAGAUUAUUUCAAAGGCUGUUGAAUCAACAUAAUGAUAUGACGCGCCAUGUCUUCAUCGUUGGUAACACUACAGCAUGUUUAUAUGAAGUGAUUGAGCUUGAAAUUGUACCACAGAAUAAUAUAAUACAAAUACUGUAAACUCUGUUUAAAUUACUCCCUCCAAGCAAAUACUUGAGGUUUUGGGCAAUGGCACAGAGUCCAUACAUAGCUUUGACCAAUAUUUUCUAUUAGAGUAUAAAUGAACUUGUAAAAACUUAUGAUUUCAUAAAAAUGUACCUUUCAAGGCAAAUUGACACAUAUGACCUUCAAAAUUUUGAACAAGAUACUUUAAAAGUUGAACUCAAUCCUUGUUCAAAACAUCGAGUAUGUACAAACCAGAGGGAGUACAUGAACAAUUGAUUUGAUCAACCUUUAACACUACUGUAUAGUUAGCUAUUAUCUUCUACAGAUGUCAGAAAAUAGCACAAAUUUAGCUACUGACAUUUCUGGUUUUUUAUAUAGACCUGGUACUUUCUAUCUCCAACUGAUGCACUGGUUUCUCAUCCCUAGUCUGUUUUAACACAAAUUAGGAGUCACAAUCUUCAAAAUCAGCAUAUCAUUGAACCCCCUUUGGUUGAGAAAUAUGCAUUGCCACUGUUGGAUUGUUAGCACCAAUGAAGGCGAGUGUAUAAGUAUAACAUGAAUCCCAAUUAAAGCUUGUAAUAUUUGGACUACCACCAAGCUACAAAAGUUUAUGUAUUCAUUUCAUGGCCUGGUUAGAAUAUCAUUACUUACCUAUGACUGAUAGUUAUUACCAGAUCUUAAAUCUUCUGUUUCAGUCUUGUUUACUUGAACUUGUUUUGUUAGCACAUCUUGACAUGCUAUUCACUGAAGUCUAACACCUCAAGGACAUCUGCAGAAUGGAUGUUGCACGCUACAGAUCCCAGAACAUGCUGGAGGCACUUGGUUUAAAUCGUUUGAGGUUUGGUUCAUCACAUAUUGAUUUUGAUUCAGACUUGGAUGGAAUAGAUAACAAAGUAAGAGCUGGAGGCCGUUACUAUUCAGCAAAAAAUGCAGUUUUUGAAAGAAAUAGGGGUUUCAAGCAUCUGAAACUAUUUAAGGGAAACACCUCUGUAAUGCUUGCUGAAGAUUUUGUCCCCUUUGAUACACAAUCACUUCCUGUGAAAAGCACAGCUGCGGAACAGGAGCUAGAGGAAUCUUGGGAAGAUGAAAUACUUCGUCGGACUAGGGAAUUCAAUAAGAUGUCUCGUGAACGUCCUCACGAUGAAAAAGUUUGGCUGGCCUUUGCUCAAUUUCAGGUAUCAUGAAUUUCUAUGGUUUUAUUUAUGAUGUUUCUUGCAAGAAGCUAUGCUUAUUCUGCCUUAGUGCUACAUUGUCAGUUAUUUGGCUCAAUUCAUUCUGGGACAAAAAGUUUGUUCUUAGAAAUGAAAUUGUACAAUUUUGACUCACCACUAGAGUUUUGUUUCACUCAUUAUUUCACACUUCUCUUCUGCAAUUUCCUUUGCCGCUGAACUACAGGACAAAGUUGCUAGUACUCAGCCACAAAAGGCUGCUCGUUUACAAACUACUGAAAGGAAAAUUAGCAUAUUGGAGAAGGCUGUGGAGCUUAAUCCAGAUAGUGAGGAAUUAUUGCUUUGCCUUCUGAAGUCAUAUGGCAAGAGGGACAGCACUGAGACUCUAUUGGCUAAAUGGGAGCAAGUACUUACGAAGCAUCCAUGUAGCUGUAAGUUGUGGAAACAGUAUCUGCUUCUGUGCCAAGGGGAAUUCUCCAGAUUCAAAGUUUCUGAAAUUCGGAAGUCCUACGUGUAUGCUGUACAGGCUCUAUCUGCAGCUUGCACCAAGCUAUGUAGGCAGGUUUAACUUCAAUGUCUCUCUGUAAACUACUUUGUCUGUAUCCCAUACCCCUACGAACUGAAACGUCGAUAAUGGUUUCUCUCUCUUUUUUGUACACAGGAUAAUGAAAGCAUGGAUUCCAAAUCUUCUUCCUUAGUUCAGCUAGAAGUGGGGUUAGUGGAUAUAUUUGUUAAUCUGUGCCGAUUUGAGUGGCAGACAGGACAUCGGGAAUUAGCAACUGGGCUAUUUCAGGCGCAAAUGGAGUUUAGCUUAUUUGCCCCUCCUCUGUAUCUGACGACAAGCAGUAAGCAAAGGCUCUUUGAACACUUCUGGAACAGUGGCGGCGCCAGAAUAGGGGAAGAUGGAGCUCUUGGAUGGUCUGAAUGGUUAGCAAAAGAUGAGGAGAGUAGACAGAAGUUGUCUAUGCAAGAAAAUUCACAAGAGACUGAAACAGGAGGCUGGAGUGGUUGGUUUGAUCCUUCUGUGGGUAAUACUGACGCAAAUGAUUUGUCAAACAAAUCACUGGAACCAUCAUUGAGCGAUGGAAAUGAUGCCGAAGAUCUUGAUGCUGAGGACUCACCUGCACAAGAUGAUGUUGAAUCCUUGCUAAAAAAGCUUGGUAUCGAUGUAGAUGCAGAGUCCAAUAGUGAAGUUAAAGAUGCAGAAACCUGGAAUAGAUGGGCCUUGAUGGAGUUGUCUCGGGACAAUGAGCAAUGGAUGCCUCUUCAUGAAAAUUCUGGUGAUGCUCCAUCUGGGGAAGACAAUGACCAGCUUUCCAGAGUAAUUUUGUUUGAGGAUGUAUCUGAGUUCCUGUUUUCGCUAUCUUCAGAGGAGGCCCGCUUUUCUUUGAUGUGCCAAUUUAUUGAUUUUUAUGGUGGCAAAAUCUCAAGAUGGUAUUCUUUUUACUUUCUUGCUUAUAUAAGCUAUGAUCAUCCUCUUGACACAACAGAAAAUUAGUGAAGACAUUCUUUCACUGGAGAUGUGUUCAAACACAAAGUUAAUAUAUUGUAUCAAUGACUCUUUUUCCCCCAUAACAUAGUGCAUAUGUCAUGCAUGUAAGUUCAGUUUUUGUUGUCAAAACCCAUUCCUUAUAAGCCAUGGAGAUAUGCUUUCAGCCAUUUUUUAUGGUCAGCCUAUAUGUGCAAAAGGAAUUGAUUUUGCCAUUUGCCAAUUUGGUGGGAGGCGCCCCUACCACCCUGGUAUGGGUCCUUGAAUUGGAAUUGGAUGCUUUUAUUCUUAACUUAACCCAGUUCCUUUUAUGUACUCUCAUUUUUAGUCCACGGUCUUAAAAAUUCAUAGAAUGUAAUGGUAUCCCUAGUUGCUUACGAUAUGACAAUAUAUUAUCUAAUAUCAGGAGCUAUUUGUUGGUCCCUACUAAUUAUUUUGUUCAUGUCAUGUGCUGGAGUAUUGGUUAUAAGUGUUACUUCUGUUUGUUUUAACUCUUUGCAAACAUACGUCAAUCUAAAGUAGUGACAGAAAACUGUCUAUGUAAUUUUUCCUCAGUUAUGAACUUUGAUAUUAUUAUUGGUCAGUGAAUUCACCACUAAUUCUUAAAUUCCAGGACAUCCACAAACAGUCCGAGUUGGCUUGAUAGAAUUUUGAGCUUAGAGAUGAUUACAAAUGACAUCCUGGAAGAUCUAAGUGCUGUAUCUGACGUUGUAAACAAGAACCAAAGUUCAUAUAGUUACAAAUUGGAAUCAUUACUGGGAAGCAUGCAUGACCUUUCACAAAGGCCAGGCCUUAUGAAGUUUCUCAGAAAUGCGAUACUGCUUCUGCUUGGUGUUUUCCCUCGUAAUCAUGUCUUGGAGGAAGCUGUUCUUGUUACUACCCAAAUGUUUGCUCCUCAAGAGAACUCCUCCUCUACUCAAGCUAACGCAUCACGGGCUUUGGCCAAAAGUAUGUUGAAGAAAGACAGACAGGUAUGAUUUGUUCUUUUUUUUUGUUGAAUUGCUUUGUUGAGGAGUGUAACAUGCUAAAACUCAGGUGGUAGGUGCCUAGUUGUGUGGCUAGCUAGCUAUAGAAGACAAUAACACGCUUGUCAUUUUUCGACCAGCUUAUUCAUUUGAUUAGUUUGUCAUUUGGUAGUAUUAAGUGUAAUCUGCAUCGUUUGAUGGACUGAACACAUCAUGCACUUUUGGAACUAAAAAUAAGAAAUGCAUCUAGAGAUUUGUGACAGAAUUCUAUCCUUCAUAUUCUUUAAAAUUUAACUGUACUAAUAAUUCUCUAUGUGCAUCUUUCCAGUUCUAUACAUGUUUUUAUUUCUGAAAAGAGAACUUGCAUUCACCCAGUAAAAACUGAACUGACAUGCUUUGGUUGGGAUAAUUUCACAUGAACCCAUUUAUGGAUGAUUGGUGUAAAAGUUUUACCAUAAUUGUUUGUUUGGCAGGAUUUUUUGCUUUGUGGGAUAUAUGGACGAACUGAGGCAAUGAAUGGGAACAUUGAACAAGCAAGGAAGAUAUUUGACACAGCACUAUUAUCAACUGAAGCAACUACUGAGGUAAAACUAUGAACUAUUAUAUCUAUUUUUAAGGAAGCUCACAUGGUUACUUCCAAUUAUCCUGUACUGAAUUUGCAGUUGUUAAUUGCAAUGCUGCUGGUUUAGCAUAGUUUGUUUCUUGAAUGCAUGUUUACAAGCAUGGGUUCCUGUUGUUAAGGUUUUCUCAUUUUGUCUGGGUAACAACCGUGUGCUCAGAUGAGAACAUUAUGGCUCCUUUCAGUCCAAAGUAUGUCACUUUAGGAAAUCUCUUUUGAUUUAUGAAUUGAUGCCAUUCUAGAUUUACACUGGAACCUUUUUUUUUACAGCAAAAGAGAUUUAUUGGUAGUAUUGUAGAGUUUAUUACUAGUUAUAACUGGGAGAUGGGUAUACACUUAACAUGGGCAAGCUUUAUCUAAAAUACUAAAGCACUAGCUUAUUCGUUGUUUUCUUUUACGGAGCUAACAAGUAAUUUUGACUGGAUGAAGACAAAGUAGAUUUAAGUAUCUUGAUGAUAGUGUAUUGUCUGCUCUCUUGAAUAGUCCCUCAGUUCAAACUUACAGAUCAAUUCAGUUUUGUCAUAAAGUCGAACUUAUGUAACUUUUACCAAGUUUUUAGAAAAAUAUAUUACCAUCUACAAAUUCAAAUAAAUGCACUAUCAAGAUAUUUCAUGGAGAAUUUAAUGAAGCUAAGUUGUUUAGAUGUAUUAUUUCUAUGAACUUGGUCAAAGUUAAAGAAGUUGUCUUAGGACAAAGCUGAAGUGACCUAUAAUUUGGAACGGAGAGAGUAAAUCUCUUUAAGGAGGUAAUGCUAUUGGCAAUAAGCUAUAUCAGCAACACUGUUAUUUCGGUUACAGAUGGCACUAGCUUCAUGGUCAAGUCCCUUUAUUUCAAGUAGAAUAAUUUUGUUUGUACUAAUUGUGCAUUAAUGGUCAUUGCCUUUGCUGGGCAGGAUCUUAGGAAGAAGGUUCCUAUCCUUUAUCUUUGGUAUUCUGAGAUGGAGAUAACAGUGUCCGCUUCAAGAAACAACUCUGACUCAAUGCAUCGUGCAGUUUACAUCCUAUCCUGCUUAGGGAGCAAUCUAAAAUAUUCCCCUUUUGUUAGCCCUAUUUCAAGGCUUCAGGUCUUGAAGGCUCGCCAAGGGUUUAAAGAGCAGAUUAGAAGCUUACAAUCUGCAUUUUCCUGUGGUCAUAUAAAAGAAGAAUCAGUUGCUCUGAUCUGCUCAGCUUCUUUGUUUGAAAGCAUGACAACAGGCUGUUCCUCGGGGCUUGAAGUGAUAGAGGAGACCUUCCCAAUGGCACUUUCAGGUCUAGCAUCCUUCUCAUUUUCUUAUAUUGCUAGAUUUUUGUGGCAUUAUUUUAAGCUUCUAUUUGGCUAUUGUACAUGGCUACAUAUUUUUUUAUCUGCAUGAACCAAGUUUAAUCCCUCUUGUACUGGUUUGACAGUCAGAGUCAGGACUCAGUUGUUGCAUUGCACUGUAGUCACUCAUAUUUGUGUAAAUUCUGUAUUGUUUUUGUGCUGUGCUAUUCGUUUAGAGUACUCUAUGUCCUUGAUAAUUUCUGUUUUUGUUAUUUUUCUCCUUUACACCCUUUAAUUUUUCUGUUGCUUCACAAUGUCUGUGAACUGCAAAUUUGUUCUCUUCUGCCGACAUUUUCAAUUGGUAAAUGCUCUUAUAUUAAUUGUAUAUCUGUUCGGUUCAGAGAGCAGUCAUAACUUGGAGUGUGAGGAUUUGUGGGUGUACUACAUCAAACUGCUUCAGAAAAAUCUUAACCGGUUGAGUCUAUCAAGGGUCUGGCCAAGCAUAUUGCAAGGAGUGCACAAAUAUCCCUACAAUCCAAAAUCAUAUUCAGCCAUGUUAACCCUGAGCUAUCUUUACAGUGUAUCCAACAAUCUCCGUCUCACACUCGACAAAUGUAGUCAAAGGUGAAAUUUCCACUUUUUUUCCAUUUUAAUUCUCUUCAUAUUGUUCUCUUUCUUUCUUUCUUUCUUUCUUUCUUUUUUGAAGAAACCUCUUUCUUUUGUUUACCAUCAUCAUUACUUGCUGUCUCUUUGCAAAUAAAGGUGAACGUGACUCUUUUCCAUGAAUUUUUUUGUAUCUAUGUUCCAACUUCUUUUCUCUAUUCAGCUUUCAUUAAUGCAUAGCCUUGUUUUCUGUAUGCAGUUUUCAUGGGUUAUACGUGCAUUUUCUUCCAUUAAAUAUCUUGAAGCAUAUUUAUUGUUGUAUACCUGCCUUUUGACUUUGUUAUUUUUAUUUGAAUGCAACAGGGAUCCUUCUGUAAUCACCUUGCUCUUUGCUUUGUCCUUUGAAUGGAGUAAAGCCGGAUCUGACAAUAGAAUACACAGCCUCUUUGAGAGAGCUCUAGCUGAUGAUAAGUUGCAGAAGUCUGUUCUGUUGUGGCGCUGUUAUCUAGCCUAUGAGGCAGAAAUAGCCUGCAACUCUUCUGCAGCACGGCGUGUGUUCUUCAGAGCUAUACAUGCCUGUCCAUGGUAUGAUGCUGACAUGUAGUGUUCUAAUUUGAUAUUGGUGUGGUUUUAUGUCUGCCUUCCACUUCUCCUAAAUAAUUGUUAUGUAGUCAAUUGAAUAUAAACGAAGUUAUUUUAUUGUUAUGGCAUUUGAUCUACAAUCUCCUGAUACUGGCCCAUGAAAAGUUGAUCUUAUUCGAGUAUGAUAUUUCCUUUUUCAGCUGUUGAUACCCACUCAAGUGCAACCUGCUCUUUCAAUAAAGUUCCUGUAUAAGGAAAAAAAAAAUGCAGUCACUAUUAAUUUAUGUUGUCACAAUACCUGAACAGCUUAUGAACUGUUUGGGACAUGUUGCAGCUUUUGCAUUCCUUACUUCCCAUAUGAUUUGUAAAAAAAACGAUGAGGACACCAAGUGCAUUUUAGUUUCAUCCUGUUUAUAAAUUCUUUUGGCAGCUGUCAUUAUCUGAUAUUGACUAUCCCUUUAUCUGUAUUUUUUGUUGUGGUCAGUUCUGAAUGAUGAUUGGAUCCUUCUGUGGUUGCUCAUUUUAGCUUCUACUGUCUAUUCCUUAUCAAUUGUAACACUAAUUUUUUUCAGGUCUAAAAGAUUAUGGCUUGAUGGUUUCCAAAAGUUGGGCUCGGUUCUGACAUUGAAGGAGCUAUCAGAUCUCCAGGAAGUGAUGCGUGACAAGGAACUAAACAUCCGCACUGACAUCUACGAGAUACUCCUAGAAGACGAAACAGAUACAUGAUUCUGUAUUGAUCUGGUUUGUAUGAAGAUCCUGGAACUGCCUCGCAUGAUGUUGGGGAUUUGACUUUGCCCGAAAACAUAUAGCCCUGAGACUUCGGAGUUGAUCAACAAAGUUGUAUCUCAAAGUUUGCUUGCAGGAGUCAAGGGCAAAGGAGAAAUUUCGACUUCGCUUGAAACAAGCAAAAGAGGUGAAGAGAUUCAAGUGUGAAGACAACUUUUUGACUUCGCUCGACAUGCAAAGACAACAAGAUUCAGUGCAGGGACUUUCAAGUCAAAAGAUGCAAGGACAUCACUGAUGAAAGCAACUUUGAGGAUUGACAAGGUAACGCGAAGAAUGAAGUUAGAGUAAAAAGAGAACUUCGCCCCUGUAGUUUAAAGGGGUUGUAUUGAUAGAGAGGGGGUAUAAUAGUCAAUUGUAUACAAAUUGCGAAGACUAGGACCUCUAUAAAUACCUCCGCUGACAUAUAUACUGUACGAUUAUAAGGAAAUGAAAUAUAACUUUACACUUGUGUUCAAAUCUGGUGUUUGUGUGAUUAUUUCACCCAACAUCUGGCACCAGCAGGUGGGUCAUCUUCGCUCCCAGCAGCAGGUAUUUCUCUUGCUAGGCCGUCCCAUUGCUCUCUUGGGGUCAUGAGGGUCUCCGAACACACACAAACGAUUCUGCGGUGCAAAUUCUAGGCCGCAGCUUAUUCAAUUUAAAUGCAGUGGGGGGUUUUAAGCUAGUUAUUAAACUAGAGAAGGCAGCCUGCAUUGAAAACCCGAGGGUGUAUUUACAUCCGCAGCUACUAAUCUACCAUGAUUAUCCUGAGCAACAGGCAGGCAACCUAAAAAUAAUAAAAAAAGGAAAUGGUUGAUCACAUCCAUCAGCCUCUUGUUCUAAUGAUGGUUAUGGUGCCGUUUCCUCCCGUCCUGAUCUUGGUCAGGCUAACGACUGCCUUGCCGGACAGGCCCAGGCCGUGAGCCGUCACGGCGGGGCCGCACGCGAACGGGCCAACGGGGUGCCGAACUGGUCUUGCCGGUCUCUUGAGGAUUCGCUGGUUGACGUCGUCCAGCGUCGUCAUGCGGCCGUCGUCUAACCCCAGCGGCUUGACGACUGCAAACGGGUACAGCACUCCGACGCCUCUCUUCUCCUUCUCCUCCUCGGCCUCCCCUGAAACAUAUUCGAACGCAUGCAUGCAUUUUAAUAACGAACGUAAACAAAAAUUAGUCACAGAAUUCAAUAAACUUCAGGUUUGUUCUGGCUGCAGCAGGAGUUAUAAUGUAAAGUGAAAGCCAAACGGUAGAGUUACGAAUAGCCGAAGCUUGCGCAGCUAGUUUGGCACUUUGGCUGGCUGGCUGGGUACCAAUGCCAAUACGUUCAAAAUAUUGCCAUGUUGCAGCGACUGCAACUGCUGCUCUCUGUAGCUGUAGUCUGUACGUCCUCGGCGCACCAGUGGCUGUCAGCGUGCCAGCCCAGCAGUGUGCACACAUGCGCGGCGCGAGUAAUAAUGGUUCCUCACCGGUCAUCUACCCCAACCCACCUGACAGCGACGAGGGGCAGACAGAGGCGGGCGCCGUCGUGGCAGCCGCGGCCGCGGCCGCAUCCGCACGGGAAGGGUGCUCGCGGCCGCAGAAGUCGACGACGGGCCGCAUGCGAUCGUCGCGACGCGCUGCCGCGUGGGGCGCCGGCGCCCCCGCGGCCGCGGCUGCCUUUUGCAGCUGCAGCUGCAGGGGGGGAGCAGCGGCUCGCACGGUGGCGGGGAAGCGAGGAGGGGGGACUACCGCGGCUGCCUCCUCAUCUCCGGCUGGCCCCGGCAGCUGCAGCUGCGCGCUGGGGCCUCUCUGCUGCUCAUCCCUGCCCGAUGCACCUGCCCCGUCCUCUCCUGCACGUCCGAGCUUUUAGUUUCAUGUUCAACUGUUUGUAUGGAGGCAUAAGUAGCGCGACUAUUGCUAACACCUUCGCUACGCGAGCAAUUAAUCCAGGAGCAGAGUGCUCUGCAGCCGCAGCAGCAGGCCAGAAGCCCAGUGAAUCCAGUCGGCUAAUGGGCUAUCAGUCAGUGGAUCAGCAUCAGAACUGACAAGAAAAGUACGACUAGUAACCACUAUUUUGUCCGUAGCUGUUGUUGUCUACUACUACCAUUGUCUGCUUCCCCGCUCCUGCUUGCACUAUCGGCGUACUAACAAACAAUGGCUAAUUAACACGGAGUAGUAGGAGUGCAGUGCGAGUGCGUACGUAGCCAACAGCGGUUAAGUGAACUGUGAACGUGAGCAAAGCUAGCUAGCAGGCCGUGUGGCGAUGUGCGGCGUAUUGAAAAGGACGUGUCGAGCGAAUCACCUGAGACAAAACUGCACCGUAUCUCCGUCUUCGGGUCCGGGGUCGUCGUGGUGUUCAAAUCAUGGCGGAAAUCUGCUCCUCCUCCUUCCUCGGCGCUAGAAUCCCAGAAGCCCUGCAAUGCAAGCCGAGAACAACCGGACAAGUAAUAAGCGGCGACGCUACGAGGCCACUGCCCGCUCUGGCGCUCUCUGUCUCUGCGUGCGAUGCAUAUGCAUGCAUGCUUAUCGUUUAGCGAGACGGCGAGGUAAAAGCUUUUCGCUUCGUCUGGUGAAUCGAUAUCGACAAUAUGCAUGGCUAGAGUACCAGAAGAUGGACUUGCAUUGCAUUUGCAUCGUUUUAAUUAGCAGACUAUUAGUAUUGGGAGCAAAAUAAAGAAACAGCCGUACACAAACAUUGACAAAUGUUGCAGGGUCGUCUCUGUAUAUAUGAUUCAAUUUCAACAUGAGGAGUAACCAAUAUGGCCACACCAUUUCCAUUUGUAUGCUGGUAUAUUAUGUGCGACUUACCGCAAGAAGGCACUGAAGAUCCUCACUCACGGCCGUCGCCGGACGCCGAGGGGGAGGUGUCGUUGUCUCCGCCAUCCGCUGCCGCUUGCUGCGACGGUCGCUCCAGUGAGGGACGGCGUCGUGCAGGUAGCCACUGGACGCCUCCGACGACGACGCCGGCGACUGCACACCUGCUGCAGGCAUGCAGCACGAAGCCGGAAGGACUUCAGCUCAGUACUCCGCUACUAUCAUCUCUACUAUGCCUAUGCCCUAGCUAGCUGUAGCAGGUUUAUUAGCAGCGAGAGCUAGCAUGCGAUGCAUGCGCAUCUCUUUAGCUGAGCUGAUGAGCACUUACGCGUCGCCGGGAAGAAGGUGGGCUCUGCUUGGACGGCGGCCGCGGCACCUCCAGCUCCGGCUCCGGCUCCGUCUCCUCCGAGAGUGUAGUGAUGAGUGCGAAGCAGCUCCGAGUCCCAGUCCCAGCCCCAGCCCCCGUCCAAGCAAUCCAGCGGAGGCAACACGCAACAGUCGUAGGAGCAGGUGUCCAGGGCCAUGGCGUGUUGUUGCUGUUGGCAGUGUAGCCGGGGCCAGCUGAGAUGGCUUGUCAUGGAGAGGGGCGUGCUGGCUGCUGCUGGGAGAGGGGCGUGUCCUCUAGCCCUCUUAAAUAGGAGGCCCGGCCGGCCCUUUUGGCGGAGCACCAAAAGCUGUGUCAAACUGGGUGGAUGGAAAUGUGAGGAGGAGGUCGUCUUUUGCUCUAUUUGCAUUCCUUUUUUUUUUUCUCUUUUUUCUCAGGAGCUAAAGGCUCGAGGAGAGAAGUGGCAAGCACUGCACUGCGAUGCAAUGCAACAAACCAGUCAAUGGAAAAGAAGCAGUAAACAAGUAAAGAAAAGGGAUAGCAACAAAAGAGCAAAGGGCCAAAAGUUGCGGUUGCCGGGGCUUGUCACUGCUUGGACCUUUCUCGUGAUUCGUUAUGUUUGAUUGCUCUACUUCCUUUCCAUCCUCAUCGGAGAAUGUUGCCAUAACAUGCAUCAAGUGCACAGACUUUGAAUAUUAGCUUCCACUGCUCCCUCAGUCUUCCAAUAAAUCAAUUUUUAAAAUCCAUGCUAAUCAUUUUUUUAAAAAAAUUAACUAACUUUAUAAAAAAGAACAAUAACAUGUAUAUCAUAAAAUAAGCACCUUAUAAAAAUAUAUUGUAUAAUAAAUCUAAUAAUACUAAUUUAUAUUAUAAGUUUUAACUUUUUUUCCAGAAAUUCGAUUAAAGUUUAACUUAAAGCUAUUUUAGGAAGCUAUUUAUUAAAGGACAGAGGGAGUAUAUAAAAAAGUGGCAGAGCUUGGACUAAAAUGGAGAGUUGCAGUUAUCAAAUGGCAAUGAAUUGUUUUUUUUUAGAUAAUGGAUACAAAAUAUCCGGCCUCUACACCCGAGGGUGUACACAGCCCAUUAUUACAAAGCUUUGAGGAUAUGUAAAGAGAAAGCCAUAGUCUCAAAGAGCGACCAUGGACGCUAAUUCAAACAAUACAAAUUUUUCCAUCCUUUAUUGGAUAUCUCUAAAGCAAUGAUUUCUAAUUGCUUUCAAGUAUAAUAAGGCACAACACUAAUGGUGAGUCGCCUAGGACAGAAGGGAACCUACAAAUAAGCUCCACCUGCCCCUGAUAAAUAAACCCAAUCGAGUGAUAUGUGUGUCUCCACUCCAUAAUUUGCUCAUAGAUAAAAGCAUGUACUCCCUCGUCCCACAUUAGACGAUGUUUUAGAAUCUCCCACGAAAACCAAUGUCGAAACUAAAAGAUCAAAAUACCCCUCGAGGAGUAGAGAUAGGAUGUAGUAUUGAAAAAUGAAAAAGAUGUCGGAGAGAAGAGAAAGAUAUAUUAGCUGAAAAGACUCAAAAAAUUGGCCAUGAGUAGUUGCACUGCACAUACAUGUACAAUGUGUUUCAAAAGGCUAAUACUCCCUCCAUUUGAAAUUAUAAGAAGUUUCGACUCAUCAAGGUACAAAUUUUCUAUGCAUUUAAAUAUACACUAGUUAGUUAAAGUAGUAUAUCUAAAAACCAAAACGUCUUGCCGGUAUAAGAGUACUACUGUACUAGUAUAUAUGCACAUGGUUGUAAUAACGUAUUUGCCUAGCAUAAUCAUUCGGUUACUAUUGCCUGGUACCACUAGUUGUCAUGUUCAGUAGUAAAAGAUUACUGCGGACUAUGAGGACGAUGGUAUUUUUUUUUUUUGGAAAGGGGUAAAAGAAAAGUUGCUACUCCGUACGAACUAGUGCACUAAGGCGAUCCAAAAUUUUUUUAUUUUGAUACUGUAGCAUUUUUGUUUUUAUUUGACAAACAAUAUCUAAUCAUGGAGCAACUAGGCUUAAAAAAUUCGUCUUAUGAUUUACAGAUAAACUGUGCAAUUAGUUAUAUUUUUUUAUCUAUAUUUAGUGUUCCAUGCAUGUGCCGCAAAAUUCGAUGUGAUGGGGAAUCUUGUAAAGUUUUGGGUUUUUGAUGUAUCUAAACAAGGGCUAAGUAUACUCCUACUAGUACGAGUACUACUUGCUAGUACGUGCCUGUUGAUGUUUUGUUGGUAUCCUUGUGCCGCAGCAGACGGGGACAGCAGCAGCUCCAGUAGCUUUAGCACGCUUUCAUGAAAAUCUUUGGACGAGGCCCAAAAUAUUUCCGUUUCCUGUUGUCUCUAUCUCUUUUCCAGUUUUCACUGCAUAAGCUUGCCCGGCGUCUGCCAUGUACUGUAUAUUACUGCGACCUUUUGGCGUUGAUGAAAAUUUUUGCAAAAUGUUACUGCAGCAUUUUGUUUGUAUUUGAUAAUUACUGUUUAACUAUGAACUAACUAGAUUUAAAAGAUUCGUCUCGCAAAUUAAAGAUGAACUAUGUAAUUAAUUAUUUUUUUAUCUAUAUUUAAUACUUCAUACAUGUACCGCAAGAUUUGAUGUGAUAAAAAAUGUUAGGCCUUGUUUAGUUCCCAAAAAAUUUUGCAAAAUUUUUCAGAUUCCCCGUCACAUCAAAUAUUUAGACGCAUGCAUAGAGUAUUAAAUAUAGACGAAAAUAAAAACUAAUUGCACGGUUUGGUCGGAAUUGACGAGACGAAUCUUUUGAGUCUAGUUAGUCUAUGAUUGGAAAAUAUUUGUCAAAUACAAACGAAAAUACUAUUAUUUCUAUUUUGUAAAAUUUUUUAGAACUAAACAAGGCCUUAGUUAUUUUACAAAAUAGGUGAGAAAGUAAACACGGCCUUUCUAGUACAACGGAGCUUAUUAUAGAUUCAUCGCGCCCCCAUGUACUUGUUACACCAACACGUAGCCGGUAGCCCCAAUUGUGGGGCUUGCCUCCACGAAUCAAUAAUGGCCAAAGGACUACACGUACGUGCACAGCAGUGGCAGUGGCAGUGGCAGUGGCAGUGCGUGAGAGAUUGCUCGGAUCAUAGAGACAGUGGUCUCCCUGUACUACCAGACCAUCAUUGCUUAUAAAUCUACCGAUGUCUGAUCUGUAUAUAUAUGGCUAACUUCAAACUUUGUUAUGUAUGAAUACAAGGAAAUAACCAAGGAACGGGUUUGAUUUUGUGAAUCUCAGCUCUCACUUCAUUGUAUUCUGAACUUCUAUGUGGAAAGCAUCCUGUACUGUACCAAAAAACUAUCAUUGAUUGCCUUGCCUGAUGAACUAUCCUAAAUUUUGUAAAUCCCGAAAAACUAAAGUUGUUCAUCGAUCAUCCAGCAAACAUCUCUCCCGAUGUAUGUAUGCAUCUUGCAUCGAGAGAUACAUGCAUGCAGAGUUUGCAGAUUGAUCGAUAAAGCAUGGUCCAAAAGCGAGAUCAAACUGACCUGGAACAGAAAUGAGCUCCCUAAAGGGGGUCAAGAAAGGCAGCCAACGAGUACUUAACACUGACAUGUAUGAGUAUGCGUAACCUGCUGAUCCGACUUCUUUUUUUUUUGUGCGUGUAAACCCAUGAGUUUAGAGACAAGUUUAAGUUGGGCGUGACCUCUUAUCUUUUUCAGUGCAGUGAUAGUACUGCUCGUCUUUACUUGCCUAUUCUUUUCUGCGAACGGUCAAUGCAAAAGCAAGGUAAAAAUUGCCACUCCUUGCAUUGGGAGCUGCUUCCACUCUCAUGUCAUGGGCUGAUGACACUGCUGUAGCUGUUGCUACUUGCUUCCAGCGCCAUUGGUACCAUCUGCCUUUGUGCAUACUGCAUACUGCAAGAAUGGAAAUUGCCCUAUCUUAACUUCUUCCCAUGCUGGCAGCACAUUCCGUCUUGAGGAAACAUUUUUUUACCUGUACUGUGGUACUCUUUGUGACAUUUGGCAGCAUAUAUAUUUACGGUGGCCUUCACCUAGGUGCGUCUGUGAAUGAUUUGGUCGACACGCAUAUUGCAGGGGCUGGGUUGGAGGCCGUCCUAUCGUAAGUGUAGUCUGUAGCCUCCUAUUCCUAUGUGAAGAAGGGAUGACCAUAGCGCGGCCCGGAAAGGCAUUCUUGGGCCCUGUGUUGACGCCAAUGAUUCACGUACGUACUACAGUUGGUUAGUGCAUUGUUGCCACAUGUAACUUUGGUUAUUAGUCCAGUCUCAAUGUAUAGUUUCAUAACACAGUUACCAAGACUAUAAACUAGGUAACCAAGCCACAGAAGUUUCAUGGGGAUGAAACUUCUCUCUCAUCUGAUGAAACUCCUUCAUUUAAUGACCUUACCAAGUCAGCAAUUAUGCUUAUGUGGCACAUUAUUUAAUGUGCAUGACACUCUCAUGAAACAUGUAUUGAGACUGGCCUUAGUAGUACUACGUACUAGCUUACUUCCUCCUACCAUAAAUAGGAAUGCACCCAGGUUAAUUUGUGGAAGUUAACCUUUUCUAACUUUGAUCAUCCAUAUUUAAAACUUUAUUUGGAUUGGCAUUAGUAGAUUCUUCAUUAUUCAUUACAAUACAAUAUUUGCAAUAUGUAACUCUUCUUAUUUAAUUAUAAAAUAAUGAAAUUUUAUAGACACUGCUGGUUGAAGUUUAAAAGGCUUGACUCAAUACAAACUUAGAUAGACUUAUUACAUUUGUGGCUAUAUAUGGGAAAUAUAUAUUUGAUUUGUCAUUUCAUAUCAGCUAGUACAAGACACUGCCCCGAAUGUAAAUUGGAGAGCCAUUAACAAAUGGCUCAGAAGGGGUAAUAAUAAUUAAUAAGUCACGAACCCCGAGGAGAGGCAAAUGCAUGCCUUGCUUAGGAUACAUAAGAACCGUGAAUAGCAGAGGGAUGGAGAUCGAUGUUGCAGUUGCAGACUUGCAGGGCACCAAAUAUGGACCAAUUUCACUGCUCUUGGCGACAAUGCAAUCGAUGUUAGGAUCUGGUAGCAGCUAGAGUGGAAUUAUUGGCGACUUUCACCUUCCGAGAGCUAGCUUUUGGCGGCAGCCCAAGAGGGCAGACUACUACUCGAAGAGCAGUCGAACGCGCGCGACUUUCCGAGCGGCAAAAGCAUGUGCCAGACACUCAGGGCAGCGCUACGUUACGUCCUGGCCGAAACAACAGUGCGCCUAGCGUAGCGGCCUAAUUAACAAGCCGUUGUUACCACUGCAUGCUGCUGCCUGCAUUAAGUAAUGAAAAGCAUCGUCCGUACUACGUUCGAUCGGGGCUCUGCAGGCUGUGUGCUGUUUGCUGCACAAUGAUGAGGAGCAAUAUGCAAGCCUUCCCAUGGUUUCAAUAUAAAAUGUUUCAUCAAGAGAUGAUCGUAUUGCGGUUGGCAACUUGGCAUCAAGAUUCAAGAGAGUAUAAACACAGCAGCGGGGGUGGCGGUGAUGAACCUGAUGACCGACAAGAACUUCUGCUCACGAAUGGGAAACAACCACAAAUUUCAGCUUAAUUAGCACCUCUGGAGUGGAGCUGCAGUGAAGUGUACGUGGCCGAUCGAUGGAGCCGAGCACAGGUAUAGUAACUAGCUAGCUUAAUUAUGUGCAAGUGCAAACAAACUUUUGAACUCGACACUUGUCUCUGUUGCCUACUGCCCUACUCCAACCAACUUUUUUAUCCGAGAGUCGUCAACUGUUGUUGUCGCUAAACCUACAGCGAGAAUUGAAAUAAGGGCCGGGGCGAUCCCACUGCAAUGCAUGUAUCCUAUUCCAAUCCACACAUCCACGCUAAAGCCUGAACUCCGCCACUGUUUGUCACCGUUGGCACCGGGGCCCUGACGAUGAUUACCGCGCGCGCGCGUCUUCUUCGUCCCCCCGAUCCUCGUCACGGCAGACGGGCAGACGCCACCGAUCGAGCUCCCUCCCUACGCACAGUGCCACUGGAGGACCAUUACGCUGCUGCUGUCGCCUUCUUUACAGCGCGGACGACGGUAGGGGGGGGCACGCACAAGCGUGCCUGCCUACCGUCUCUCGUUCGCGUGCAGUCGCGCGAAGCAGCGCAACAUUCUGCGCCCGCCGCCACCAACCCAACCAGCUCGACCGUGCACGCCGGCCCGCGACUGCGCUGCACGGGAGUAAAACCUAACGCAGCAGCAAGCUGAGCUGCAUGCGCGCCGGCGCCGCAUUGAAACGAAAGCAGAGGCGCAGGCGGUGUACCAUGCGAACGUGUAGUACAUGGACGGAUCACAUUGGUACCGGGCUCGCUGGCCAUCGGCAGAUCGACAGCGUAGGCCGUAGGGUCUGGUGGGUGCAAAUGCUGACGCUGCUGCCUGAAUCCGGAGCCGCGGCCUUUUGCACUGAAAAAAGCGGUGAAAAUUCGUGGUACCACUGCCCGGCGCCAGGCGACAGGCGCAGGCGUGGUGAAAACUGACACCCCUCUCUCUCUCUGCGGUCCUGCGUGUUUCGUUUCGUUUUGUGCUGCCUGCGUGCAGGCUACCGUAGCGACCGAGUGGCCUUGCUUUCAGCUAUGCGGAGAACGUAGUACGCCGGACGGCCGGCAUGUGUGUGUCGCUGUUGAUGCAGUUGUAGGUAGAUGGAGGCUUGGAACUGGCCUGGACUGCGUGCGAGAUGUAGGGGCAAAAAAGCAGAUGGCGGCGUCCGAAAUGAUUCGUCGAAGGAUCGAUCGAUCUGAGCUUUGGGGCCCCGGCCAGCCGCGGCCGCUUUUGCUCCUGCCGAUUUGAACGCCAAGGGCAACCAUCCAAAUUCCAAAAGAGCAGCAGCUCGGGAACGGGAAUGGAUGGUUGUAUUGUAUGAUCCCUAGGAAUCUUCCCGGAGUGAGUGGGUAAUUGGUAAAAAGCUCGGUAAAGAUACAACAUGAACAAAGCGCCAAAGCGACAGUCUUCGUCAGGGAAGCCUAGGGGCCGGGGUCUCCACUUCGCCAGCCCGGUUUGUGACGGGCGUCGUCUCGUCUCGUCUCGUCUCGUCCCGUCCCGACGUCUCGUCCAAGUCCCGGCUGAAACACUCCUGACUCGUGGUCCGCGGCUAUGUACGAUGUGCCGGCGUGCAACACCACACGAUCAACGAUUUCCAGUCCCCAGUGCCGCGGAGGCCCCGAGCGGAGCAGGAAACUGGCGCACACGUCCCGUCCCGACGAUCGCGGCGCGGGGGCAGCCGCAGUUCUCUUCGAUCUCCAGCGAUUCCGCAGGUCGGACGCGACGCGAUCGGUACCGGUACGCACAAGGGCAGGAGGUGUCGUGUCGGCCCGACCCGGCCACCCUGUUUCGAAAUUUUCGAUGCAACGCACGCACCAGCGCAGCGCCCGUAGCAGUAGCACGGAAGACGUUGUUCCUCCCGCAGGCAGGGGCGACCGAUGGUGCCAUGGUGGGCUGAUCGGCUGCGAAUCAGCCAUGCGGGCAUGGGGCAUCAGGCCAUUGGCCCACGUACGCGGCUUGGUGGGCUAUCCGUCCAUCCGGGCCAUCGCGCCUCAAGGCUCAAGCUCAACUGUUGUUUCGGACCGUGUCAGGACUGAGUGGUGCUACGGGAAAAAGAGACUACUCACUCCGUUCCAAAAAUAAUGCAAUUAUGCCAACAGCUUCACGGCGCAAUGGCAAAGGCUACUGGUUAGGGGCUUCCACCCAGGGUUAAAAUCCUGGGUGCGGCACUUUAUUUUAAAUUUAUUCUAGGUUUUUUCAGCGUUAUGCAUUAAGUGGUAGGCGACGUGUCCGUCGACAACGAGACGUCUGUGGUGAACUUCAAGAUUUGCCAGCUCAGUCCUUCGAAGGUAUGUGCGUACGUGUUGAGUGUCUGCGUUGUACUGUGUAAUCUAAAAAAAUGCAAUUAUUAUAGAGUUUUAUUUUUUUUCCAAAUUAAACGCACACUUACAGCACAGUCCUCACACGGUCUUCAUUUUUCAUUUAAAUAAAAAUAAAAAAAAAACAAGGAUGCUGCACCCAGGAGAAAACAGUAGGCGCGAGGCUGCAACCCUGCAAUGCUCAUGUGUGGCUUCCGGAGCGCUCCAUCUAGAUCCUUCUAUCUGCUGAAGGAAAAUCUGCACUGCUGCACAGUUUGGUGGGGCAUAGUUUUAUAGGGGCAUUAAGGUAUUUCAUAUGUACAUUAGUUUUCGUGUCCAAUUCUAGAAUUGUAAUUUUUUCGGGACGGAGGGAGUAAACACUAAAUACAUCCUUUGGUAUAUAGGAUGUGAAUGAAAAAUUGUUGUCGGUUGAUAGAUCAGGUCCAGUGUUGAUCUAGGAGAUUAUUGGGAGGCGGGGUUUGGUCACGAGACUAUCAAAUGUUGGUGUUGCUGAAUUUAUACUUACAAUACUUACAUGAUGUUUUUUGACGAAACUGGAGGAGCUUGAAAGCCCAUACAAGAAUUUAUUGGAAUAAAAGCACAAUUUUACAAAAAUAACAGGUUGAAGCAAAAGACUCAAGAAACAAAAAAAAAAAGAAGAUGAUGAUGAAGAAAGAAAGACAGAUUACAAUAGAUUCUGAAUCCAUAAAUCAAACUCUACAGUGUGCUUAGUCUUGACCCUUAGGGUAAGACUGCUUUUGCUCUCGUGACAUCUGGGGGAAUUCCUUUGAAGAUCCGAUCAUUUCUUAUUGUCCAGAUUGCCCAACACAUCAAGAUUACCAACAUCAUAAAGAAAUUUUGGUUGACCUGUUCCCUAAUCUGUUCCACUGCUUGAAGAAUGCUCAUCUGAUCAUGAAUGACUAUCCCCAAUGAAUCCCAGCACUGAGUCGCGAAUUGACAGCCAAGGAAAAGGUGUUGGAGGGUCUCCUCUACUCCUGCUUGGCACAGAACACAGGUAUACGAUUCCAGCUGCAUUCUUCUCCUUCUACAUUUGGUGGCGGUGAAGACAAGUCGUUCGUGGAGAGAAAAUUCAGAAACCGCCAAUGUCAGCAAUUUUAAUUGCUGCAACAUCUACAAACUAUGCUCUAGCAUCAACGAAAUCAGCUGUGACAAACAACAACCAGAAGAAAUCGGCAGAAGGUUUUCUAUUGAUCAAUGUUGAUGCUUCCUAUGAUGCAGCAGUGGGGAUAGGAAGCACAAAUGCAGAGAUGCAUCUAGGGGAUUUAUUGCUACAUGACAUAGCUACAUCCCCCAUGCAUGUGGUGGAUGCGGCUAUGGUAGAAGCAUUUGCCCCAAGGGAUGGUCUCUUGCUAGCACAAAUACAAGGUGAGUAUGGAAGUCGUGACCACGAUGAAUGAAGGAGGCUUCUCAGCCACGACGGCAGCCCCUAUCUAUGGUGAAUGUUGCCAACACUGGAUGGAAUUCGCUGCUAUAUCUAUUAGCCAUUGUAAUAGGAGUUGUAAUUCAGAGCUCAUGAAUUAACAAGGCAAGCUUUGUUAGAUAAGAGUUCUUUUGUCUGGGUUGAUGACCCCCCCCCCCCUAAAUUCUAUCCUGCAAUUGAUUGUAAAUGAUGUAACAAUUUUAGUGAAUUAAUAAGGUUUGUCAGAUUACUAAAAAAGCCAAAGUGUGUAAUCAGUGUCAACGGUGAUUAAUCACUACUAUAUAAACCAUAACCUCUGCUGGUCCAUCGCUGGAAUUUUAAAACCGGUAACGGUAGAGUUAUCACUGAGAAUUCGUAAGAAAAGGACAUUACUGCCAGAUUUUAAAACCCGACAACGGUGAUAAUAAGGUGCUCAUGUUUGCGUAGAUCAAUAUAGUAUAUCUAAGGACCUAAAUACUAGUGCCUAUAAUAUUGUAGUGAAAAUAUUGCCUUGUUUAGAUCAUUUUUUUUAUUUUAACACCGUAUCAUUUUUGUUUUUAUUUAACAGAUAUUGUUUCAAUCAUGAAGUAAAAAUAUGUCGCCGUCGUGGCAGUUCCCGGUGAAAAUAUUAUUGAAGCCUUAUACUAGCUCGGACGUCGUCGUCGUCGUCGUCGCGCGUCCGUCGUACGUCACACGCUCUCGUGCCACCGCGGCGGGCGAGGCCGCUAUAGGCCAUGCACGUACGCAAUCAACUAUUCAACUCACGCUAACGGAUCAGAGGAGGGCGUCUACUCAGGGUACACGCGGCUUCUCCAGCGACCAGCGACACCGUACCUGCAUUGGUCGACGACGAAAAUAAAAACGCUACAACGUACGUGGACGAGUUGCUAAUUAAGCUAUAAAGCCGGCCAAUCGAAGACCAAUCAUUCGAAGUUUUUGCGCCAUGACGAAGACGAAGUAAUAUAACGGAGAAUAAUAUAUGCAUCCCUAGCUCGUCAUUGCAUUGGCAUGGCAGCUCUCUCGGCUCGCUCUAUAAAUACUUGCGGUAUCCGCGGCUGAUGAGCAUCGCAGCAACGCACGGAGAGAGCUCGCAUUUUGCAGUAGCUAGCUAGCUAGCCUUUGCAUUACAAUCUCGCUCGCUCGCUCGCUGCUAAACACGUUCCAAUUUGCUCAAACCUAACAGAGCACACACACACACACACACACACAUCAUCAUCAUACACAAGAUCAAGAUCAGAGAGAUAUAUAGCUAGGUGAGCUAGCUCUGCUGCAUCAUGCCCCUUCGGCAACGUCCGACGAUGGGUGGUGUAGCUAAGAUGCCGGCUGCAGGGCUCUGCUGGUUAAUGCUAGGCGUGUUGUUAGCCAUUGGAGUUGCAGCUAGCCCGGCCCAGGCCUCCAGGAAUACUCACUACGACGUUGUAAGUUGAUCUCCAUACAUCUCAUUUCAACUUAUAUUUACCAGUUUGAUUAUUUCAUUCAGAGAUGCAGGCAGUAGCAGUUGUAGUAUUUGCAUGCAUGCUGGACUAUUAAGAAGCUAAGACGUCGGUACAAACGACUAAUAAUAAUGUAAAACGCCGGCGUACGUAUGGUAAAUUCUUUUGCAGAUAAAGGAGACGAAGGUCACCCGGCUGUGCCACGAGAAGAUCAUCCUGGCUGUGAACCGGCAGUUCCCGGGGCCGACCAUCUACGCGCGCAAGGGCGAUGCCGUAGUCGUCAACGUGUACAACCACCAGUGGCGGAGCGAGAAUUUGAAUCUUGAGUAUUCCUUUGUUGGUGUUUAGUGGGCCACCACUCAACUGUUAUCUAUAACCUCAUGACCGAUGUGCGUCUUCACCGGUCGCUAUGUAGGCGUAGCAUAGAGACAGAGGCCGCGCCCGCGCUGCACGCCCCGCGCCGCUAGGAGCUUAGGACACUGGGAACCAGCAGUGCCGCUACCACGUUAUGCCUAGUCAGCUAGGGUUAGAGAUUUAGGAAGGAGGAUUAUGAAAUUGUCUCCUACUCAUGCCUCGUUCACUCACACAAAAAGAAUACUUUGUUAUACAUGUUGCCAUGUGCAAGACAAAUAAGAUAUGAUUUGUACUAAUAUUUGGUGGCACGAGUCGAUAUGUAUGUGAUCUGGAGAUAAAUAAUUAGAUUUUCAUUUGCAGAAACAACAAAAUAGAAUAAUGUUGGCAAUCGAGCUAACAUAGAACCUAUGUGUAAAAAGAAAUACAAGGAUAGACUAAAAAGAAUGAGAAAAAAAUUUUAUUUGCUAAAUAUAAAAAGGCUAAUAUAUUAGAUAUAAAUAUAUAUAUAUAAAUAUGUACCUAUAUAUACUUAGUGCAUAAAAAGUUGGGUAUUCGUGGAAAUACCACGAAUACCCACGGUAUCCGCCCAUGACAACCAGGGCAGCAAGAACAUCACCCUCCACUGGCACGACGUGGACCAGCCUCGGAACCCGUGGUCCGACGGGCCGGAGUACAUCACGCAGUGCCCCAUCCAGCCUGGCGCCAACUUCACCUACCACAUCAACUUCACCGAGGAGGAGGGGACGCUGUGGUGGCACGCACACAGCGACUUCGACCGCGCCACUGUGCAUGGCGCCGUCGUCAUCCACCCAAAGCACGGCUCCGCCUACCCCUACCCCAAGCCGCACAGGGAGGUGCCCAUCAUCCUCGGUGAGUGGUGGAACAUCGAUGUGGAGCAAGUUCUCCUAGAGGCCCAGCGGACCGGCGGCGACGUCAACAUCUCUGACGCAAACACCAUCAACAGCCAGCCAGACAACUUCGUCCCGUGCUCUAAGAACGACACCUACAGGAUGCUCAUGGAGCACGGCAAGACGUACCUGCUCCAGAUCAUUAAUGCGGGGCUCACCAACGACAUGUUCUUUGCCGUUGCCGGGCACCACCUCACAGUGGUCGGCACCGACGGCCACUACCUCAAGCCGUUCACCGUCGACCACAUCAUGAUCUCCUCCGGACAGACCAUGAAUGUGCUCCUCGAGGCCAACCGUGCCACCAAUGGCUCAAGCGACAACAGCCGCUACUACAUGGCCGCGAGGCCAUACUUCACCAACAAGGGACCCCUGGUCGACGAUAAAAACACCACGACCAUUCUGGAGUACAUGGAUGUGCCAGCGUCACGCUCUGCGGGGCCACCAGACUCCCUCGACCUGCCAGCCAUCAAUGACACCGCCGCGGCAACGGCGUACACGGCGCAGCUCCGGUCCCUGGCCACGAAGGAGCACCAGAUCGACAUGCCGACGGAGGUCGACGAGCACAUGCUCGUGACGAUCUCUGUCAACACGCUCUCCCUGCGGAGCUAACAAGACGUGCAAAGGCCCCAGAGGGGACCGCCUCUCGGCGAGCCUCAACAACGUCAGCUUCGUGGCGCCGACCGUUGACAUCCUCGACGCCUACUACAACUCCAUCAGUGACGUGUACGAGCCAAACUUUCCUGACAGGCCACACUUCUUCUUCAACUUCACCGACCCCAACUCGCCAAAGGAGCUCCAGCUCACAAAGCGGGGCACCAAGGUGAAGGUGGUGGAGUACGGCACCGUGGUGGAGGUGGUGUUUCAAGACACAUCCAUCCUCGGUGCCGAGAGCCACCCCAUGCACUUGCAUGGCUUCAGCUUCUACGUGGUAGGCCGAGGGUUUGGUAACUUCGACAAGGACAAAGACUUAGCCAUGUAUAACCUGGUCGACCCGCCGUACCAGAACACCGUCACCGUGCCCGCUGGUGGCUGGGCAGCAAUCCGCUUCCGCGCGGCAAAUCCUGGUGAGUAUUUUGCUAUAUAAAUUUUAGCGACAAUAAACUAUAUAUAUAUAUAUAUUGUUAUAUGAUUUUUUUUCUUAUGUGUUGCUGUUUUUUUAUUAUUAGGUGUGUGGUUUAUGCACUGUCACUUUGAUCGUCACACUGUGUGGGGCAUGGACACUGUGUUUAUUGUGAAAAAUGGCAAGACCCCAAAGUCUCAAAUGAUGCCACGUCCUCCUCACAUGCCCAAGUGCUAAUAAGGAAAACAUGAGCCAUGACUGCGGUUUGCACACAAGACAAUCGAGCAAAAUAACUGGUCUUACUAGAUUGGUACUUGAUUUAACUAUUUGGUCUACAGAGUUUAAGUAGAUUGGUUUUUCAAAUAUUUUUUAUUUAGUAUAUAUUGUUUAAUUUUUUAAUUAUUUCAUUUGGUCGAGAAAAUAUAUUCGUUGUAUUCAUUAUUUUUACAUGUUCUCCUAGUUCAAUCUUCAGGUGUAAUUAAAAAUGUAUGUUACGAUACAUUCUGUAUCCUGUGAAAUUCAAUAUAAAUAUGUGCUUCAUAUAUUUAUGUAUUUAUAUUGACCAUAAUAAGAUCAUAAUCAUUUAGAGAAAAUAUAUGGAGCUCCCGGCGGCGGCGCCCACGAAGCUUCACUCUACGGUGCUUCUUCUCUGCUACUGGCAGUUGUCGCUGCACCGGCACGAUAUGGUCUUCAGAGGUCGACGUCUCCUCUCCGCCUGUCAAGAUGCUUGUAAGCUAUGGGCAAAUAGACUAAAAGUAGAUGAUAGAUGGAUCCUCCAUGAUUGGUGUAAUCUUUUCACUCCUUCCCCUUAACCCUUCUCCUACCCGCACUCUUUGCGGUUGUAAAACCUUGGCCAUGAGCCACUUUGGUGCACUACAAGAUAUGUGUGGUUUUUUGACGUUUUUAGUAUGACAAAAGGUAAUAAUGUCAUUAUAUCAUCCGAUUUAUGACAUUCUAUUUCAUGUAUCUCUACUUAGUGACAAUAAAAAGUUGGAUGUCAUGUCACAAGUCCUAAUUUUCUAAUGUCAUAAAUCUUUGACAAAUGUUAUGUGUCAUCACUUAUUUUAUUGAAUUAUUUUAAAUGUUCUUGUCCAUAGUGGCAUUCGAAUUGGCACGUAGCAUAUUUUUUUUAUUAUUUAUUUCUUUAUUUUGGUUAUGUCUUAUUUUUUUUCUUUAAAAUGGGUCAUGCGCGCCGAAGAAAAAUGUUAAAAAUAGAGGCGGCAGUGGGGAUUCAAACCUGCGUGCUCCAAGUUACUUUGAAGCAAUCACGCCACUAAGCUACGUACCAAUGUUUGAUUGGCCAGCACGUUUUAUUGUAUAUAUAACAGAAGCUGCUCAUUGUUGAAAUUUGCGGCCAGAUCUUCGAUGUUGUAUUAGUACCCGAGCUUGACUCUCUAUUUAUAAGACUUCCUCGGUUACUCCGUGUAUACAACUAAAGCAUCAAGGUUUGAAAUAACCUUGUAUGAAAAACCCACAAAAAUAAAAGUUGCAGAUCCUAAAAAGUUAUGAAACUUUGUAGUUGAUAACUUUUUUUAUUUAUAUUCGUUUAGAGCCUCAAAUAAUCAAUUUAUGCUUGGUUUAUGAUAGUAUAUGGGGAACUAAACUCUAAUAUAGACACAACUGAGUGAUAGGUGGAGUGGUAGAGGAGGGUACGUGCGAGGGUGAGGUCUCAGGUUCGAAUCCCACGGACCGCGUAGCACGCGAUUUUACGCGAAAAAACGGGCGGGCAAUUAGCCACCCUGAGAUUAUUUUUUUUCCUAUUUUUAAAAGCCGAUUUCAUAUUUUAUAGAAAAAUAUUUUUGUUAGCAGACACUAGUAAGCAGCGCAUAAACCAAAUUUUGGAUGUCUGGGCCUGGCGCAACCGCGUAGUGGCGCCAUGUCUCCGCGCCACACCAAAAAAUUUGGAGUGAAAAUGUCAUUUCUAUCCAGACAUAUACCACAACAACUCUCCUUUGGAUAAGGAUAGUACAGUAAAAUUACCCCCAUACCGUGACCUAUUCAGCUCAUGCUCCCCCAAACCCUAGUCAAUCCAAUUCACUCCUCGCAGCAGCCGCCACUUUGUUGCCCUCUCUACUGCCUGGAAAGAGGAUCCGCCGCCCUCCACUGCCCACAGCCGAAGAGGCCAUGCGCCCCCAACGACAUCCUCAGCACUCCGCUCCAAGCUUCCUGGACUCGUGAAGAUGGCUCCUGGUCGGAAACCGAAGACCCGGCCCUCAACCAGACUUCAUCGUGAAGGUAAAUUGUUGAUUGCCUCCUCUUACUUUGCAAUCCAUAUGGCGGGUAAUUGCAGCACAGGCUCUGGUCCUAGAUCUGGGGAUUUACAUGGGGAGGCCUGCCCUACAACCUGAGCAGCCAGCGUUGGCGCCCGGCGCGGCUGCAGGGAUGCAAAGGCUCUGGUCCUAGGCGGCGAGGCAUUGCAUAGCAGCUAGGGGUGUGGGGGUGUGUGUGGGUGGGUGGGGGACAUGAAAGAGAGAGGUCAGGGAUGCACGUUAGCAGCUGCCAUUUAAUCUUAUGCUUGUUUCUGUUUCGCCUUUUAUUUCUGUGUGGAUCCUCCCUUUUGAUUGUUGGCCGUGGCUGCAACAAGAUCCAGGUGAAACUGUGAAAGGGCUCUUCUCGAUCUGGUCUAUUUGCCUUGGCUGAUGUGUUCUAUAUCUCUGCUCUUUUGAGUAAAGUAUGUAUUUUGCUGAAUAGCUGGUCCUUGUUGAGGAUAUGAAUAUUUUAUGAACUGUUGUUAACUGUUAUAGAUGAGAAGACACAAUUUCAGAUUACUGAUGUUCUGAUGCUAUCCUUGUUGCUAGACAAGUAGUAAUUCUGGGCAUUGCACAGGGCCUCAUCACUUAUUUUUAGUGUUUGAAGUACUAGUAAAUUAUCUUUGCUUCUAUUUAAAAAAAUUCUAAGUAAGCUCUUUUUUAAGAAACAGCACAAAAUCUAUUUUAGUACGUGACAAGGCUGUGUAUUUGGUCUCAUAUUUCACUGUGAAAUUUAUGUACUAAUUCUUAACGAUACAUUACUCUAUAGGUUUUGUUCUCACAUGCUUAAUUUACAUGGUCUGUUCUCUCACAAGCUUAAUUUACUAUGAUUUCUUUUUCUCGUGCAAGUACAGAGGCUCCACUAAUUGACUAUGAGAAGCAGAAGAUGGAACAAGUGAUGCGGAAUAGUCGGAUCUUCCGCAGUCUAAACCAUAAAUCAUAUAGGAGGUUGUAUGUGUCUAAAAAUGGUGCUUGUUGCAUGGAAAAAAAUGUCUACUUAUAUGCAAAGCUAUUUAUUUAGGUCUAUUUGCUCAAGGAUCUGAAAUCAUCAAGGAUGUUCUAGUAUGCAAAUAGGGUAUUUUGAAUCCACUUCAUGGUGAUUUGGCUAGUUACUGAUAUGAAUAAUUGGAUUGCGGAUUCGGCAAAUACUGUCUAGUUACUCAUGUAAAUAACUGGAUUGGUCAUUCGGCUACAUUUGUUUUAUGCUUCUACAUGGCCUACUCGCAUAAUGGAAAUCAAACAUAGUUUUAGAUUUAUAGCAUGUCAGUUGUAAUGAAAUAUGUGAUUCAAUAAAUGUUAAGAUACUGCUGGUGUCAUGCUAUCUUAGGAUACAAAUAAUUAAAUGUUAAUGUUGCUGCUAAUGUGUUGUUGCUGCUGUUUGUUUUCUAUUUUUGUGUAAUUUCAGAAGCAAACUAAAUUUAAGGAUGCGCCACCAACUGCGAUUGAUAUUUUCAAGGACACCCACUGCAGCAGCAAGUCAGGUUUUAAUGAGCAAGCAAUGGAUGCCAUUGUGAGUACCAUUUCUUAUUUCCUACUGUGAUGAACAACAUCAUAGCCACAUUGUAAGUUUGGAUAGCCACUAGAUUGCCACUCAGUUUAGCAUGUUUAGAGAAAUAAAUCAAAAGAAAAAUGAGUACACAAUUCUUUACAACAACAUGGAAGAUCAUUUCAUAUAUAGCAUAGAAGGUUCCACUCGAUAGAUACCAUUCCAUUUCUUCCACUAUGUUGCUUUACCUAUAGACAUGAGUUCUAGAAAUACAUAACUAGUGCUGAAAUCUAACUUUUUUGGUGCUAUUGUUGCUAGGCUCAAAUGGAGGCCUACGUUGCUGAACCAACGGAAGAAGGGCAAGAUCCAAAGACUCCUGUUCAAGCUAUAGCUCAUGUUAUGCCAAAAUCAACUUUCCUUCACAAUGUUGGCAUGCAGUCUGCAGCGAUGAAGAGAAAUGCCAAAGCUGCUGCAAUGAAUGAUCGUGUGAAUGAGCUUGAGAGUGAAUUGCAAGCUGAGAAGAAGGGAUCAGAUGGACUAAGAUCACAGCUGGCUGAUGUGCAGAAGCAAUUAGAGGAUCAGAAAGAGGCAGCAAGGAAGAAUGAAGAAGCAGCAAGGAAGAACGAAGAAGAAACUGAGAAGCUGAAACAGCAAGGCCUUGAAAUCCAAGGUUUCCUUCGGACCUUGUUUGGCAACAAGUUUGCAUCACCUGAUCCUCAGUGGUAAGCUGUCUAACUGCAUUAGGCUCAUUUUGGCAACAUAUGUGUCUAGAAGGAUAAAGAUGCUAUUUUGGUGGCAAUUGCACUAUUGGUGCUACCGCUGCUGCUGCUGCUAUGCUGCUACCGCUGGUGCUACUAUAGCAAGUUAUAAUUUGAGAUAUUGAGACUGUGUGUUGAAUUGGUGGAUGGAUGUAAUGUGUUGUAUUUUAAGACAUGUGAAGUGCUUGUGAUAUUGCAAUCAUGUGGAGAUAUUUGUAUGGGCUGAAAAUAUUUUGGGCUGAAAAAAUAUAUGGGUUCAAUUGUGUGCUGUGAAAAAAUUUGUACAGGCUGAAAUUGUGUGGGCCAAUAAAAAAUGAACUAAAACAAUGGCCCAAGAAAUAUGGGCCCAAAAAAUCUUGUGACCUAUGGAGGGCUGUCUGGUAUGUGGGUUUUAGCAGACCAAGACUUAUUUUGUGACGUUUUUUUCCUGCCAUGUCAGCUUUUGAUCCUACAUGGCAUUUGCCCAUGUGGCAAGGCUUAAGAUUUUAUGACGAUAAACCAAAGUCAUCAAUCUGUAUGACACUAAAACCCAAUGUCAUAAGCUUGUGACACUGAAUGUAUAAACGUCACAUGAUCACUUUGUGACGCGGGUUUUUUGACGUUUGAAUUUUUGUCAACUGAAUGUCAAAAACCUUAAGUUGUGACAUUUAUUCUAUAUAUUUUGACAUAAAAAGUAUGUCAAAAAACCAUAGAUUUCUUGUAGUGGUGCCUAGCACCCUCCAUCACCGGCUUGCCGGGAUCAAUGGAAUUUAUUUAGGUGGGUCUCUCACCCUCCGGUGUUAUCUUCAAAAAAAAUCUUUUUAUUUUUAGAUGAUAGAAUAAAAUCACAUCCAAUCCCAUCGUUUACAAAUUAUUACUCGUACAUAGUCAUAGAUGUUUUUUUUUCCAUUUGUUAUUACAUUGCAAUAGUUGCACCCACAGAAAUAGUUUUGGAAAUAGUUUUUUUGGAAGGGGGAGAGAUUUUAUUCAUAAGGUAGCACAAUUACAUCCUUGUUUACAUGCAAGCCUCUGGCAUCCAAAAAAACAUACACAUCCAGAGCCUCCUAAAUAAUCUUCACCUCUAAACCAUGUUGAUGACUAGCUAAUCCUACCCAUUGGAACUCAAGAACGACAUGCACCAAAACUUGAAAACACUGCAUGAUCCAACACCACUAGAACUUCCCAUGACACAUCUGUCACCUUUUCUUGAAGAAAUUGGAGGGGCCACAGGGGCCUCUACAUGCAUUUAUUAGUACUAAAAAGAUAGUUCAGUACUUAAUUCAUCCCAAAUUAUAAGAUAUUUGACUUUUUCGACACCAAGUUUGACCACUCGUAUUAUUUAAAAAUUUAUGCAAAAUAUCACUUCUUUUGUCGUGGCUUGGUUUAUUAAUUAAAAUUCUUCAAGAAUGACUUAAAUUUGAUUAUUUUUACACAAAUUUUUUGAAUAAGACGAGUGAUCAAACUUAGGGUCAAAAAAGUCAAAUGACUUAUAAUUUGGGAUGGAGGUAGUACAAAACAAAGCAAAUGAGCAAGGACAAGCUCAAGAAACAAAAAAAAAAGAAAAACAUGGACCUAACAAGGAAAAUUACAAAAGAUUCCGGAUCCAUAGAUUAAAAGUGUGUGCAAGUCUGGACCUUGCCCUUAUGGAAAGGAUUCUCAAUUCUUUUUGGAAUAAAGCUUUGAUCGCAACAACGCGGUUGUUUAUUCUUGAAGAUAAGGUCAUUCUGCGCAUUCCAAAUUCCCUAACAUGCCCAAGUGCUAAUAAGGAAACAAGGGCAUUAGCCAUGACUGCGGUUUACACGCAAGACAAUUGAACAAAAUAACUAAUCUUUGGGUAGCAUCGUGGCGAUAGUGAGGGAGCAGGUAGCAGGCCUCGACCCUUGAUGGCCAGGUCAGGGUCUGGUUGGCCUUGGAAGUUGGAAGUCAAGGUCAGGGUCGUGUGACGCAUCCUGCAGUGCUGGCUUUGGUCGGCGCAGAGCCAUAUCAGGGCUUGUUUAGAUGUGAAUUUUUUUUUGGAUUUUGCUAUUGUAGCACUUUCAUUUGUUUAUGGUAAAUAUUGUCCAAUCAUAGACUAACUAGACUUAAAAGAUUCGUCUCGUGAUUUACAGACAAAUUGUGUGAUUAAUUUUUAUUUUCAUCUAUAUUUAAUGCUUCAUGCAUGUGCCGCAAGAUUCGAUAUGACAGAGAAUCUUGAAAACUUUUUGGUUUUCGAGGUGAAGUAAACAAGGCCUCUGUCGUCAUCGUCCGCAAAGUUGUCUUGUCUCACUGGCAAAAAAAAAGUUGUCUUGUCUGAACUAGGAUGUGUAGAGGAUGCAUUCUGCCUUGAGAUCCCGCGCUUCCAAGGAUGGUCGUCCUUUUCGUUCUAGCAGAGCAAACGGCUCCGGUGUGCUUGUCCCUGCCAGGGUACUUGUACUUGGUGGCAUGCAUCUGGCCUCUCUCUGUCCCUUCUCGGUGUCUAAGAUGGAGGAGAGGUCGAGUGACAUCACGUGCGUGCAGUGGAAGGAGAAUGAAGAGGUCGUGCUAGAGCCUAGAUCGCGUAACUUUGCAACUAGCCCAGGACUUAUGUAGGUUGAGCGUGCCAUGGUAGUUGGGCCUUGGCCGACUGGGCCGCUUGAGAGGCCAACUAUUCGAUGUGUCGACUGUUGAGAUACCAGGGUAUCUUGACCUCGACAGUAGCCCCCGAGCGUCUUCGUGAUCUUAGAGUGAUCGUGGGGAGAGCUGAAUUUCUGGUAUAUAGCGCUGCGGAAGGUGCAUCUCUGCAAACAGGGACUAAGGUUUUUGUAAACCCUUCUGUCAUUUUAGAUUAUUUAUUGUUCAAGUAAAUUGUAGAACAAAAAUAAGGAUAUGUAGCCAAUUUCAUUAUUAUCCUCAUUAAUUACAUCAAAGUGUUCUUGUUUUUCAAAUUAAAGAAACUUUGUGAUUACAUUGAUGAUGGCCUGAGUGUUUUAGAAUGUGAGAAUGACAAAUAUUUUGAUAGAAAAAAAUUGAAUGCUAGAAUGAUAAGUAAUAUGAAAUGGAGGAAAUAUUUAAUCGUCGGCUCCAUAUACACACAAAUAUCAAGAAAUAGUUAAUUAGUUACCGAUAAAUAAAGUAGUGUUGUAAGGCAUCAAAUGAAUGGCUGAUAAAGAUAUCUUCUUAACAAAGAGGGAAGUAUGGCAUCACUAAUUAAUUAUUAUUAGCCACAUUUGCUUCGCCCACCUACCUACAAAAGGUUGAAAGCUUGGACAUAGAAGCAUCACAAAGCAAGCCUAGCCAUAGGUUAAGAGAAGUUCUACGAUUAGAUUUGAAACAACAAGCUGGUGGCGGCACGACGAACUAUUGCAUCCUCCUCGUUGCAUUGGCAGCUCUCUCGGCUCGCUCUAUAAAUACUUUGCGGUAUCCCGUAUCCGCUGCAGAUGAGCAUCGCAGCAACGCACGGAGCCGAGCUCACAUUGCACAAGCUAGCUAGCCUUUGCAUUGCAUAUUCUCCAUCGCUCGCACGCUGCUAAACACACGUUUCCAAUUCGCUCAAAUUAAACUAGCUAACAGAGCACACACACGUCAUCGUCAUACACGAAGACCAGAGAGCUAUCUUGGUGAUCUAGCUCUGCUGCAUUGCAUGCUCCUUCAUUCGGCAACCAACGUCCGAUCGACGAUGGGCGGUGUAGCUAAGAUGCCGGCGGCAGGGCUCUGCUGGUUACUGCUAGGCGUGGUGUUGGCCUUUGGAGUUGCAGCUAGCCCGGCCCGGGCCUCCAGGAAUACUCACUACGACUUCGUUGUAAGUUGAUCCAUACAUCUCAUUUCAACUUAUAUUUAUGUUUGAUUUCAUUCAUAGAUGCAGGCAGAUAGUUGCUUGAACAGUAUAUAUGUGGUAUUAAGAAGACCUCGGUACAAACGACUAAUAAUGUAACACACCGGCGUACGUAUGUUAAACUCUUUUGCAGAUAAAGGAGACGAAGGUCACCCGGCUCUGCCACGAAAAGACCAUCCUGGCCGUGAACGGGCAGUUCCCGGGGCCGACCAUCUACGCAGGCAAGGGCGGUGUCAUCGUCGUCAACGUGUACAACCAGGGCAAAAAAAACAUCACCCUCCACUGGCACGGCGUGGACCAGCCGCGGAACCCAUGGUUCGACGGGCCAGAGUACAUCACACAGUGCCCCAUUCAGCCCGGUACCAACUUCACCUACCGCAUCAACUUCACCGAGGAGGAGGGCACGCUGUGGUGGCACGCACAUAGCGACUUCGACCGCGCCACUGUGCAUGGCGCCAUUGUCAUCUCCGCGGCCUACCCCUACCCCAAGCCACACAGGGAGGUGCUCAUCAUCCUCGGUGAGUGGUGGAACGCCGACGUGGAACAAGUUCUCUUGGAGGCCAAGCGGACCGGUGGCGACGUCAACAUCUCCGACGCCAACACCAUCAACGGCCAGCCUGGUGACUUUGCUCUGUGCUCCAAAAAUGACACCUUCAAGAUGUUGGUGGAGCACGGAAAGACGUACUUGCUCCAGGUCAUCAAUGCGGGGCUUACUAACGAGAUGUUCUUCACUAUCGCUGGGCACCGCCUCACGGUGGUCGGCACCGAUGGCCACUACCUCAAGCCAUUCACCGUCGACCACAUCAUGAUUUCCUCUGGUCAGACCAUGAACGUGCUCCUCGAGGCCAACCGCGCAACCAACGGCUCAAGCGACAACAACCGCUACUACAUGGCCGCGAGGCCGUACUUCACCAACAAGGGACCUCCGGUGAACGAUAAAAAUACCACAGCCAUUCUAGAGUACAUGGAUGUGACAGCGCCACCCUUCGCGCGGCCACCGGACUCCUCCGACCUGCCGGCCAUCAACGACACCGCCGCGGCAACAGCAUACACGGUGCAACUCCGGUCCUUGGUCACAAAGGAGCACCUAAUCGAUGUGCCAAUGGUGGUUGGCCAGCAUAUGCUCGUGACGAUCUCGGUCAAUACGCUCCCCUGCAGGCCUAACAAGACAUGUGCCGGCCCUAGAGGCGACCACCUCGCGGCGAGCCUGAACAACGUUAGCUUCGUGCCACCAACCAUCGACAUCCUCAACGCCUACUAUGACUCCAUCAACGGCGUGUAUGAGUCGGACUUUCCCGAUAGGCCAUCCUUCUUCUUCGACUUCACCGCCCCCAACCCGUCGAAGGAGCUCCAACUCACAAAGCAGGGCACCAAGGUGAAGGUGGUGGAGUACGGCACCGUGGUGGAGGUGGUGUUCCAGGACACGGCCAUCCUCGGUGCCGAGAGCCACCCCAUGCACCUCCACGGCUUCAGCUUCUUUGUGGUGGGCCGAGGGUUCGGUAACUUCGACAAGGAUAAGGACCCAACCAUGUACAACCUGGUGGACCCACCGUACCAGAGCACCGUCUCUGUGCCCUCAGGUGGGUGGGUUGCAAUGCGCUUCCGUGCGGCAAAUCCUGGUAAGUACUGUAUUUGCUAAAUUAAAUGUGGGCAACAUUGCAAUGAUGAACUACAAUAUGUUGUUAUAUGGUUUUUUUUCUUAUAUAUGUUGUGCUAUUUUUUCUUGUUUAUUAGGUGUGUGGUUUAUGCAUUGCCAUUUCAAUCGUCACAUGAUGUGGGGCAUGGAUACUGUGUUUAUCGUGAAAAAUGGCAAGACCCCAAAGACUCAAAUGAUGCCACGUCCUCCUAAUAUGCCCAAGUGCUAAUAAGGAAACAAGGGCAUGAGCCAUGCCGGCGGUUUGCAUGCAAGACAAUUGAGCAAAAAUAACUAAUCUUACUAGUAGAUUGAUAAUUGGUUUGGCUGUUCGUUUGUCUUAUAAGCCGUAUUUUUCUGUCAGCCAGCAAUGUUUUUCUCUCGUAAUAAAUCAGUGAACAAUAUUUUCUGCCAUGACUUUUUAAACCAGCGAACAAACUUUUGCGGCACUUAUUUUAAGUAGAUUGAUAAUUGGUUUAAUUAUUUGCUCGUCAUCGCCCCCUUCGCUGCACCUGGCGCUCAGCCCACCGGGGACCGGGAUCCCCGACGGGAACCUGAACGCUGCCGUGUGCGCCAUGGCGUGCGUGUCCGUGAUCUUCGUGCUCAUGGUGCUCGCCAAGCCAAUGUAUAUGGGCGCGGCUCGAACUCGACGUGCUACUGGGCCCGCGCCCAAAUCCCCUGCCAGAAGCUGCUACUCUCUUCAAGAUGCUGGCGACGCUACUCAUCUCGCGUUGAUUCUCGUCACAUUUCUCCUGGACAUGUCCUACUCUACCUACGGCCACCUGCUGCUCAGCACCGCUUCUCUUCAAUUCUUCUCCUGCAUAAGGAUAGGGGCCGUGCUCCAAACAAGUACUCAUAGUUCUUUUCUAGUAUAACUAAAUAAAUUAAAUAAAAUAUUUAGUUUAUUUAGUUACACUAUUCAUUCGGAGGGUCAUUCCCAUCCUUGCUUCUGCAGUCCUAGGGGCCAGUUCUGCUCCUACCCUACCCGUGUCAAAAGAAUUAUCUUUCAUUUGCUGGGCGCCAUUACAUGCCACACACUGACCGUCUCGAAAAAUAAAGCAUACACCAAGGGCAAGUUGUUUAGCAGUUUAGCACAUUUCCGAGGAAGACAGGCACGGACAUAACAUAAGUGUGUGCCUACCGAGUGAGUGUCAACUGCGAUGAACAUUUCUUUUGUAAUCACCAAACGAUAUGGACUGAUAUAUAUCACCAACGCAUAAUACAUCCAAAGCUUUUACACACAACCGUGAAGUUCCCAAUGAUGUUCCACCCUAAAUUACGCAUAUAGCUUUCCGCGGGCAUAUAUAUUAUUAGUUAAUGGAAAAAAAAACUUGGACUGCAGGGGAUAGCAUGGACAAACACGUUUACCAAAAACGAACCAACAGACUCACGUACGUACUACUAAUCUUCAUUCAAGAUGCUGCAAAUGCAUUACAACGGAUGUGAUGUUGUCAGGUUAUGCAGAAGCACGACAGAAGCAGCAGCAGAUUUUCAAGCAGACCCCCUUGAUAAUUCCUCCGCGUUUCGGCGGCGGCUUGCUCGGUCAGACUGGGCAUUCGGUUUAAACCGAUAAUUCGGUUCGGUUGUUCGGUCUUGGGAAACUUCGGUUUUGGAGAAUGUCACAACCGAUCGGUCCCAAAGAAAAUGAGAAACCGACAAUUUCGGUUUCGGUCUCAUCGGUUCGGUGUUCGGUUUAAACCGAGAUUUGGUUGUCUCGUACCUGUAGCCCAAUGCCACCGUCGCUGGCCUGCUACUCGUCAAGACUCAUGUGUGGAUAGGGUCUAUUUUAGGUUGAUGUCUGCAAUGUGUUGACCGUUGGGCCAUGUUGGGCCUUUGGUCUGGGCUGCUGAUAGCCUGCUAUGCGGAUGCCUCAUCCUGUGAUUUGGAGUGAUGGCAAGUGGUAACUGCAGUUCGGUUGAUUCGUGUGUUCGGUUUCGUGAACACCAGAACCGAAGCCGACAACCGAAGCCGAAGUUCCCCAGCACGGAAACCGAAACCGAACCGAACAACCGAAAAAACCGACAUUACGGUUCGGUUCGGUUCGGUUCGGUUCGGUUUUCGGAUUUCGGGUUAAAUGUGCCCAGGCUGAUUGCUCGGCGACCUCUGCCUCGUGGUCGUCGUCGCGGAUUCGUCUCGCUCUCCCAUGUGGUGGCCCGACGACCCCUGAGCUCCAGCUCCCUCCAUCAUCAACGAACUAAUGACACGCACAAUUAAGCUCACGACACCAGACCAACUUGAGCAGUUGAGCUACUCACUUACCUCUCUCUCUACGCCAGGAGCGUAGCUUAACUGGAACGGAUUGAUACCAUAUUUAUACACGGUUUCCUUGGUAUUUUUUUUACCACAAAUGUGGAGACAUUUUUCACGCCUGUUUCCGGGUACAAGCAGGAGAAAAUACGCAGCCCAGCCCAGGGACGUGCCGAUGCCUUUCGGAAAGGAAGUGGCCGCGCGCUUGAUCAAGGACAAGGAAGAGCUUUUUUUACCACUCACACAAAUAUGCAAGGUAAGUUCUCACGUCGCCCAAAUGCAAUGGUAAGUUCUCAUGUUUUUGCGUGCUGCCUUCGCCAACAGGUCACACAGCCAACAAAAAUCCAAAACGGUCUCUGUACGUGCAUGCAAAGGUUCAUUUUUUUUUUCUCUCUCUCUCAUCAUCAUCAUCAUCAACAAUCAAGGGUUCAAAUCUGGCGAUCGAUCGAGCUGUGCAGACGUGCAGUGAUCGUGCACGAUGCACGACGACACUGUAUUUUUCUCGACCCAGAAGAAGGUGCAGGCAGAUUGUUCUGACUGUAGCUUUAAGUGGGGACCACCAAAUCUUGACGCUUGGUCCCAUACGCUAGUGUGCCGAGGUCAGCGCCACACGUUAAGGGCAUGUUUAGAUUGGAGAUGAAAAAUUUUUUGGUGUCAUAUCGAAUAUGUCGGAAGGAUGUCGGGAGGGUUUUUUAGAAACUAAUAAAAAAACAAAUUACAUAGCUCAUCUGGAAACUACAAGACAAAUCUAUUAAGCAUAAUUAAUCUGUCAUUAGCACAUGUGGGUUACUGUAGCACUUAAGGCUAAUCAUGGACUACCUAGGCUUAAAAGAUUCGUCUCGCGAUUUUCAACCAAACUGUGUAAUUAGUUUAUUUUUUUAUCUACAUUUAAUGUUCCAUACAUGUGUCUAAAGAUUCAAUGUGAUGGAUGAAAAAAUUUUAGGUGGGAACUAAACAGGGCCUAAGGCUCCACAUUCAUCAGUGUCAGAUUCUUGCGAAAGAUGGUGGUUUUUAUCUGGUUUCACGAGUGGGCGCAUGCACGUCUCAUCUCGGAAAGCUCUCUUUGCGAACAAUUAUCUUGUUUCACGAGUGGGCGCAUGCACACGUCGCUCAAAUGGAAUGGUGCUUGAUGACGUACUCCAGGUCAAACUUGGAAGUCGGAACUCCACCAGCCUUUUUGCUUGAACUUACCAGUAGAAUCUAUGAGUGGUGUUUUUCUCUUUCAACAAACCAGCCAAAAAUGUUAUAGUUUAUUAGGACGACAGUUAGCAGAUGGGCUCUGGGACCUCCAAAUCGAGCAAAACAGGAGAUACUCAUAUGCACGACCCACAUCGGCACCGUGCGGCACGCCGCCAGAACGCUCCGCUCAUGGGCCAAAAUGUUGGGCCGUCUGCUUUUGAGCGAUGAAAAAGGAAUGUGCAAGCCCUGUAUUUUGCAUGAAAGCGACUAAGGCCUUGUUUAGAUCCAUUUUUUUUUUGAAUUUUAACACUGUAGUACUUUCGUUUUUAUUUGACAAACAUUAUACAAUCAUAGAGUAAUUAGGCUUAAAAAAUUUGUAUCGUGAUUUAAAGAUAAACUGUAUAAUUAGUUAUUUUUUUAUCUAUAUAUAAUGUUUCAUGCAUGUGCCGCAAUAUUCGAUGUGAUGGGGAAUCUUGUAAAGUUUUGGGUUUUCGGUAACAAAGCCUAAAGCGAGUGGUGGCCUUCCUCUUUUUUUUUGCACUGUAACGUUUUUUUUGAGGCGGUUGAAUUUUUACCCGUCUGUCAUUGAUCUAGAGACACACAUUUUAUCACACUACACAUAGGCACGUAUAUAUGAACCUAAGAGGCUAAGAACGCUAAUUUCCAUGAGCGAGAGCUACUGAAGACACACCUGUAGCAAGUAAACUUGGUGGAUUU
This 97137-nucleotide long non-coding RNA is filed under the name Sorghum bicolor (sorghum). RNAcentral's name for it is "long non-coding RNA (SBIC_LNC007456)". The record is from RNAcentral. Lineage: Eukaryota; Viridiplantae; Streptophyta; Magnoliopsida; Poales; Poaceae.